RNAcentral lists this long non-coding RNA (107470 nucleotides) under Gossypium barbadense (sea-island cotton). RNAcentral's name for it is "long non-coding RNA (GBAR_LNC016688)". The stretch from base 24831 to 24975 matches the Rfam family "MIR7502 microRNA precursor family". The record is from RNAcentral. Lineage: Eukaryota; Viridiplantae; Streptophyta; Magnoliopsida; Malvales; Malvaceae.
UUUUUUUUUUUAGUGUAACACAAUGGUGCUCUAUAUUCACAUAUAAAAAGAGGAGCAAACUCCGAUGGAUAAAGACAGAAAAUAGAAUUAUCUUACUUUAACUUGAUCUUGAAUGUCUUCUUUCUGGCCUAAUGAAUCUUGAAUCUUUGAUCUCAUUGCAGCAUUAGCAAUAACUUUCUCGCGGGUUCCCUCCAGGUGUUUGAUUUCUUUAAGGAUUCGCUUCUCCUCACUCAACGAGAUGCUUUCAUGCUGAAUGCGGUAUUGCAAGCUAUGGAUCUGCAAUUCAUAAAUUCCAUUGAAGUGACUAAAGGAGAAAAAGAAAAGCAUUAACUGCGGCAGAAAACUAUGAGUAAAUCUAAAUGCAGUCAAAGUUUAUAGAAGUAUCAUACAAUAAAAUCGAGCUCUUCCUCAGAUGCACAUAAACUAAGUCGAUUAUCAACAUCUUUAUUAUUGCGAAGCUUGCCUAAAGCCUGCUGCAGUGGUUCUAUUUCCUUUUUUUUCUCAUCUAAAAUUGUCUUAAAUUGCUCAAAAUCAACAUUCAGCGCUCUCACUUGCGAAAGCAUCUCAAAUCGCUCUGCCUGCAUUAGCAUAAAGAUAAUCACAAUUUAGCCAACUCACAGUGCCAUUAUUUUUUACUUCUUUCACAUUUUUUCUCAAAUUCUGAAGGCAAGCACAACAAUAACGAAUCAUUAUACCAAUAGCAUAUCUUAAGUGUCACUACAUUUCAAGGACAUAAAUUUCAAACAUUCAAAUAAAUGCUUCCGGGUUUAAUUCCCCUACAUUCAUCAUAUUACAAUAAGCACACCGUAAUGACAUAAUGAUAGGGCUAAUAAUUAUCUUAAAAGUAUGACAAUUAAUGGCUACCAUGCUAUACAUCUAAUUGAAAUUAAUAACUUUUCACUCACCCUUUUUGCUUUUAAUUCAUCGGUAAGCUUAAACCUGGCUUUAUUCCACUUUUGUAUCUCUUUAUCAGCCUGAUCAAGUUUGGCUUUUAUAGCCGGAUCUUCGUAGAAGCGAUACCUAAUAAAAUGAAAAGAGUGGAUCUGCUUAGGUGCAGGCCACUCGAUGACCGCAUCCUUCGGAAAGUUGGGAUCGGAUGCACCAUUCUCUUCUUCCUUAUCAGGUUCCUCACUAUGUGAAUCAACAUCAAUGGGGUUAUUAUAAACUGGAUCCUUAUCCAGUUUCCUAUUUUCAUGAAGAAAUGAUUUGUCUACUUCAGUCACUUUGUCAAUAGACAAUUGUGCCAGGUCUGAAUCAACAACCUCUACACCCAUUAAACACAAAAUUGAGCUACCUGAAAACAUCCAAAACCAAAGAUUAUGAUACCAUAUAACAACAAAUAUAAAUAUAAAAUAUUAUUUCAUUCAUAAAAUAAAAAUUUUAAAACCAGACGCCUGAUAGACAUGUAUAAAACAAUAUAUAUUAAAUAAAUAAAUUUUAAAGAACAGUGUAGCCAUUACAAUUUGAAAUGGUGCAAUCUAAAGCCAUUCCUUUAGCUAGUUUUCUCAUUAAUCAGAUCAAAAGAGUGAACAAACAGUAGAAUUGCAAAAAUAUAUGUAUAUAUUCUAAAUAAAUGAUAAACUAUAAUGGAGAAAAACAAUAAUCAGAUAAAAUCUAGAAUAAAAACUAAAUUAUAAGUACAUUAGCUCAUGCUAUAACAAAAGAUCAAGCCUUUAUCCAUCGAGAAAAUUAACAUGCAAAAUCAUAUGAAACUAAUAGAAAAGAAAAAAAAAACCCAGAAAUAAAAACAUAAGAAAUGAAAGAAAAACUAGAUGAUUAACCUUUUAGAGAGAUUAUUAAGAGGUGAAAGGCCCUUUUUGUGGAGUAAAAGGGUGUAAAGAAAAUUUAGAAGAGAGUUUGGAAAUGAAGGAGAAAUGGGGUGAAAUCUCAGUUUUGUUUCUCUUCAAUUUCAGUUCUGCUUCAUCACUAGAAAGAGAAACGUACGAAAAGGAAGGAAUUUCUGAAAGGGAAAGAUUUUAGCUUUGUAUUAAUGCUUGUCUUCUAGAGAGAGAAAUUCAACAGAUUGAACUUUUUUAAGGUAAUUCAAAAAUAAUAAAUUGAUUAUGAUUUUUAAAUACUGAUUAGUAUUUUAAAACAUAAAAAAAUAUUUUUUUAUAUUUUUAAAAAAAUAUUUUAUAGAAUGGAACUUGUUGGGGAUAAAAAAUAAGGGCAUAAAUUAUUUUAUAAUUUUUAAAUUUUUUAAUAAUAUUAUUCAAUUGUACCAAUCAGACUGAAAUUAUUAUUUUGUUUAUUUAUUUCUUUUAAAUAUUAAAAAAAUUAUUUUAAUAAUUAAUAUAAAAUUUUGAAAUUUUAAAUUAAUUUUUAUGUUAAUCAUUUUAAUUCUUCCAUAAUUACAUUUAAAAUUAUUGAUUAUUAAAUUAAAUUGUUGAACUUAAUUAAUAAUUUUAAAACUUAUAUUUUACCUAUAAAUAUAUUUAUAUGAACGUAAUUAAGAUAAAUUUGUCUGUAAUUGAUAAGAAAUUAAAAAUUACACCAUAUAUUUAUAUGAAAAAAAUUCAAAAAAGGAUAAAUUCCAAAUAGUACAUCGAAACAUAUCAAUAUAUAAUACCAGCUAUUUUACCGAUUGCAGUCUCUAAAAAUAAAUUAAGACUAUAAAACCGACAUAAAAAAUAGUUUAAACACUGUAAAGAUGAAAUAAUUAAGUCAUAGUCAAUUGUAUCUUAACUUAAUUGGCAUGAGCAUUGUUCGAGUGCGCUGAAACACAUUACCCUCCUAUUUAUUGUGUUGGGAAAAAGUUAUUGAUAAUUUUAAAUAUUGUGUCAAAAAGAACAAAUAUGAUAAUUAAUAUUAGAUUGUUUAAAAUUAAUAAUAAUAAUAAUAAUAAUAAUAAUAAUAAUAAUUAGGGCAUAAAUAAAUAAAUAAAAAUAAGAAAAAGACAAAAAGGAGAAACAGAAAAGUAAAAGAAGGAAAUAAAUCCAAAUUAAAAAGCUUGAUUUUAGUAGAAUUUUCCUUUUAACACGUGUUCUUUGCAUGAAUUUCAUAUCUCUCACGAGAAUGUCGAGUCGAUGAUUACGGGAGACAAAUCUGUUGAAAAGCAAAAGUACAAUAAUACCCCCUAUAUUGUUUAAAAUUCACUAUCACACCCUUGUAUUAUGGUAAUUUUAUUUUUUUUGGAAUGAAAUCUUUGUAAAGUUCUAAUUUCUAAAUUUGGGGUUGUUUUAGGAUCAUAUCUAUUUAUAAUUUCCUAAUAAAAGAAGUGUCAAAAUUAUUUUCCAAAUUUGGGUUCGGUAUUACUGGUUUUGCUUAAUAGAGUGAAAAGAAAAUUAGGAAGAUCGAAAUAUUGAAAAGAUAAAAAAAAUAAUUAUUCAUCUUUCUAUAGAUGUAUUUGGUUGGGAAGAUGGAAAAAAGAGAAAUAAAAUAAAAUAAAAUUAUUUCUCGUCAUUACUUAAUAGAGCUGAAAAACGAAAAGAAAUAAAAUAUUUGAAAAAUGUAUAAUUUUGAACUAAAAUACACAAUCUCUCUCAUUUUCUUUCCUCUCGUCAUUUAAAUUUGCAAAUAUUGAUUAAAAUGGAAAAUGACUAUCCCUCCUAUUUUCUUUCCUCUCACUAUUUUUUAUUAUCAGGUUCACUCAAAAUUUACUUUUUCCCCCUUUUCCACUCUUUACUCUCUUCUCCUGUCCUUUCACUUUUUCACCUAUCUAAACACGCCAUUAGUGCUCAAAUUCGGCUAAAUACUAAUAGGUUUAAUGUAGAUUUUGAAAUUCAGUCUUUACACUUUUAUUAAAAGAAAACAAUUUAUCUAAAAAGAAAUUGCAAAGAAAAUUUUAAGGUAAACUAAAUAGAUAGCCACUCAACUAUGACAAUGUUUCUAUUUUGACCACCUAACUAUCAAAUAUUUUUAUGUAGUCACUAACGUUUUUAAAUUUUGAUUUUUUGGUCACUUUACGGUUAAAUCAUUAAACGAAGGCUAAUGUGUCCCUUUUAAUGACAUAAUAAAAAUUUAGCCCUCUAAUAUUUAGAGAUUUCUUCAAUUUAGUCCUAAUUUUAAAAAUAUUCAAUAAAUUUAGUGCUCAAUGUUUAUAUAUUCUGUCAGUUUAGUGCUAAACUUUUUUUAAUCCUUAAUUUCUUUAGAUGAAGUGACAAAAAAAAAAGAAAAAUGAAGAAUAAAUAGUAAAAACCUUAAUUUAAUUAAAUAAUCAAUCAAGGGUAGUGCAAAACUAAAGGUUCGACUUUGAACACUCUCAACAAGUUUGGUUCAAUGGAAUGGAUAUUUUAUUCUAUCACCAUCAAUGUUUUACAAUAAAACGCUUCUUUGGUUCACCGCAUGAGUGAUUCUACAGAAUUGAUAUUACAAAAUCAAUAUCUAACGGUGUUAUUGUAAAUGUAUUAAAGUGUAUAACGGGAUUUAAGUUCAAGUACUAAUUAAAUUUUAAAAAAUUAAGUUUAUAUACUUUAAUAAAAGGAUAAACUACAUUCAAUGUCACUAAAUUAUUAGUAAAUUUAUAUUUUGAUUGUUUAAUUUUGAAAAGUUACAAAACGAUUACUAAACUAUUCGAAAGUUUUCAUUUAAGUUACUUAACUAUUUGAAAAUUUUAUUUAGGUCAUUAGGGUUUUUUCUUUCUAAAGUCCAACUAGCAAGCUCCAAGUGACGAUUCAAAGAUCAGUAUGGUGGAUCAAUACCCAUCAAUAAGUUGAAAAGCAUAUCUUAGUUCCAAGUUGAUUUGAUAGUCAGUGCCGAAAAUUGGAGAAAAAAAUAUUUCUUCUGGUUAUUAUUUUAAAUAUUUGUAUGUAAAGUUUUAGAAUGUAAAUUUACAAUGGCAAAGCUUACAAGUUUUGUGUUGUUCGGUUAAAUGAAUCUCAUGUGUGAAUAGUUUUUUAUUAUUUUGUGGUUGUUUAACAAAAUUAUAUGUUUUAUUGUGAUAAUAAACAUGUCACAGUUUAUUCAAUUUUACAUGUAAGUAGUAAACCGACCAAAUGAAAGAUUUAUUGUUCGACAUGUUUUUAUUAUAAAUGUUUGACUACUACAAUAAGAUAUCACUUACAAGUUAAUAUGUUUGUCCAAAUUUGAAAAAUUAAUGGAGUGCCCGAUAUCUUAAUAUAUAUGGAUUUUACCUUUAUUCAAAUGAUUUUGGUUUAAACUUGAAUUCUUAUGUUAGCUUUUUUUAUAUUUAUUUAACUAUUAUUAUAUUUGUCAGCAUCAUUGCAUGUAUUGAAACAUUUAAGGGCAUUAUGUCUGAUAAGCUUACCAUAACUAAAGAAUUCAUGGCCGACAUUGAAAAGAGAUUUGUCAAUGACGAAAAGACUAAAAUUGGUACAUUAACAAAUCUAAUUUCAACGUGAUAUGUAAAGAAAAAUAACAAAGUUACGGAUAUGACACUGCAAAAGAAACAACAAAAGGAUUCAACUAAGGAUGGUUGUUUACACUGUGAUGCAAAAGGCGCACUACUUAGUUUUGUUUGUUUUGAGGUUAAUUUGACUUUAGCACCUAAACAUACUUGGUGGAUAUAUUCUAGUGCAACAACUCACAUCAAUGUGUCUAUGCAAGAUUGUCAAAACUACCGAAAGUCAAAUGAUGGUGAAAUAUACAUCUAUGAAGGCAACAGUAAAUUAGUAGAAGUUGAAGCAAUAGGUACUUUUAGAUUAUUAUUAAGAAUUGGAUUUUAUUUGGAUUUGAAUGAAACUUUGUUGUACCAUCUUUUAAGCGAAACAUGAUUUUCUUUUCAACACCGGGCAAAUUUGCUUACUUUAGUUCAUUUGAAAAUGGAAAAUUUAGUCUAUUUCAUAAUUCAAAUUUGGUUUGUUUCAGUUCUUUCUUAGUUUAUGAUAAUCUAUAUUUACUUAAUACUACUAUUUCAUUUAAUGAAUCCUUGCAUACUAUCUUAAUAGGUAAGAGACACAAAUUAACUCCUAAGAAUUUAACUUCAUUGUGGUACAAGAGAUUAGGUUAUAUCUCCAAAAGGAGAAUUGAGAGACUUGUGUCCGACGAUAUGUUUUUACCCUUUCGAUUUUUUGGAUAGUCUGAAAGAUCUAAGGGUUAAAAUAAUUUUUUUAAUCCCACUACUAAAAUUAUAUAUUUUUUAAGAUGUAUAAUGCUUGUUCUUUGAGGAUGUUGAGUUUUUUUCUUUAAAAAAAAAUACUCUCUUUAAAGCCACUUGCAAAAGAACUCUAAAAAGCAGUGACUUGAAAGGGAGCAAUAUUUUUCUUAUUUUAAUAUCUCACAUGGUUAGUCCAUUGGUUAUAAUAGGCUAAAAAUGAUUUUUCUUUAAAUAUAUAUUUUUUAAUUUUUAGAGUUAGGACUAAAUUAAUAGAUUUUGUAAACAUUGAGGGUUAAAUUUAUUAAAUUUUUAGAAUUAAAACUAAAAUGAUAAAUUUUGUAAACAUUUAGAGAUAAAUUUAUUGAUUUUUUUAUAUUUAGCCGAUCAUUGGCAAUAGCAAUUAAAUGAAUAUGUUGAGGAAUAUCAACAUCUCUUUCAAAGACAAAAAAAACUACUUUGCACUGACCCCCAGCUUAUUUUUUAUUUUAAUAUCUCAUCUGGGUUAGUCAUAUGGAUAACAAAAAAACCUGAAUCUGACAGGUUUUGAGUCAAUCCAACCCGAUAGAGUUGGGUUUUUUAAUUGAAGUUCAGGGUCAGUGCAGGGCAAGUUAAUUUUUAAAAAUAGUUGAGUUGGACCGGGGUCAAGUUUAGAAUGAAACUGCCCACCCUGCCUCAAGACAUUUACGAAAUUACUCUAUAUACAUAUAUAAUAUUAAUUAAGUUAAAAAUCCCUAAAAUUUAUCACUACUAAUCUCAUUCUACCGCCUCUAUACUAGUGCCCUUUUACCCCUAGAAGGUUAUUCCCCCCACUUUGUAUCUUAAUUUAAUAAUUUAUUAACAUAAUUUUUAUUCCUUCCUUUUUCUUUUGUGCUAUAAUUACAACAUGUGUGUAAAUAUACAUUAGCACACAACUCUAAAAAUAAAUUAUUAAGCAAAACUAAUAAGAAAUAGUGUCAAAAUCUUUCAUUUAAAAAAAUUAAUUAAUUACAAUUUUACAAAAAACUUAAAAAUAAAAUAAAUAAAAUCGGAUCGGACUGGAUUAAAGUUAGGUAUAUUAUUGAUUUUUAGGUUCAGGUUUAAAGUGGGUUAAAUUUUUUAAACUUGGGGUUGAAGUUGGAGCAUGGUGGUAGAGCAUCGAGUUGGAUUAGAUCAUGCAAAAAACCACCUUGCCUUGCCCCAUUGCCAUCACUAGUUAGUUGAUGUGUUAUAAAGGGCUAAAAAUGAAUUAUUUUUAAAGAAUAUAUAUAUUUAAAAUUUUUUAGAGUUAGGACUAAAUUGACAGGUUUUGUAAAUAUUGAAGGUCAUAUUUAUUGAAUUUUUUAAAUCUAGAACUAAAAUAACAACUUUUGUAAACAUUGAAGGCUAAAUUUAUUGAUUUUUUUAUAUUUAGGAUCAAAUUGAUAGAAUAUGUAAACAUUAGAGAGCUAAUUUUGUUACUAAACCGAUAAAAAAAAGGCUAUAUUAGCUCAGAGUGACUAAAUAUUUAAUUACGAAAACUUUAGUGAUUAAAUCAAAAAAAUUAAUAGUUGGGUGACCAAAAUAGAAUGAAAGACAUAAUUGAAUGACCACGUUUAUAAUUUACUCAUAAAAAAUAAUUUUCAACAUAUUCCAAGCCAUUAUUUAAUAGAAAAUUCUAAAAGAAAGUUAAUUUACACAUUUCAAAAUAUAUGAGAGUUAAUUUAUCUAUUUUUCAAUUUAAAAAAACCGAAAUACAAUCUUCUCCUAAGUAUAUAGAAAUUCGUGAAACUUUUUACCUCCGUAUAAUAUUAAACACAUAUUCUAUAAAAAUUGAAAAAUUAAAUUUAGCCACUAACAUUUACAUGUUUUGACAAAAUGACCCUAAUUGUAUUUCUGAGCCUUUUUUGGCCAUCAACCUUUAUUCUUUUUUUUCAAAUUGUUUUUUUAACAGAUUUAAUGAACGUACCGUUAAAAAAGUUAACGAGAUGAUGUGAAAUUCCUUAUGUGGAAUAUUUUUAAUGAGAUGUAAUAUAUUACUUAGGUAACCCAAUAAAAUAAUUACAUGUGAAAAAUAAUAAAAUAAAUAAAUAAUUCAAGAAGUUAAAAAAAUAACUCUUAAUUUAAAGAAAAUAAACGUAAUUAUCUAAAAAAGGUUUCAAAAUGAAUGCACACAUUCAAUAUUUUUGGUAUAGAUUACAUCUCAUUAAAAAUAUUUCACAUAUGAAAUUCCACAUCAUCCCGUUAAAUUUUUUAAUGGUACUUUCAUCAAAUCUGUUAAAAAAAAGUAAUUUGAAAAAAAAUAAAGAUCGAUUGCCAAAAAAGGCUAAAAAAUACAAUUAAAAUUGUAAUAGGUCAUUUUUACCCGGGCCCAACAAAAAAACCAAAAAAAAAUUAACAGUCCCAGUCCACUUACAAUAAGCCCAAACAACCCAAACCCAAAAUAAAAAAAAACUCUAAGCGGCCGAUAAGCCCAAAAAUUUAAACAAUGUCAGAAAAUCCUAGCCUCCCUAAUCCUCUUUAGCCGCCAACCUCCUCACGCGCGCCACCAGUCCACCGCCGCACACCAUCAUCACGCUCGUCUGACACUUGCAAAAAUUGACUACAACAACAGGAAAGGCACGCCAAGCAGAAGAAACAACUUGAAAAAAAAACAAAAAAAAUAGAAAUUAAAAGUUGUAACUUGGCUAUAAAAGCCAAAACUUCAUCUUUGUAUUUUUUUUACGAACGAGAUUAAUCAAAAACAGAAAUAAAAUUUUCUAAAGGUGAUCUUUUUUUUUCUAUUUAUUUUUAGUUUUAAGUUUCUAUUUAUUUUUUAUUUUUUUAUAUACAAAAAUAAAGAAGGGAAAGGAAACUCACCUAAGUCGGCUGAUCUACUCGCCGUCGAAGGCCAUGGCGGAAAAGGAGAAGAAACGAAACAUUUCUUCGUUGCUCCACAGGGUUUGGUCGAGUUUUCGGGGGUUUUGGCCUCGAAUCCUUGCUCCACGCGUGACGGGCUUCGAAAGGGGUUUUUUUGGUGCUACCCGACCAUCGUGGACGGCGGCAGCGGCGCCAGCGAUCGGCAGCCGCCACGACGGCCGACACCAAAGCCAGGCCAGAUAUAGGGAGUUUUUGAGAGAAAAAAGGCUUCAAUUUUUUUUAAAAAUCUAAGCAGAAUGAAAAGUUUUUUAAAAAAAUUGAAUUAUAUAGAGGUGAUUAAACAACGUCAUUUUGGCUAGUGCUCAGAAGCCUCAAAACGGCGCCGUUUCGGGGCAAACCCAAAAUUCAACCGACCCUUAGGGAGGAUCCGCGUGUUUUUGAUAAUUGGGUUAUUUACCCUUUCGGUCCUUUAGCCUUUUUGGAUUGUUUUAAUUUAGUCCUAUUGGCACUUUUUAUAUUUUAUAAAUUUCGCCCCUGGAAUUUUUUACUGUUUUCAAUUCAGUCUCGCAUCCACUGAAGGGACGCGUGUCCCAAGAAUUGGGAUAAUUUCAUAUUUGGUCCCUAUUCUUCCUUUGCGCAUUUAUUUUAACCCUUAUUUUUGUUUUAUUGGUUUUUGUAUUUUUUAAUUUAUACCCCGAAUUUUAAUUCGAUUUUAAUCUCGUCCUCAGUCCAUUUAAUUAAUUAAUUUAUUUUAAAAAAUGCUCUUUUAUCAUCAUUUAUUUUAAGUUUUUAUAUAUAUUAUUUAUUUUAAGCUAUUUUACAUAUUAUUUAUUUAAAUUUCUUUUAUGUAUUAUUUAUUUUAAACUAUUAUAUAUAUCUUUCAAAUUUUUAUAUUUAUUCUUUAAAACUGUUUUAUAUGUUAUUUUUUAUAUUAUUUAUUUUAAAUUGUUUUAUUGUUAUUUAUUUUUCAUUUUUUAUAUUUUAUAUUUUGUUUAUUUGAAACUUUUUAUUAUUUAUUUUGAAUUGUUCUUAUAAAUCAUUUAUUUUAAACUAUUAUUUACUUUAAAUUGUUUUAUAUAUUAUUUUGUUUCAUUUUCUUUGAUUGUUAAUAUUGAUAUUAAAAAUGAUGUGUUGUGUAAUUAUUGUCAUUAUGUGCAUUAUAAUUCGUUUAUUCGUAUUUUCAUGCUAUUGUGAUUCAUUAGUGUAACAUUUUGUUCAUAAGUUAUUUCUCCAUCUUAUAUAUUAUCCUUCCAUCACAUUUCAUUAAAAUCACUUCAAAAAUUCCUUAAAAAAUAAUAAGGCAAUGUUUCGUUUUUUAGAAAUUCGAGAAGUCAUACCACAACUUACGGGGUUUCGAUUUUCUCGUUAAAUCUAAACAACCGAACAUCCUUCUAAAUUUAAAAUACCUAAGUUUCAAAUAAAAAUCAAAGGCAAGCUUAUUCUUGAGGGUUCAAAUGUCGCAUCCUAACUUACGGGAUGCGGCAUAUUGUUAUCGCGGGACGAGUGGGCAUUUGAUACUCAUUUCAAUUUAAUUCAAGCGUUUUUAAAAUUAAUAUCAAUAAAAAAGGAUCAUAUUUUAAAAUCUUUUUCAAAAUUUCAACUUAUUUUAAAAUCUUUUUCAAAAUUUCAACUUUCGGCAUUAAGACAUUAAGUAAUCAACUAGGUACCAAUUUUGGGCAUAUUGAGGGUGCUAAUCCUUCCUCGUGUGUAACCGACUCCCGAACCUAUUUUUUGGAUUUUGUAGACCAAAAAUGAUCGUUUUAGUAUAUUUAAAAUUUUAUUAAAAUGAUCAAAUUAUGAGGUGAUCCAAUCACACCUAAAUAAAAAUGAUUGGUGGCGACUCCAUUUUCGUUUUUAAAUAAAAAGUCGACCCUUUUACAAAAAAAAUAGUUUCGACAAAUAUUAUUUUGACAAAACAUGUAAACGUUUGUGGUCAAAUUUAUCAUUAAGCUCUUUUUUUUAUCUACACCUUUCAAUUCUCAGUAACUAUAGUGGGUCUAGAAGAGGCAGGCAUGUACCCUAACAUCUAAAACGGAAAUUUAUGAUUUAGUCCCUUUAAAACUUGUAAUUUUGUAUAUUAAUACAUCUUAUUCUAGCUUGCACAACCUUGAUAGGUGGGUUUGAAGCUGGGAUAUCUGGAAUUAAUAGAUCAUAACAGCAUGUAUGCUAUGCCAAAAACCAGGCCUUCUCCUUUUGACCACUUAAACAGACAUUGCCUUUUAGCUGUUAAUACUAUUAAUUCAGACUACUUCCUUAAACCUAACUGAGUUUAGUACCCCUAAUCUAAGCUUAGUUUCUAGUGUGUAUGAUCCAUUUUAUGGUAAUCACAGAGCAUACUUCUAAACUCACGGGAGAUUUUCUUUUAUCGAUAUACCAUAAUCAAGAAGGAAGAGAACAAAGAGUUUUAGUAAGACAUUUUACAAAAGCACUCUAGUAUUUUUUUAUUCUAAGAUUCGAUAUAUCUUACAAGUGAGAAUUCUUUCCCUUUAUAUAGAGAAAGAUUAACCUUCAUCCUUCUAAAGAUAAAGAAAGAAUCUCAAACCUUUAAAGUUAUAAACAUAUGAAACUUUAUGGUACAAUGACUCAUACAAACUUUAAUAAAAGUAAAUGUAUCCAAAGCUUAUAUAAAGCUUUUUGCUACAAUGACUCAUACAAACUUUAAAGGAUAAUAAUUCACAAAAAGACAAAAAACCUUUAAUCAGUGUCAUAAUCUGUGCUGAUGUUGAGGUAAUAUUUAAUUCUUUUAUUUUUCUCUUCUUUUCUAGAGCAGCCAAUAUCUAGAUGCCAAGUGGUAUCUUCAAAAGAAUAAAAUAGGAACAUCCGCAUUUGAUUGCUCGCCGUCCGGACAGAUUAUCCACGUAAGAUAAAAUUGAAUUCUUGUCCUAAAAUCUCAGGUUUGUCUCGAGAUCUUAUUUAUUUUACAAAAAUAACCUAAAUAAAUAAAUAAUAAUUAAAUAAAAUAAAAUUUUCGUUUUCCACCAACCUAAACACAGUCACCAUCAGAAAACAAACUCAAAACAUUCAACAGAAAAUUAAAGAAGAAAAACAGAAAAUAAAAAAAAAUUCAGAAUCAUAAGAGGGACAUAUUUUUUGUUGUUGUUGUUGUUGUUAAAGGUAAGUAUUUUAAUCACUCGUCUUUUAGUAAUAUUUUUUCUUUCUUUUUUUGGGGGGUUUGAUUUAGGUCUGGAAUGAAAAUUCCUGUAAAUAGAAUUCUUUCAUUUAAACUGUGAUUACAAUUCUGUUUUGGGGGAGGAGGUUGGGUCUUACCCGUUUCCCCCUCAUUUCAUGGAUUUAAUAAAUUGCAUCAUAUUGGUUUUUGAGAUGAAGUUUAGUAAAAUUCAGAACCGGUAACUUUCAAUACCAUUUCUUUUAUGUUUCUAUGUUUAAUAAUUAUUAUUGGUUGGGUUGAUAGAAUUCCUUCGCAUUGGUUUCUGAGAUCAAGUUUACUGAAAAGGAAUAAUGGGUUUUUUUUAUUUUAAGGAUUGAUGUAGAGAAAGUUUCAAUUCUGCAGAAUUCAAUCACUUUGGUUAAAGGAGCAUUUUUUUUUUCAUUUUAAUCUGGCAUUAAGUUUGUGUAUUUUCAUGAUUAGUGAUUUUUUACUCAAAAAUGGAGAAUUGGGUCAUUGGUUUUUGUUUAUACAAUCUGAAGUUCCUAAGUGCAAAUAUGGAAAAAGAAAAUAGUUAUAAUCUUUGUUUAUAGUGUUUUGGAGAAAGAAUUUUCUUACUUUUUCUUUUUUUUCAUUCUGUAACAGAAGUUAAUCACACUGGUUUUGGUGAACAGUUUGGAAAGUGAAGAGCUUUGGAGAGCUGUGUUUUUGGUAUAUAUGUUUGAUUUUUAGCCAAUUUUAGUAGUACUCUUUGUUUAAAAUGGAGAAUUGUGUUAUUGGCUUUGCUUCUGAAUUGCCAUAGCAAGAAAAAUGUUCCAUUUUGUAUAGUUUUUGGGAAGGACAAUAUUGUGGGUGGUUGAGUGAAUGAGACUUUGAAAGGAAAUGAGUGAGGAAUUUGGGGUUGGAUUUGAGAUACAAUGACUGGAGGGUCAUUGGGUGUACGUAUGUGGAGUUAUGGGACAUUGCCGGACAUCAAUGGUGUUAUUCCUGGGGAUGAAAAGUUAUUGCAGUCCAAAUCUUUGGUCAAUGUACGAAAGAAUUCAACCAAGAUGUUUUCAGGUUUUAGAGAAAAGGAGAGGUCUCUCCCCUUGGUUUGGUGCCGGUGUCUUGGUUGUCGGAAGUUUUCCAUGCUGCUUCUGAUUGCCUUUGCCCUUUUGGUCUUUGUCUUGGGUUCUUUAGCAGUGGACAAAGGUUUGUCCCUUUUUAUGUUAUUCUUGGUUCUAGGUUCUAAUUGGAUUCUUGGAUCUUGAUUGGUAAAGUGUUAAGUUUUGUGACUUUUAUUUCUCAGCAUGGUAAUUUGAUUGAAGCAAUAAUUAUUCAUAUUUUCUGGUUUGUGUUUUGUAUGAUUGAUGAACCAGAAACCAUUAGUCUGAAUGUUGAUCAACAGAUUGGAACUCUAAGCAUGGUUCUUCCUUAUGGGAAUGGUGCCCCAAGCAAUCCUGGAGCUUCAUGGAUCUUUGGCAAGAAAGAUAAGCAGAAAGAUGAAAAUUAUUUAGUGGCAAACAUUCUGAACGAAGACGAUGAAAAUAGAUUUCGAAUUGUUGGUUCCAAAGGUGCAAGUGUUUUACCAUCAAACCAUCCAUGCGCGAAGUUCACAUUUCCUCCUCCGCCUCCACCUAAUCUUAGACGGAUUGGACCUCGCCGUAAGUUUCAGUUCAUUCUUCUUGUUCUCAUCAUCAGAGUGGCAUUAAAUAUUGGAAUUUGGCACUUGGAUGUAUUUUAUUGUUUGUUUCUCACGAAUGUAUUAGAUGCAGUAGUUCGAGACAGUAGGAAACAUGUUUGUUUAAGAAUAGCAUAUGUUGGAAUCCCUAUAAUUAAAGAUAGAAAUCUGAUGGUAUUGGAAUCCCUAUAAUUAAGGAUAGAAAUCUGUUGGAAUCCCUUGUAAAUAGAAACUAAUCUCAGUUACUGAUUUUUAAGAAAUUAGGAUAUCAAUUACUGAUUCUUAGGAAUUAGGAUUUAUUUCCUUUAAAAUGAUUAUUUCUCUCUAUAUAAAUCUGAAAACUAAAGCAGUAGAAAUAAUAACAGAAUUUUUUCCUCUGAGUUUUUACAUGGCAUCAGGGCUUUAGGAUUCAUUCGAUCCUAAUUUUUUUUUUCUCUAAUUUCCCUUCCUAAAAAUUCGUUCGGUUUAGUCCUUCAAUGGGUGAUAUCAAUGGAAAUUUCUUUGAAAUUGAGACAUCACAAAUAACUCAGAAUAUCAAUCAGGGAAUCACUCAAGGUGAAAUUAAUUCCUCCACUACUGCUGAUGAUGUUUUUGAUGUUCGCUUAACCAAAACACAGCUUGAGACUCUCCAUAAGAUACUUGGUACUCCCACUACUCAUGGAUCUCUAGCCAUUCAAGGUACUGCCCUCAACAUUGCUUUUGAAUCUAAUAAUCAAUCUCCUUGGAUACUCGAUUCGGGCGCCUCCGAUCACAUGACAGGUGACUCCAUAUUGUUUCACACCUACACUCCUUGUCAUAACAAAUCUCGAAUCCGAAUAGCUGACGGUUCUUACUCACCUGUGACUGGAAUAGGAGAAGUACAAAUGACAGAGAGUUUUUCUCUCGAUAAAGUCCUACAUGUCCCAAACUUGUCCUGUAAUUUACUUUCAAUUAGUAAACUUACUAAGGAUGAAAAUGUUUUUGUUGAAUUUUCUGCAAUUGGUUGUAUGAUACAGGAACAAAAAUCGGGGAGGAUGAUUGGCACUGCUAAAGUUGAUGAUGGACUAUAUAUUUGGAAUAAAAACAAUACACAAGGGGGAUUGGCUCUAUCCACUUCAAAAGAGGACACUAUUAUGUUAUGGCACUGUAGGUUAGGACAUCCAAACUUUGUGUAUUUGAAAAAACAUCUUCCGCUGUUAUUUCGAAAUAAAAGUCCUAAUUCCUUGAAGUGUGAAAUUUGCCAAUUAUCUAAACAUACCCGUGUGCCAUACCCAUUAAAACCACAUAUUCAGUCCCAACCUUUUUCGUUAAUCUAUAGUGACCUAUGGGGAGCCAGCCGAGUGAAAAAUAUUACAGGGGCUAGAUGGUUUAUAACAUUCAUUGAUGAUCAAACUAGGGUCUGUUGGAUCUAUCUACUCAAAGAAAAAUCUGAAACACCCAAAGUAUUCCAAAAUUUUCACUCAAUGGUUCGAACCCAAUUCAACUCUACCAUACAUACCUUCCGUAUUGACAAUGGGAGAGAAUACUUCAACUCUGUCUUAAGUCCAUACCUUUCUGACCAAGGCAUUAUACACGAAAGCCCUUGUCCUGACACUCCUCAACAAAACGGGAUUUCUGAGAGAAAAAUCGUCAUCUCCUUGAUGUGGCUCGAGCCAUAAUGUUCACUAUGAAUGUUCCAAAAUACUUGUGGGGAGAAGCUGUCCUCACUGCCUGCUAUCUCAUAAACCGAAUGCCAUCAAAGAUCCUCUAUUUCCAAACGUCUCUAAAUACUCUUUUAAAGACCUUCCCUCUAUUUCAUGUUCCUAAUCUUCCAGCCAAAAUAUUCGGCUGUAAAGCUUUUGUCCAUAACCAUCAACCAAAUCAAUCCAAACUUGAUCCUCGAGCCCACACUUGUAUCUUCAUUGGAUAUUCCCCUACACAAAAAGGCUAUAAGUGUUACUCACCAACAUUGCGCCGAAUGUUUGUCUCUUGGGAUGUUACCUUCUUUGAAAAUGAACCAUACUUUGCAGCAUCUCAUCUUUAGGGGGAGAUUUUUAAUGAAGAUGAGACCCUUAAUACUCUCCUCAUUAUACCGCCUGAUCCUACUACUACUAUCACAAACAAACCUAUCCCAGAUUUAGUUGUUGUUUCCCCUAUGCAGCAAGAAUUUAACACCGCCCUUCCCAAUGACAAUACCUCCACCGAAGUACAACAGCCACUUGAUCAAGGAAAACAGCAAAUACAGGUUUACUCCCGACGAAAUCGUUCUCUUGAAACUGAUACAGCAGUGCCAAUUACAUCUCCAACCGACGACUGUUCUGAAACAGAAGUCCCACCUCCGUCACCAUCCAUCUAUCUUCCAAUUGCAGUUCGAAAGGGUACAAGGAGCUGCACUCAACAUCCUAUUUCUCGGUUUGUAUCCUAUGGAAAUUUAUCUAAGUCUUAUAAAGCUUUUGUGACUAAUGUUGAUUCUAUAAAAAUUCCAAAAAAUAUAGAAGAGGCUCUUGAAUCAGCUGAGUGGAGACAAGCCGUGAUGGAAGAAAUGAAGGCCCUCAAAAACAAUGAAACAUGGGAAGUCUCGGAUCUGCCUAAAGGAAAAAAAACCGUAGGGUGCAAAUGGAUUUUCACUACGAAAUUUAAACCCGAUGGCCGUAUUGAUCGAUACAAAGCUCGACUUGUGGCUAAGGGAUUCACCCAAACUUAUGGUCUCGACUACAACGAGACGUUUGCACCGGUUGCCAAGCUAAACACCGUUCGGGUCCUGCUAUCUCUUGCUGCCAACCUUGAUUGGCACUUGACUCAAUUGGAUGUAAAAAAUGCUUUUCUCAACGGGGAAUUAAAUGAGGAGGUGUACAUGGAUUUCCCACCCGGGUUUGAAGAAAACAAGGACCAAGUGUGUAAGUUGAAGAAGUCCUUGUAUGGGCUGAAACAAUCUCCACGAGCAUGGUUCAGCCGAUUUGCAAAAGCUAUGACUAGCAGAAAUUACAUUCAAGGACAGGCAGACCACACCAUGUUCUACAAGCACUCGGAAGAGGGUAAAUGCUGCAUCCUUAUCGUUUAUGUUGACGAUAUAAUAUUAACAGGAAAUGACUCGAGCGAAAUUUUGAGAUUGAAAGAAUUUCUUGGUACAGAGUUUGAACUUAAAGACUUGGGGAGUCUUAAAUAUUUUCUUGGUAUGGAGGUAGCAAGGUCGAAAAAAGGUAUCUUCAUUUCCCAAAGGAAAUAUGUUCUUGAUCUACUGUCGGAAGUUGGUUUGAUGGGCAGCAAACCAGCCGAAACUCCUAUGGAGUUUAACCUCAAAUUGGGAACUAAUGAGGAUGGAGAAGAAAUCGACAGGGGGAGAUAUCAACGUCUAGUAGGAAGGCUCAUCUACCUAUCUCACACCCGUCCAGACAUAGCCUUCAGUGUGAGUGUUAUUAGUUAGUAUAUGCAUGCCCCGAGGGAGAAGCACCUGGAAGCUGCAUAUAGAAUACUAAGAUAUCUAAAAGGAACUCCUGGUAAAGGCCUGUACUUCAAGAAGACUGUCAACCGAAGCGUGGAAGUCUACACUGAUGCAACUGGGCUGGAUCUGUUAAUGAUAGACGCUCUACAAGCGGCUAUUGUAGUUAUGUUUGGGGUAAUCUCGUGACGUGGAGGAGCAAAAAACAGUCUGUGGUAGCACGCAGCAGUGCAGAGGCAGAGUAUCGAGCACUAUCUCAUGGUAUAUGCGAAGGAGUUUGGAUACAAGACUUAUGGGAGAACUAAAAGUGCCUUAUACCAGACCUAUGAAGAUGUACUGUGACAACCAGGCUGCUGUCAGCAUAGCACAUAAUCCUGUGCAUCAUGAUCAGACCAAACAUGUGGAAAUAGAUCGUCACUUUAUAAAAGAAAAAGUACACUCAGGAGAAGUAUGCAUCACCUACCUACCUACUAGACAACAAGUUGCAGACAUGUUAACUAAAAGUUUGAACAGAAACAUGUUUGAAGAACUUAGUGGCAAGCUGGGUUUGAUUAACAUCUACACUCCAGCUUGAGGGGGAGUGUUGGAAUCCCUAUAAUUAAGGAUAGAAAUCUGAUGGUAUUGGAAUCCCUAUAAUUAAGGAUAGAAAUCUGUUGGAAUCCCUUGUAAAUAGAAACUAAUCUCAGUUACUGAUUUUUAGGAAAUUAGGAUAUCAAUUAUUGAUUCUUAGGAAUUAGGAUUUAUUUCCUUUAAAAUGAUUAUUUCUCUCUAUAUAAAUCUGAAAACUAAAGCAGUAGAAAUAAUAACAGAAUUUUUUCCUCUGAGUUUUUACAGCAUAAUAUAUUACCAGAAAACCAUUGGAUUUUUAUUUCUGUGCCUUUUCUUUUUAAGAUCAUAAUUACUAUUGCACCAAAAUUAACUGAUCCAAGCAUAAUCAUAAGAAUGAAAUAACAUUUUCUUAUCUUGUAAUCAGUGUGUCAAUUUGUUCGUCGCUUUUAUUAUUGCUCGUCCCUUUUUCAGCAUGUCCAGUAUGUUACCUCCCUGUGGAUCAGGCUAUCGCUAGCAUGCCAAGCUCCCCCUCAGCGUCUCCAGUGCUUCAAAAUUUGACAUAUGUUCACGACGAAAAUCCAAUAAAAACUGAACCACAUGGGGGCUCUGACUUUGGUGGAUAUCCUUCUAUAAAGCAGAGAAGCGAUUCCUUUGAUGUAAAAGAGUCAAUGACAGUGCAUUGCGGGUAGGUUUCACUCUCCUUUAGCAUAUUCUAUGCGGACAUUUCAGGUUGAUACUUGUGCAGUUCUCAUGGCUUAUAUGGUGCAUUUAAGUGAUUCAAUUAAUAAUUUUUCUUCAUAAUAUGCCCUAUUCCUCUAGUUUCUUUUUAAUAUUAGAUUUAUAUACUUUCUCUGUCAGAUUUGUUAAGCGAAGUAAACCAGGCCUGCAGACUGGUUUCGACUUUGAUGAGUCUGACGUUGCAGAGUUGCAGCAGUUCCAUGACAUCAUUGUUGCAUCGGCCAUAUUUGGUACUUUUAGGUGUUCAAGCUUCCACAAAAGCUUCUUGCUUUUAUGCAUGAUUGAUCCUUAUCAUUGCUUUAUUUAUUUUUCUCUAGGGAACUAUGAUGUAAUACAACAGCCCAGGAACAUUAGUGAAGAAGCAAAGAAAAAUAUUCCUUUUUACAUGUUUAUUGAUGAAGAAACGGAGGCAUAUAUUAAGAAAAAAAGUAUUUUGGACAGCAGUAAAAGGGUGGGAUUGUGGAGAAUUGUUGUUGUCCGCAAUGUUCCUUACAGUGAUGCAAGACGUAAUGGGAAGGUUAGCACACUUCAGUUUGGUUAGUUUGCACUUUGAUUAUAUAUAUGUGUGUGUGAAUUACGUAUGUAUGUAUAUACGCACUUCUGAUCACUACUUGGAAUUUUGGCAAUCUGAUUCAUGUUUGAGCAUUCAUGAGAUCAUUGAAACUUAGAUUAGAUAUUUAUUUCUUUUUCCUUUUUUCUUAUAUCAACAAUAUUAAAUUCUGAAUACAUAUGCAAGAAAGUAGGAAUCACUAUUGUUGAGUUCAUUAAAUCAUUGUGCUUUUUGUGUAUAACUUUACAAUCUAUUGCCUGGAAUGUAAAGGCAGAUUUUGCAAUUUGAUUCAUUUGUAUUCUUUUUUUCUCUAGGGUCUAGGCUGCUAGAAGCUUAACAUUCAUCGUGUCUUAGUGUAUUUCAUUUUGCAGUUUGCUGUUAUAUGUGUUUCAGUUUUGUUUGGUUGUAAUAGAUAAACUGGAAGACGCCCAUAUCUUUAGGUGCAGAGAUGCCAUCAUAAUUUUUGAAACUAGUACAAGUAAACGUAAUUCGAAAGUUAGUCCCUUACAGUUUUAGCAACAAUGGUGAACUUGUCCUAUGGUAGUUGAAUUCACUUUCAAUUUCAGAGACUGGAUUUCUUCUUAUAAAGCUUUUUGGACACUGCCAGAGCAAGGAUGAGAAGAAAAGAGGUGGGGAGGGGAUCGGGUUGUUGAUUCUCAUUUUUGUCUCUGUUUUUCUUCUUCAAAAUGGACAUAAAUUUUUUUACUUAAAUUCAGAAAUAAGUGUCAUGACUAGGUUGUUCUUUGGUGACAUUUCAGGAAUAACUGGUGAUUAAUCCUUAUCAGAAAUUUCAUAGGUUAUCUACACUUAAAGGAUUCUGAGUCUUUUUUACGUCACAUGUAUUUAUGGCAGGUCCCGAAGCUUUUAUUACAUAGAAUCUUCCCCAAUGUUCGCUACUCUAUAUGGAUUGAUGGAAAGCUCCAGCUAGUUGUGGACCCUUACCAGAUUCUUGAGAAGUAACCUUCAUUUUGUGAUUAUAUUUAUAUGCCACUGAUUUUUAGAAUUGGUUCUUAAAUUAGAUUAUAUGAUUUCCUUUUUUUCAUAUGUACUGCAUCUCUAAGUUAUUAUGAAACACCAGGGCUCAUUGUCAUUCAAGAUUAUUAACCAAAGUUUUGCUACAUAGCUACUUAAGUAUAACCAUCACUGUGGUUUAAUACUCUGUGUUAGUACAACGAGAGCAUCUACAAUGCAAUCUCAAAAUUAUGAUAUCAUAUGUUGGUGAUGCUAUGGGAAUGAACAGUUUGCUUCAUCUUGUAUUUGAUAUAAAGUCUUCAUUAACCAAAAAGUUAUGCGACUUUUGCUAGAUUUAUAUCUUUGAACACUUGUAAAUGUUUGACAUUAUGAUUUCUUGAGUUAUUCUUUUGAUUUAAGUAUGGCAGAGAGAAAAGGCAGUACAACCCGAGGACUUAAUUAAGGAAACUUGGUCCUUUAUAAAACUUUUGUAACUUAGUGAAGAUGGUUAGUGAAGAUGGCCUCCGGUUAGGCAUAGUGAUUUGCGGCAAGCAUGCUUUAAAGUUGUCUUUAGAUCUGAGGGUAUAAUUUAACUUUUAUUUUUUCAUUACCUUAUUUGGUCAUUUUUCUUCUUAGAUUCUUGUGGCGCCAAAAUGCUAAUUUUGCAAUCUCAAGACACUACAGACGGUUUGAUGUCUUUGUAGAGGCUGAAGCAAAUAAAGCUGCCGGAAAAUAUGAUAAUUCCUCGAUCGACGAGCAGGUGGAUUUUUAUAAACAAGAGGGUUUGACACCAUAUUCUGAGGCCAAGUUUCCUAUAACCAGUGGUACGUACGGUAUUUUAGGCAAUUACUAAUAUGCACACACCUUUUCCUUCUAAGAUAUUUCAACCAUUUCUCUAUUAAAAAUUCUAGCCUUUUGGUGUGUGACUGAUUUCUUCAGAUGUUCCUGAAGGUUGUGUACUCAUAAAGGAACAUAUUCCGAUCACAAAUCUGUUUACCUGCCUGUGGUUCAAUGAAGUUGAUCGUUUUACAUCCAGGGACCAGUUAAGCUUUGCGAUGGUAAGAGAUAAAAUAAUGGCAAAAGUUGAUUGGAAUAUCAAUAUGUUCUUGGAUUGUGAAAGACGCAAUUUUGUCGUACAGGUAUAAAUAUAUCUCUCUUUAUUCAAUAUUGGCAUAUUAACUUGAUAGGAUUAUGAAUCUAGAUCGUUAAAACUGAUUUUUUAUAUUUUAUUUUAACCCUCUAUAAUAGCUUUUCAGUUAUAACAGAAACAUCUAUAGUUAUGAAGGGUGUUCUUUACUAAAUUAGUUCUCCAUAACAACAUAUCGUCUAAAUUUUUAAGUAAAACUAUAGCUAUUUCAUAUAAGCAAGCUAUUAAUUAUCAUUUAUUAAAUAAACAUAAUUUUAAUUGAAACAUUAUUUCAAUAAAAUGAUUAAAUUUCAUGUGAAGAAAUUUAUUAAUCUUAUUUUAUAAAAUGAAAGUAAUCUUCAAUGAGUGGGAUUAAAGAUCUCAAUUCAAUAAACUAUUAAGUUCUCUAAUUAAAUACUCUACUAUGAAUUUGGAACAUCAGAAAUUUAUAAAUUGAUUACUUGAAUUCUAUAACUUAUGAUAAAUUAAUUAAUUUAAUUUGAUAAAUCAUUAAUUAAUUGAACUUGUUAGAUUUAUGAACUUUAUAAUUAAUCACGUGAAAGAAUGUAAAAUAAAAGAUGCAUUCAAGCUACAAUUCAUGCACCUAUUAUACGUUUUUUAUUUUGUUUUGAUUCUACUUUCUUUCGUUUUUUAAUAUAAUUUUUACUUUCUUUAUUUGAAGGGAAUUGACUAUAUAAAUUCUAUAAUAAACUUGCAACGAUUUUCUCUCUAUUACAGCAUGCUGUUAUAGGUGUAUAACAGCCACCUCUCUAUAACAGACAAAUGACUCUGUUGUUGAGAGGGCUGACUGUAUUUUGUUUUUCCAAUUUUUUUCCAAGAGCGUUUGCAAAGAAGAUUACAUGCAAAGAAGAAGACAUGUUUCAAUUAUCUUGCUAUGUCAAAAAUCAUUUUAUUAGUGCUUAAUUAAAAAAUUGAGGCUUUUGAUUGGAUACAACGAACAUUCUCGAUAUGUAUGUGCUUGGAUGGGGGCAUUUACAGUUCCGAUAGGUGCAAGUAAUCUUCUUCAAGUGAUUUUUUCUUUUUUCUUAACAGACAUACCAUAGAGAUUUAUUGGAGCAAAUGCCUCCACCAGUUGCUAAUAUGAUUCGACGCCCUCCAGCUUUGCCUAGUAUGCGUAGAAGAACACCAGGGAAGAGGAUUACCAGACGGAGAUCCAGUUCAAGGCGUCACCGUAAGGCUGCUACUGGUAAUAGAGAUCAGUUUCUUUUAAGUACUUUCUGAGCCAAAGGGGGGUGGGGAGUGGGGAAGGCAAUGUAGCUUUCUUGUUUUCGUUUUUCUUGAACAAAAUCAAAUUGUUUCUGAUUGUCAUCACGGAGUAGUAAUAGUUAGAUGAUUCUAGGAUCAUUUAAAGAGUAAAUUGGCACUUCUUUUUUGUCUGAAAUUUUGAUAUCUAUUCUUUAAUUGUUAUACAUCCUGAUUGAGCUUAAUCAUACAAGCUGCUGUCAUUUUCCUUGUAUCUUUUGCAUUCAACCUUGUUUGCCACUUCUUUGGGGGUCAAGCCUUGCAAUAAUUUUCCAUCUUGAACCCAAGGUUAUACAUUUGGUUGCAAGUGGAGAAUAGAAAAUGGGAUGCAAAUGAUGAGAUUUGUUGGACACCACUUGAUUGUAAUAUUAUGAUCUUGUUUUGAAGGAAGUGAAUUAAGAGUCUCCAGAAGGCCGAUUUUGAUAAUCUCUUGCUCAUGCUAAUAUGCUGAUAGACCAUUGUAGAGUUUCCUGUAAAAGCCAGGCAUAAAUCUUGACCAUUUUAGUCAAUUCUUUCAUUCGCAUGAUCUAAAGGAGGUAUAUGACUACUAUUUGAUAAAUUUACAAGGACUUCAGCCCAAAGUGGAAAUCUUUAUCCUUUUAAGGUUUCAGCAUGAUUUAGGCGAUUGUUUUCGGAAGCAGGCUGGCAGAUUGGAUUGAGAAUCAAUGGGAGUAUCGGUCGGGAGAGAAGAGUUAAAUUGAUUGACCAGCAAAAUCGGUACGAAUGGUUAAAUUGGGCCAAAAAACUAGUUGAAUUAAUUUUCUUUACUUUUUUUUUAUUUUUUUAAUAUUAUAAAUUUUUAAUAAUUUAUUUGAUUGGAUCGAUGACUUGACCAGUUAGACUACCGAUUUAAUUAUGAAAAUUUGAUUUAGAUGGCGAAUAAUUCAUGGGAAUAUGCAUAUCUGGUAAAAAUUGAAGGCUUAAUAUAUCAUUUUGAACAUGAGUUUGACACUUUUUUUUAAUGUGAUACGUGUUAUUUUUUAGCCCAAUCUGGUACUUAAUAUUUGCCAAAAAUUAUAUAUUUUUGUACCCAAAGAUAAUGGUGUCAACUUUUUAGUGUUUUAUUUGGAUUUUAGGGUUGAUUUGAUGAAAGUUAAUUGCUAAUAUUAUUAGGUUCGAAUUUUUCAUGAUUUUGUUAAUAGAAUAUAUUCAAUGGUAAUUUUGAAUUUAUUUGAUUUUGCAUUUAAUUUGUCAAAUACGGUUCAAUGUAAGUGACUUAAUUCUGAUUUUAGGGUUAGUUUGAUAAAAGCUAAUUACAAAGCCAAUUAUGAAUUUUCAUCAAAUCGAGUCUAAAACUCGGAUUAAACACUAAAAAGUAAACACUUCUACCUUCAGGUGUUAAAAUCUAUAAUUUUCGUCAAAUACAACUACCAUAUAAAAUAAAAUAAAAACAAUACAAGUACCACAUUUAAAAAAAAUGCAAACUCAGAUACCAUAGUAUUCAUUAAACCAAAAUUGGAAUGCAAUUGAAUAUGAGAUUUAGUUAAUUGGUUGGUAAUUCAACUUCAAAAUGUAAUAGAUUUAGACUUUGAUUCUUGGUGACUUAAAGCACUAAAUUAAUAAACCCAAACAUUUUAUUUACAAGAAAGCAAACAUAAUACGUCUUUGAAUUUUAACCAUUUUUAUUUUUCUGAGAAAUUUUUGUAAUGAGAUUUCCUUUUCCUUAAUUGGAUGGUAAGCAUACAAAGUCUUUGAGGAGCUCAAGGUUCUAUUAUCUUAUACAUCUAAAGAAAAAGGGAUAAUCUUUGAUUAUGUUUAUUUUUUCAUAAAAUUAUGGACUUGUGUUACUCUAUUUUCCCCCAAAAUAUUUGUAUGUGAUAUUUUUAGUCAUCAAGUUUUUUUAGUUGAUAUCUUUAUGUCUGUUUUAUGGUUCAUGUUCGAGGUUUAUGGCUACUUCUCUCAACAAUGUCGUCUCUAAGGUUCAAACCUAAAUCUUCCCUUUGAAAGUGCAUUAUAUAACUUACCAUUACACCUAACUACUUAUUGAUUAUACUAUGAUUUUUUUAAAUGUAUAAACAUUUAAAAUUUAAAUAUAAACCUAUUAAAUAUAUACAAUAUUAUGGGUAAAUUUCAAUUUGAUUCUUAUAUUUCUCUCAAAUUUGAGAUUUAAUCUAUAUACUUUAAUUUUGACAUAAUUUAAUACUUUAAAUUUUAUAAUGUCAUUAGUUAGUCUAAAUACUUUAUUCUAAUUAAAAUGAUGAUGUGAAUUUUAAGAAUUGUUAGCAUCGUUAAAAUUAUUUAUUAAAUUCAGGUCUGUUGCAAUAUUAUUUUUUUGUUAUUGGAUACCAAUUUUUUUUCAAUAUGUCACACCAACAUAGAAGAAUUCUAACAAUGUUAACAUAUGGACCUAAAUUUUUAAAUUCGAAAAGUAGAGACUAAAUUCCUAAAAAUAAAAGUGUGGAGAUUAAAAUCCAAAUAUACAAACAGUACUAAAAUUUUGAGCGAAUUGUAACCUUUAAAUUUUUACACUAUAGUUUAGUUAAGAAAUAAAUAAUUAUGCUAGUACAAAAUCUUUAACAUUCGUUAGACCGGGUGACACUAUUAAUUGGUAAUGAUGAAAUAGAAAAGAUAAAAGUAUUAUGGAGACCCUUGUAUUAAGAGUCAGAUUGUAUUUUGCCUUUCUACUAAAAAUGGUUAAAUUAAUCUCUGUACAUUAAAUUAAAGAACAAAUGUAUCCUUUCUAUUAAAAUUUUUAUCCAUUUGUACUAGUAAAAACUGACAUGACUGAUAGAAUAACUCGACAAUAACACAUGGCGUACCAUGUAUACCUCAUGUUGACGUACAAAUACUAAAUUUUAACAACAGAAAUAGAUAAAACUUUUAACAAUUUUUAAAUAAAAAGAAUAAAAUAUAAUCUAAAGUAGUGCAAAUAAGCCAAAAAGUAUCUAACAUGGUGACCCAUUACUCUAUAAAUUAGGGACCAAUCAACCAAUCACAUCUCCCCUAUUCAAGAUAUUAAAAGAAAGCAGCACUUUUAGGUAGAAAAUUUUAUUAGCAUUUAUCAAUAGGCCAAGACAAUGUGUAAAAGCUUUGGCCCCACUUAUCCAAUUCCAUAUAUAAUAAACAUUAGGACAACAUAUCUCACCAUUAUUGUAAUUAUUGUGGAAAAGGAAAAAAAGGUUUUCACCCAUCACUUCAUACCCCACCUAUGUUUCAAGUCUCUUUGCACAAUUUGGAAGUAACCCAAAACAUAGAAACAUGACAUUUUAUGCCAUUGAUUGAGUAUGGAAAGUAAGCAAUCUCUCAAUUCUAUUAAUACUUUUUAUUUAUUUAUUUAUAUCCAAAUAAAAUCUCUUGUAAAAUAGUCAAAAUUAUAUUUAUUUGGACAUUUGGAUGCUUGGCUUGAUUUCCAUCCACCAUAAAAAGGUAUUAUAAUAAAUAUAGCCCUUAACAUUUACAUGUUCUAUCAAUUUAGUUUGUAUUCCCUUUUUUUUAUUUAAAUUUGACUUAACCUGUAAAAAAGAAUGGAUUUCUUUUUUAUAACAAAAAUAUUUUAAUUUUUUAGAUAUGACAGCCUGCAUGACAAUUCAGUAUACUUUAUGUUUAUUUAUUUUUUGAAUAGUUUUAUAAAAUUUAAAAUAUUUCUUGAUGUGUCAUAUGAGAUAAAUAGUGUCAUAUCAGUAUAAUUUACACGUGCACUGAACAAGUUCUUCGCAGGAAAUCUAUCGGAAUGGACCAAGGCUAAUUUGGAUAACUCAGGUUGGAGGUUGAGGAAUGGGGUUCUAUGGCCAACCCUCUUCAGGUUGUUAGCAUGGCGUAUAUAGAAUAUAAAUCUUUUUGUCUUUCAGGGUAUUUCUUGGAAUUUUUUAGAAACUAUUAAGAUUUCAUUAUGUUGGGCAAUACAAUAUAACUUAGCACAAAGUUGGGGUCGAAGUAGCGAGAAUAACUUAGAUGAUGAAGGUAUUUUAGGAAAUUAUACGAACGAUAGGAGUAAUGAAUGAUAAUUCUAGGGAAUUAGUUUAAUUAGGUAUUUUUUACACCAAAAAUAAUAAUUAAAAGAUUAAUAUUUUCGUCACUGUUCAUUAAAAAAACUAUUUCACUAUUUUUAGAAGGUUAAUAGUUAAAUUUAAUUUUAAAAAAAUAAGGAUCAAAUUAAUAAAAAUAUAAACAUUAAGGGUAAAAUUUGUAAUAAGCACCUUUUUGCUUCUUCCAUUCCAUCCAGUCCCUUUUAAUUCCAAAAUCUCAGCUCUGGGGUCAGUGUUUUGGAUCCAAACUUCCAUCUUAUUUACAAAAAAAAUGGCUCGAGAAUCGAGAUCAUGCACCAAUCAUUGAAUCAAAUACUCGAAUACCAGUAAGUUCUUUUUUUUUUCUUUUUCUUUUUUACAUAUAGAUCAUGUCUUACAAAGUUUUCUAAUCAUUGAAUCAGUUCUUGGUUAAAGAAAAGGAAAGGUUUCCUUUAGUUUCUUUGAUCAAUGAGCUUACCAGGGUUCUUCAGUAUCUGUAUGCUCCAAUCCAUAGUCGCUAUUACUUGUGGAGCUUUAAUGAUGUUUUACACUAAGGAAGUCACAGUUUUGGGUCACGGUCAUGAAAUAGCAAGCAAACUGCAAGGUUCAACGCCUCAUGAUCAACUCUUGAUCCAAACCUCAGAAUCCUUUUCUGGGUUGCUUUUGUUCACUAUUGGUUUUGUGUUGUUCAUGGUGGCAUUCGUUAAAGAUGGAGAGUUCCAAAGCUUCUUUGCUAAAGGGUGUGUGUUGGUUCAUGUUUCUAUGGCUAUUUGGAGAGUUUGUUUUGAAGGAAAACUUCUGGGUUUUGGUCAUGAAUGGCUUAGACAAGCUCUUGGGGAUAUUGCUUUGGCACUUUCUUGGGUUUUCCUUCUGGUGUGUUCAUGGAGGGAAAAAUAUGAUUAGUUUGAUUGAAAAACAGAAUAAAUUGUAUGUUCAUAGUGGUGGGGAUUUCUGGAAUUUCAAUCCAAACUGAUAAAAUCUGAAUCUAAAUUGCAAUAGCAUGUGUUUCUGGUUAGAUUUCAUGUAUAGCUAGACUUCUUUAGUGGGUGAAAUUGAUUUUGGGCAAGGUUAAUUUAAACCAACUUUUUUUUAUUUGGAUUUGUGUCAAUUUCAUGUCCAUAAUAUUUUGAGUUCUUUAUUUUGGUUCAAGUUUCUUUAGGAAAGGGGUUGAAUUAUUACAAAUUUGAUCCUCUUGGGUUUGAAUAAUUUUGGUUAUUUAUUUGGGCUUAUCUAAAUUUAAAGUUAUUUCGUGUCUGUCUGAAUCAAUUUAGAUUUAAAUGAUUGUAUGGGUUUAAGUUGUUACUUUUUUACAAUCAAAUAAAGUCGGGUCAAAUUUAUAUUUAACUUAAUUAAAUAAAAGAUUUCAAUUCGGAUCAGAAAUGAUUAAUCUAUAUACCAAAAAUAGAUUAUAGUAUCAUAUUGUGAUGAUUAUUUAAAUGAGUUAAAAAGGGGAUCUUAGAUUGUCUUACUUGAUUCUUGCAUAAGGUAAGGAAAAUGCUUGAGUUGAAAGAAAAAUGCAAAGGAAUGUGAUAUGAGGUUGCCAUGUUUGCUUUUAUUGCAAUGGUGAGAAAAUGCUUUUCAUGGCUCAAUGUAUUUUAAUGUAAAGCAAUAAUUUCCAUGUAAUUUUAUGAUUGUUAGAAAAAAAUUUCGCAAAAUAAAUAAAUAAAAGAUAUUUUAGUAUGAUAAAUUUGAACAAUUAAUUAAUUUAUUUAGUUCCUAAAAUUAUUAUUUUAAAAAUUUUUUAAAAUUUUAACUUUCUUUAUAUAUUCUUUAGAUUUUUUUAAAAAAAUUAUUAUAGUUUUUUUAAAAUAUAAAAUUUGAAAUUUUUAUAAAUAUUUUGAAUUUUAAAAAAUUAUUUUGAUAUUUUUUUUUAUAAUUUUUGUUGAUAGAGACCAAUUUGUUCGUUUUCAAAAUUGACAAGGUCCAAAGGAUAUUUACACCAAUCUAUUAUUCAAAUUAUUCAAAUUAUAAAAUUCAACUUGAUUCGAACUUGAAACUCAAAACUCGAAUUACUUAUUCGAGUUGACUCGAAUAACUCAAAAUUUAAAUUUUUUUAUUUUUUAAAUCGAAUCGAGUUUUACUUACCUUUAUUUUAGAUGAUUCCGUACAAAAAAAAAUCCAACAUUUAUAGAAAAGAUAUUUGGGAUAAUAACAUAGGGAUAACAUUGAAUUAAAAAAGAAAUAAAGUUUAAGAUUUAAAAUAUUGAUUUUACAUUAUAAAAUUGUUUAAUAUAUUAGUAAAGAUUAAACUCCGAAUAUAAUUAUUUUAUUUGAAUUUAGUAAAUCUUGAUUAAAUUUUUUUUUCCUUCGCAAUUGUAAUCUUAAUAAUUUUAUUUUGAAUAGUUUUAUAUAAAAGUUAAAUUUUAAAUAUUUUAAUUUUUAAUAAAAUAGCGACGUCAACUUAAUAUUUUUACAUAAAAUGUUAUGUAACUAUUUAUUUAUCAUAUUCAACACUUUUUGUUGAAAAUUUUUUAUUAAGUAAAAAAUUAAUAUAUUUAUCAAACCUAAUUAAGAAAUUCAAUGUUGAAUUUUUUUUUAAUUUCAAUAAAAUGGGAAGUUUCAUUGAUUUAUCGAUCACACUCUAAAGUGUAAUAAUCCGAAAACUAUUCGUGUAUAUAUUUCAUAAAAACAUGAAAUCAAAGUAGCCGGAAGACAUGAAAAUAAAUGGAUUAUUUCAAAAAUUUUACCUAAGCGAGAUAUGCUAAGACGAAAUAUUUGUUGAUAUGGACUUCAAGCCAUUAGGAGUACCUUCUCGAAUAAAUGUAGGAUAGCUAUUUGAAUGCUCGCUUGGGUUAGUAGGGAGUCUACUAUAUAGACAUUAUCGAAUAACAUUAUGUUAUGAGAAAUAUAAAUAAGAGAUUUCGAGAAAAUUAGUAUUUUUCGAAUUAUAUGAAGCCAGUAAGCAAACAACAAAUCAAUGGAUAUUUGCAUUUUCAAUUAUAUUAAAUUGAAUACUUAUUAUGUUAAUAUUGUUAAAUUAUUAUUUAUUUCCAAAUAAAAAUUGCAUUGUUCAAAAUUUUUCUUGCCUAAAUAUCAUUGGAAACAAUGUGGGAUGAGCAUUUCCAAUUUUACUUUUCUUGGGAAUAAUAUUUUCAACCAAUAAAAAGGUCUGACCCGACCCGACAUCAACGUGGCCUGCUUUAAAACCGUAAAACCGAAUCACUUUUCUUCCUUUGUUGCCUCCCUUAAAACCUCUGGAAAACCCCUCACCUGGUUGCCGGCUUCGUUUACUAAAAAUUCAAGGGUAAGCUCUUCUUUUUAUUAAUUAUCAUUUGUUUUUCUAUCUAUUUCUUGAUUCACUAGAGGCAAAUGAUUAAACUACAGGAAACAAAAGGAAAAAGAUAAAAACUUGUAGAGAUAAAAGAUUAAAUUUUUAUCAUUGGAAAGUGUUGAUUUGUUUGAUUCAUGUCAUUUUCUGUCUGGGUUUUUGUUUUUCUGAUGAAUUAUGGCUGCUUUUCCCUUUUUUUUUUGAUGAAAAUUGGCUAUGUUUUUUUUACUAAACUUUAGUGGGCUUGAUCUUGAUUUUACUGUUAAGUUGCCCGAAAAUUGGGUUAAUUCGAAAAAUGGUUUGGUUAAGGGUAGAUGAAAUAAUUCAGUUAAUGCCUAUUCGUUUACUGUUUUAUCCGAAUUAUACAUAUGAACACCUAAAUUGGCACUUUAAACUUUUCAAGAACCUUUUCUUGUUUUCUUGAGUGAUGGCCUGUUUUUAGCUGUUCACAUAAAUUUGUGAUGUUCUUAUCGAAUUCAGUUCAAAUCAUACUAGAUAAAUUGGAUUUGUGAUUGUUAUGCGCUUCUUUCAGUAUCAAUUAAGGAUGGUAUAAAAUGUAUAAAUGCUGAUAUUGGUAGUUGAAUGAUCAAAAAAAAAAAAGUAAUAGACAUUAUCUGCAGUUUUUUGGUUGUGAUAAGAUUCAUGUUAUCAUGGCCUAAGCUGUUCUUCGUUGUCUUUUUUGAUGAAAUUACUUCAUUGUGCUUAGUGGCACUUCAUUAUGCUUAGUGACACUUCCUUGUUCUUCUGCUUUCUUGUGAUAUGUUUUUCUCUUUCUUGAUUUCCGUAACAGUAUCUUACGUUUGCUUACUGUCCAAGACAAUGGAUGAGUUGCCAACACAAAGCACAUCUGCCUUGGCCUCACCUCGCUUACAGCUAAACCGGGGAUCAACAACGGCAACAUCUGGUCCAGAAUCAAAGCCAAAGAAGAAAAUUUGCUGUGCUUGCCCCGAGACAAAGAAGCUGAGAGAUGAAUGCAUUGUGGAGCAUGGUGAAGAAGCUUGUGCAAAAUGGAUAGAGGCUCAUCGUAUAUGCCUUCGUGCAGAGGGCUUCAAUGUUUGAAAUUGGUAUUCGAAGUUCAUAGAAUGAAAAUAAUUUGAGGUACAAACUAUUAUUAGAGGAUUAAACAGAUAUGAUUUGACAAAAAAGAAUCCAGAAAUAAAAAGAAAGCUUUAUCCUAAAUUGUUCAUUUUUGUUUUUGUAUUUUUCUUUUUUAUGAGGUUAUUUACCUCUAAUAAAUGAAUUGAAACAUCUGGAAUACUUCUAUGAAUCAUGAUAGGAUAGAGCGAAACUCUGUAUGCCUUGGUUCCUUGAGUAAACAUUUCCCCUUCUGUACUUCUAUAUUAGCCGACUCUCGUAUUCAAUUUCUAUUACUACCUGUGUUAUUGUGUAACCUAUGUUGGUAAAAAUUUUGACCAAAGAAGAUUGCUCAAACUUAAGAUUUGCUUUGUAGGGUAGAAAGAAAAUCAACAAGAUGAAAAAUUGGAGGAGAAAACAUAUAUAUUAUAUAUAUAUAAGUUUCCAUUGUUAUGCUUGGUAGGAAAGGAUGAAAAAAAAUCUUUCCAUUCACUACUUAGUAGAGUUGAAAAUUGAGUGGAAAAAAAUUUUAAAAGUAACAUAAUUUUGUAAAGUUCACCUUUGAUUUCAACCUUUCUCAUUUUCUCUUUGCUUAUCAUUUCAAUUUGGAGUGAUUCAUUUGUAUGCAUUAAGAACGAAAAUGAUCAUCUUUCUUAUUUUCCUUCCACUUGUUAUUUAUACUAAGUACACUUGAUAUUUAUUUUCUUUCCACUUUCAAUUCCUCUUUCCUUCCUCCCACUUUUCCACUCAAUCAAGCACAUCCUUAAGCUUUGCUUUCUAAGAUGAAAAGAAAGUUGGAAAGAUGAAAAAUUGAAGUGCAAAACUGGAAAGAUAGCAAAUAUGUAUAUUCUUUCCAUUGGUGUGCUGGGUAGAAAAUAUGAAAAAUUGAAAGAAAAAGUAAUUUUCUUUCCAUUCAUUGCUUGGUAGAGUUAAAAAAAUGAGAGGAAAGAAAAUGAAAAUUAUAAGAAAUGUAUAAUUUUGAGCACUUAACUUACUUCUCUCUCGUUUUCUCCUCUUAUUAUUCCAAUUUGGAAUGAUUUGUUUUCAUACAUUAAAAUGAAAAAUGAUCAUCUUUCCUAUAUUCUUUGUUCUCACUUUUCUUUCCUACCAAGCACACUUAAAAGAUUAUUUUCUUUCCUCUUUUCCAUUGUCUUCUUCCACUCUUCCUCCCGCUUGUUCAUUCAAUCAAGCACCCUUAAUGCUAGAAUGGCCUUAGUGCAAGAAUGGCAUCCUGGUGACAACUUAAUUGAUAAUGAAGGCCAACAUGGGGAAUAAAUUCUUGUGGUUUUCGUUUUCCUUUAUAUCUUUAUGUUUGAAUUGUUUUCCUUUGUAGAAAAGCAUAAAAAAAGUAAUGAACAUAAUUGUUAGGAUUGAGCUAUUCUCUUUGUCAAACUACCUGGUGUUCUAGUUCCUUUUUGUUCUCUGUAAGAUAAAUCUCUGCAUAUUGCUAGUCGCCUGGAACAAUGAACAGCUUUAGCUUAUUAAUAUUCAGGGUGUAGCAUUUUCCUGCGUUGCACUCCGCAACUGCAGUGAUUAUAAGUCCGGUAAUGACUUGAUCAGUUUGAUAUAUGGAGCUACCAUUUGAAACUUGAAAGGCUUCUUUGUUGUUGAUAUCCAAAUGCAGUUUAGAGUCGAGACUGAAGAUUUAUACUAAUAAUAAUUCAUUAAUCAGACAAAGGCCAUUGACAUGGCCAUUCCAUCAUUGUAUAAAAUGAGAGACAUAGACAAACAUCGGACAGAUAGACAAGAAAACACACUCAAACUACAACAAAAGACACAAAUUAUUCAACCCAACUUUUAUUCUUUUUAGGUCCCAAACUUCACCAUUCUAUAUGUCUGCUUAGUGACUGCCACAUGUGCAGUUUGUGCAGCUGCAGCUAGUUCCGCACUUGCACUUGCCAUCGUUCUCUGCCAGAGGCUUGGCCACUACAGUGCUGAUGUAGCUGCACAGAAAUGAAAUGACAGGUUAUAUUUAGCAUAUGUGACUGCAACUUUAAACUUAAUUCUCAAUUUUCAACCGUGCAAGCAAUUCCUUUUUGUGCUUCUCUAGGUAAGUAAAUGAUAAAUAAGAGACGAAAGUACUGAUGCAUGCAUGUAGCAGAUCAGGCAUCAGACAAGUUUUUUAUUGCUUGUUUGAAAAAUUCUCAGGGAUGGUUCAGAUGUUAUUUGAUAGCUGCAUGCGAGAAGUUGUGUAUGUUGGUUUGUUUCUUUGCAGAUAUCAGUCUUUGAAGAUCAGAAAAUAUACCUCUCCUGAGUCUCAAUGACCAAGCUGUUUCCUUUCUUCCUGUAAGCAUAGGAAAAAAAAAGCCUUUAGUUUCAAUGAAUAUUGAUUGCAAAUUCUUGCUCUUAGAUACAACAAGCUUAUUAAACAAAGCAGUUAGCUAUGUUUAUCCUUAUCGGAUAUACCGGGUAACAUAGGAUCUCCUUCAGGAAACAUGGGAUCAUAAAUACUUUUGAAAAGCUUUUGUCCAGCAUAAUGGUGACAUACAUGUAGUAAUGUGCGGCUAUAAAUCAUGCAGAACUAAAAAAACAACAUAAUCUCAAAUCACACACAACACAAGAAACUGCCGGAAAGUUCCAUCUUGGAUGGAUGAUUAUGGAUUACUUACACGCACUGGCUUUUGUCAGAGCAAUCGCAGUUGCCGCACUUGUCAGCCAUGGUGAAUUUGAGAGAGUUGAGAACUAAUAAGUUUGUUUAGUUUCUAAAGUAGUUAGCUAACUUGCAAUGUAUAUCCAGAGCUUUGCACUUGAUGUAUUUAUAGAUGAGGAAGUACAUUGAAAUGGUGCAAAGGGAAGGCAUCUGUGGGGGCCUCUGGUGGAGUUCAAAGGAAGGGAAUCUUGAUAAAGGAGGUGGGAGAAUGCUAGGCUUGCUAUCCUCCUCUCAUGUCCAUAUCAUUUGGAAUUUUUUUCUUUUCAGGGUUGUGUUAGAGAAUUUGGAUUUCAAAAGUAGUAUAAAUUGUGAUAAAAAUUUUCAAAGUUGUGAAUUUGUUACAUACAUAUAUUUGGUACAGAACCAAGCUUUUUAUUACAUGUUUUUAUAUAUUAUUAUAUUGAAUCUACUAAUUUAUAUAUCAUGUAUGCAUUUCAUUUAUAUGGUAUGUGAAAUUCAAAUGCUAACGUUCAAAGUUUAUUUUCGAAUAUAUAAGUGAAUUUUUUUAUCCAGAUUAUUUGGUAGGUAUUUUAUGCUUUGACACACUAGGAAAAGGAUGGUAAUGGGUUAAAUUUCAACAAAUUUUUAAUAAUUUUAUUUAAAACUAUAUACUGUAACACCCUAAACCCAGCCUAAAAGGUAAGAUCAAAUCCGGAAGAGUUACAUCAACUUCAAAAUUUGAUUUCAAUAAGUAUACAGAAACGUUCAAAGAUUACUCGACUAUUAACGGAUCUUUUCAGAGUUUUAUUUUGAAAAUCAAAAUUUAUUUUGCCGACUUGAGUGAUUUUAUAGUUUCACAUUAAAAAUUAUCAAUUACUGACGAAUUUAGCAAAAAUCAAAAUGAGCUCAGAAACAGAUUGCAACUCACAAGAUCAAACAUUUAUACAUUAUUGCAAAACAAUUUGAGCUCCACAUGUUGUCCGUUCCUCAAUCAGAGAUUUAACUGAACACACAAAGAUAAAACCAAAAGGUGAGCUAUAAAGCCUAAUGAAUAACCAACAUUAAUUAUAGUUAACAAAACAUUGUAUAUAAGUCGGAGUAAACACAUUGAACUUAAUAGCAAGUGUAAUAUAAUUGAACAAUACAACCCAACCAUAAUAGGAUAGAGCAGAACAUAACAGAGCAGAAAAUGGAAGAAGAUGAUAGCAUUAUUUUACUUGUACAUGCUUUUAUUUAUUAUUUUACUAUUUUACCUUUUAAUUAACACUUAAAAGAUAACCAACCCAUGUCCAUCAUUGUCCACCACCAAUAUAAAUGACAUAAUUACCUUAUAGAUCGACCAACUUACAUUUUCAAGGCCAUUCAAUCCAUUUAAUUAGUAGAAUUUAACUUUUGCACCUUUUUUAAUUUAGUCCUUUUUACCUAAUUAACCAUUUAAACUUUAAAAUUUCUUAACGAAAAUUUAAUGCAACCCUAAUAUAACCUUAUAAACAUUAAAUAAACAUUAAAUUACUAACUCACUCAUUAAAAUUGUGGUCCUAAAAUCAUUGUUUCAGACACCAUUGAAAAUAGGCUGUUACACGGUGGGCAUGCCCAUCGAAAAAGGUGGGGGUCAUGGUCCAUUGUCACCAUUGUUGGAGUUUCUCUUCUUAAAGUGGAUUCAAAUGUUGAUGCUACCAUUGAAAUAUUCAUGUUGCAAAUAAACCAAAAGAAAGUGUUUUGGACUAAUUAUAAAGAGGUCCCAAACUUUAGUCAAAAGUAAAAAAAAUGGCUCACUAGUAAUUUGUUAGUGAAUUAAUGAAUAUUUUAAUGGCAGUGACCAAUUCGAGCAAUAUUACUAAUUAGAGUGAGUAAAUUGAUAAAUAAAUUUUAAGACUAAAAUAGAAACGAAUCUAUUUUAGAGUGACUUGUGUAGUUUACCCAAUUAAAAAUAUAAUGUUAGAAAAGCAAAGAUAAAAUUUAAAAAUUUUGAAGGAGCCAAAGAUAAAAAACUUAUUUUUAAAAAAACUUAAUUUAAUAGGCCAAGGUAUUAUACCACUUACUAGGGGUGCUAAGGCUUCUUUUGCCUGCCCCAACUAUACCCCUGAUUUUCAAAUACAUUUUGAGUGGCAGUCAAUUACAUCAAACUCAUAUGACUAUAUAUAUAUAUUUCUUUUUUGAUAUAAUGUUUUCAUUUUUAUUCUUAAAUCGAAAAAAUAUAUAUUUUUAAUUGUAUUUAAAAUCUUAUCAUAAAUAAUUAUACUAAUUAAAUUAAAACUUAUUUGAUGGUUAUAUAAAUGGGUUUGACAUCACAUCAUAUAUUCUUUCUUCAUAUUAUAUCAUUAUUUUAUUUCUAAUAAAUAUGAGAUUUAAGUAGUUUUUAUAGCAAAUUUUGAUGAAAAUUUACCCUAUAUUUUGUUUUCUCAAGAAAUGUUCCAUUUGACAACCAAAAUGGUAGCAUCUAGGUUGGGGAGAUUGAUGGAGAAUUUCACCUUUGCCUCUUUUAAAAAGUAUAAAUUCCUUAUCUUCAUGCAAGUCAUCAACUCAAAAAAAGUGAAGAGAACAAAUUGAGAAAAAUAACAAAAACUAUAUUCUUUUAAGAUUGCUAUCCUAUAGGAAGGUCAUUGUAAAAAGUUGAAUAUAUAUGUAUGUAUAUAAUUAAAUAAUAAUUUGGUACAUUCAAAGUGAAUUUAAAUUUCCAUGUGAUAUUUAAAAACCGUAACAUGUUCUUAAUUAAUAUUUAUUUAUGACAUAUAUAAAAACAUGAGUUUGAAGGAUGGGUGAAUAAAACUCGAUUCGAUUCGAAAAAAUUAAAAAAAAAAUUGAAUUUUGAAUUAAUUGAUCAAAUUAUUCAAAUUUUGAGUUUGAGUCAAGUUAAAUUUUACAAUUUGAAUAACAGAUUGGUGUAAAUACCCUUUUGGUCCUUAUCAAUUUUGAAAAUGAGUAAAUUGGUCCCUCUCAACAAAACUUACAAAAAAAUUAAAAUAAAUUUUAAAAAUUCAAAAUUUUAUAUAUUUUUUAAAACAUUAUAAAUUUUAAAAAAAUUAUAAAGAAUAUAUAAAGAAAGUUCAAAUUUUAAAUUUUUUCUAAAAUAAUAAAUUUGAGAUCUAAAUAAGUUAAUUAAUAGGUCGAGUUUAUCAUAUUAAAGUAUCUUUUCUUUUUCUUUGCUUUGAAAAAGUUUUCAUAUAUAUAUGGUUUCAAAUUUAUGUGCUCUAACAUGGAAUUAAUUAUAUUGUAACAAUAUUUUAAUUUGGCAUGUUUAAUUUUUUUAAUUUAACUCGAACAAUUUCACUCGAUUUGAUUCAACUCAACUCGAAUUUCAUUUCACUCAACUUGAUUCAAAAAAAAUUUCAAAUCAAGUUAGGAUGAUAAAAUAAGACUCGUCAAUUCGAUUAACUCGAAAUUUUUUCACUCGAUUCCAUCAAAUGCUCACUCCUAAUGUGAAGAAACUUUUGAACUGACAAAGAUAUUUUUUAUUAUUAAUUAUACUACUAAAUUGACAUUAAAAAUAAUUUAUUAGUAUCUUUUUCUGGUAAAUAAUAAUGAAUAUUAAUGUGAUAAUAAUGAAAGUAAUAUUAAUUAAUAGAAGAGUAUAUUAAUGUGAAAUUAAAUAAUUUGAGUAUAUCUUUUAAAAGUUCAUAAAAAAAUUAUAUAUAUUAUUAAUUAAUAAAAUUUUAAAUUUAUAAAAUAAAUGAAUGUAAUUAGAUAAAUUAAAAAAAUAAAAAAAAGUUUUUAAUUAAAUAGAUAUAAUUUUUAUAUAUAAAUAUGAUUUUAUUUUAAAUAUGAAAAUAAUUAAUCAUGUUAAAAUCAAUUUUUUAUGAUUAACAAAAAUUAAAUCUAUAAAUAUGAUUUUAUUUUCAAUAUGGUAAUAAUUAUUUUAUUAAUAAUGCUUUCAUUAUUAGUGUAAUAGUUAUUAUCACUUAAUUAUACUUUGAAUCCAUAUUAAAUUACACUUAUUAUUUUAGAUUAUGAUUUUACUUGUGUUACAAAUUAUAUGCCAAUUAAAAUUAAUAUUUAGCACUAUAAAUAUAUUCAUUAGUAAAAUAUUUUCAUUCAAAUAACAUCUAAAGAAGUACUCGAAAAAUCAUAUUUUAGGAUUUUAUUUGCAUCACAAAAAAAUGUAUGAUUAUUAUUAUUUUAUAAGAUUAGUUGUUAUUAUUUGAUAUUCGAAAGUUUUGCUGUUAUUUGAUUUUAAUAACACUUAUGCUAACGGUGUAUAGAAUAAUUACUUUUUUUCUUACCAAACUUAAUUUUUUUUGAAAUAUCUCAAUAUAGAUUUUGAUUAUAUUUGUUUAUUUUGACACAAUACUUAGAACUACCUAUAACCCAUUCCCAACCCAUGAAUAGGAGGAUAAUGCGUUUCAGCGCACUCGAAUCCACGUUCUCUUACAUUGACAACAAUACCCAUAUCAAUAAAAUUAACACUCAAUCCACACCAAAUUUUAAUUUUUCAAUUUAUUAUUAAUUUAAAGUUUCGUAUCACCUAAAUAAAAGGAGUGGUCCUUCAAAAUUUGGAAAGAGUUAUGAAAUAAAGCAAAUGGAAAUAAAAUCAAAGUUUGAAAAAAAAUGGCUUGGAAGGUACAACUUGUGCUCUAUCUAUUUCCCUUUUUGUGUGGAAUUCAAUCAUUUUUCUCUUACUAAUUUUCAUAUUCCAUUUGAUAUUAAAGAAGUUAUAAACACAAUAUAUACACUCUACAUUUCUUAAUUCUAAAAAACUUCCACUUAUGUAAUCAAUUAUCUCAAAAAGGUAGAAUUACAAAAUUCACCUCUAAUGUUUGUGAGUUUUUCAUUUUGGCUCUUAACUUUUUUUUUCUUUCACUUUCCCACCCAUAAUGUUGCAAACAAUUUCAAGUAAGACCAAACUUAAUGAAAAUCGUCAAGCUAUAUCAACAAAUAUUUUUGUCCAACGUGGCAACACCUUAGUUGAUGACACAAAAUUUUUAGUUUAAAAUUAUAAAAAAGAAGAGAAAAUUUCUAAAAUGUAGGAAAUAAUAAAAUUUCUUCCAAAAUGUAACACCCCUAACCCGUAUCCGUCGCCAGAUUAGGGUUACGAGGUAUUACCGAUCAAGAAACAACUUUCAAACAAGUACAUAUGCACACAUGUUAUAUUCAAAUUAAUAAAACAAAUGACUGAUUACAUAUUAAAUAUACAUUAUUAAUCGCAAAACAAAUAUAAUAUCUCAUGCAUAUAAUCAUAUUUACACCUUAAUAAUCAUGCCUCAAGCCAUACAAAUUAUACUUCAAAAUAAAUGCAUGAAUCGUGUGCUUAUCAUUAAAAUGGUAUUUAAAUACAUAAUAAAUUUUAAACAUUUUAUUUCUUAAUAAUAACCAUGCACUUAAUAGACCAAACAAAUCAUAUCACAAAGCUUAUGCCCGGCAUUAACAAAUGUACCAAUUGAUUUAAUAUACUUCAUUGAGUAAUCAAUUAUAUGCACACGAUGUCAAUCAUACAAUCCCCAAUUCGGCUAGCCAGUUAACCUAUAAAAGUUGAACUCAAAUCAUGCAAUACUCAUUUAACUAACAUUAGCCGAAUCUGCAUGUGCAUAAAUACUAAUUUUAAACUUAUUUUCAAUUCAACUAUACAUCAAUCUAUAAGACCAAAACAUGCUUAUCUUCUUAUUACAAGAUUAUACGCAUAUGCAUACACCAACUGAGCCAUUUCCGAACAUCCAUACUAAACAUAUCACUUUUCAAUUACUUUAUAAAUCUAUUAUCCGAACCUAUUGACUAAAUAUUUUAGUCUUUGUACUCCUAUAAUAAACAUCAAUCAUAUUUCACUUUCAUAUGCAUAUAAAUAAUUGAAUAAGAUCUACAUAUGAAACAUCAACUUAAUACUCCCAUAUUUCAUACUAUUUCUAACAAAAACGCGAUAUAUAUAUAUUUAACAAAACAUAUUUUUCCUUAGUAAAAUUACCCAAAUCCUAAAACUAAUAUACCCACUCGUCGAACAACUUCAACUUAGCACACACAUCUAAAAUAAACAUUUAUCUAAAUACCAAAAAUGAUAUCUAACUAUCCAUUAAUUCACAUCUAAUUUAGUUAUAUAACCCUACAAAUAUUAAACUUCUGGAACACCUAUUUCAUUAUCAUCAUUUUAAUCAUAUAAGUUUCUUUUACUAUGUACCAUUUAAGCAUCAUCUCAAACAAAUUCAUCACGAAUAUAAGUAUAAGUGCUGAAUCAUGAAUAGCUCAAACAUCAUAGUCCAUAUCUAUAUCAUCAUUUGACCGAUUAAUACAUAAAUAUAUUAAUACAUAAAUAUAAAUUUUUUAUGUUAUAAAUUAUAUAAUACAUAAAAAUAACAUAAUUUAAUAUAUUAUAAAAUUAAAAAAAGGGGUAUGAUUGAGCUUCAACUUUGUAUGUUCAAGGUCUUCUGUAGGGCCCUGUAAUAUUGACUUACUGAUUGUUGGUUAGUGACCGGCGUAGGCGGCUGCGCCAAACUUACAAGUAAGAAGGGUGAGUCAUGUUUUCGUAAUUGAUUGUUCCACUGGCAAUGGGAUCUUUAACAACAGUUCCACUGUUUUCUUAUUCACUUGUUCUUUCCUUCCUCCCUACUCUUAUCGUUGCACAGCUUAAUCCUGUUUACUUUGAGCACGAUUGUAAUCAAGGCAGCGGCAAUUACACCCCAAACAGCACUUACGAGGCCAACCUCAAUAGCAUCAUCUCCCGAUUCCCCACCCUUAGUUAUUUCAAUUACGGCUUUUUCAAUCUAUCUGCUGGAGAAAGCCCCAACAAGGUUUACUCAAUCGCACUUUGCAGGGGUGACAUGAACCAAGCCGAUUGCAACACUUGCCUCAACUCUACCGCAACCGAACUCAAGCAGUUUUGUCCCCGGAACAAGAUCGCCAUCGCUUGGUCCGAGCUCUGUUUGGUGCGGUACGCCAACCGAGACCUGUACGGGCUGCUGGAGAACGACCCUCAUACUUGUGCAUUCAACCCGAUGAAUGCAUCGAACCCUACUCAGUUCAAUCGAGCAUUAAGUGAACUAUUGAAUAAUCUAAGCAGCGAAGCUGCAGCCAGUGGCCCACACCGCAAGUACGCAGCUGGCAAUGCACCGACUGGUAUCUUGCAAACGGUAUAUGCCACGGUACAGUGUACUCCAGAUAUGACCCAGGAAAAUUGCACUGCUUGUCUAAAUUACGGCAGGAGGGAGCUUCGACUCUGUUGCCUUGGAAGGAUGGGAUGCAGGGUUCUUAGACCAACCUGUGUCUUGAGGUUUGAGUCUAACCCUUUUUAUAAUGAGACCGCAGUUCCUUUACCGUCACCUCCAACAACUUCUUCUCCGACGCCAUCUCCAGGUAAAGAAUCGAUUUGUACUCUUUUCUUUUUCCUGAGCAAAGCAAUUAACAAUAAAAUAAAAUAAAAAAUAAAUAAAAUACCAACAAAAUGAGCAGUGGUUUAAUAUGUGCUUACUUAUUUCUGUUUGGAGGUUGCCUGUUAGGUUUAUCUGCAUAUAUAUUAUAUGUAUGUUCGUAAGAAUGAUAACAUUCUAAAUUUGUGUUUUGCAGGAAAUGGGAAUAACACAACUCGAACUGUAAUCAUUGUUAUUGCUUCUGUUGUUGGCCUUCUAAUACUAAUUACCAUCUCCAUCUGCAUUUUUAAGAGGCCCAAAAGAAACAAAGACAUACCUAUAAAAGUUGAAAGUAAGUAAAUUCACUCACAACCAUGACAUGGAUUCUCUAAAAUAUAAUGAAACAAAGACCAAACAAACAACUAGUAAGUGUAGAUCAGCUGCCGAAGAAAUUGUACAAUAAUUAUAUUGCCUUUUUGCAGCUAAGGAUGCGGAUAAUGAGAUGUCCGGGGCCGAUUCCUUGCAAUUCGGCUUCGAUUCUGUUUUGGUUGCAACCGAUAACUUCUCUGAUGCAAAUAAGCUUGGUCAAGGAGGAUUUGGAGCUGUUUACAAGGCAAAGAAUAGUACUGCUAUGUCAAUGAAUAUACAUGAACUGUAUUUCUAAAUCUAUCAAAAGCCACUUAUGGUUCAUAUGUAUAUUGUUAUGUUUUCAGGGUCAGCUUCCAAAUGGAGAAGAGAUUGCUGUGAAAAGACUGUCUAAAGGAUCAGGUCAAGGAGACUUAGAAUUUAAGACCGAGGUGCAAUUAGUUGCCAAGCUUCAACACCGCAAUUUAGUUAGGCUCCUUGGUUUUUGCUUGCAAGAACAGGAAAGGCUUCUCAUCUAUGAGUUUGUGCCAAAUGCAAGCCUUGAUCAUUUCAUUUUUGGUAAUGUUUCAGUUUAAAUUUCAUUUUCAGAUUGCAUUUCUAUUACAACUUUGUAUAUUUUUCCUUUUAACUGUGUAUAGCCAUCAGCAAGGACAUGCACCAAAUUUAAUCCUUGAAUUUGUUCCACUAAUCUGAAAGUUUUGUGAUGACGUAGAUCGGAUCAGGCGUGCAGAACUAGAUUGGGAAAUACGGUUCAAAAUCAUACAUGGCAUUGUUCGUGGACUCCUUUACCUUCACGAAGACUCUAGGCUUCGAAUUAUUCACCGUGAUCUCAAAGCAAGUAAUAUCUUAUUAGAUGCAGAGAUGGUUCCUAAAAUUGCAGAUUUCGGGAUGGCAAGAUUGUUUGGACAGGAUGAAACACAAGGCAGCACUAGCAGAAUUGUGGGAACUCAGUAAGUAUCAAGACAUCCUAGGAGCCUUUUAGAUAUUAAACAUAUGUAUAUGAACUGUACUAAUGAAGCUUCCCUUAAUUGCAGUGGAUAUAUGGCUCCCGAAUAUGUUUUCCAUGGACAAUUCUCAGUAAAAUCAGAUGUGUUCAGCUUCGGUGUAUUACUUUUAGAAAUUAUAAGUGGCCAGAGAAACAAUAGCUUCCGUUAUGAUGAGCAGUACGAAUACAUACUAGGUUUUGUAAGUAUAUAUAUGAUUUCUAGUGACUGAAAGCCAAUGUUAAAAGAGUUAUAUGUUUACAUUGUUGAAAUUGGACAUUGGCUGAUUCCUUGGUAGGCAUGGAGAAGCUGGAGAGAAGGGACGGUAUUGAAUCUCGUUGAUCCCACAUUGGGUGGUGGUUCAAGGAAUGAGAUAAUGAGAUGCAUUCACAUUGCAUUGCUAUGUGUUCAGGAAAAAGUAGCAGCCAGACCAACCAUGGCUUCGGUUGUUCUGAUGCUGAAUAGCUUCUCGACCACCCUCGCCGUGCCGGCACAACCAGCAUUUGUCAUGCAGAGCAAUAUGUCAACUUCAUCGGCAUCAGCUUCAAACCAAUCCAACACAGAGUUGCCACCAUUGUCCCGCAACGAGGUCUCAAUUAGUGAGCUAUCUCCUAGGUAGUGUUUGCAAAUGGUUUAUUUUAAGUUUAUUCUCAUUUUAUUUUUUGUAUAAAAGAUUGUAGCCUGAAUUAGUUGAGUGAUGACACCCUACUCAAUUAUUAGAGUCAAAAACUAAGUUAAGAAUGAAGUAAAACCAAUUUUAUUUAAUAAUUUUAAAAAAAAUAAAUUUCUAAUUCUAUUAUAAUUUUCUCGAACUCUUAAAUCUCGAAAAAAAAUAUACAUUUAAGCUCAUUCAAAGUCACGGUGACAAUUUGAUUAAAAUAUAAUUAAUUUUUUAUAUAUAAAUUAUUGAUAAACAUAAUAAGGGUGUUUAUGUUUUUUUAAUCCCAUAUAAUAUAUUUUUAUAAAAAAAGUUAAAUACUUUUUAAAAAGAAUUAUUUAAAAACUAUUCUUUAAAGAAAAAACCAUUUGUUUUAUAUAAUUUUUUAAAUUAUCAACAUUUAAUAUAUCAUAUUUAAAAAUUAUCUAACUUAAAAGUUAACUAGAGACUAGAGAUUAACUCAAGUAAUCAAAAUUUUUUUUAUUUUUUGACAAGCAAGAAAUUAUUUAAAACUUAUUAACAAAUAAUAUAAAUUGACAAUAAUCAUAUUUUUAGGUUUUAUUUUUAUUUUGAUAUAGUCAAAUAAUAUAUUAUUUAUUAAAAAAAGUUUAUGUAAAAGUUACGUUUUUAGAAUCCGCUUUUUUUACAACAAUCUUAUGUCAAAUUUUUAUGUGAAACCUAUGCUUGCAAAUUUUUCAUGUCCCAAGUAAUAAUCAUGUAAUGAUGAAGCUAUCACUGUCAAGUUUCAUAUAAUAUAUAAGAGAUAUGAAAUAUUUUUUUUUUGUUGGGAGUUAAACCUAAUAAAUUUAUAGUCUUUAGCUUGACAUUUGCAAAUAUCUAAGUUUAUAUUUAUUAUAAACCUAACCCUAAUCAAUAAAUUAUAUAAAAUUCGAUACCCGUAAGUGUUGAGUUUAAUUAUGUUUAAGUUUUCAUCACUUAAACCUAAUAAAUGUAUACAUCCACAUAUGUCAAAUUUCUAUAUAUUUAAGUUUUUACUAUUUUUUUUUGUAAAUUUAACUUUAAUAAAUACAUUUUUAUGGAGCUCGGCACCCGCGAAUAUCAAGUUUAAGUUAAAAUAAAAUUUUAACCGUUUAACUCAACCUAACCCUUAUAAAUUACUGUCAAUGUAAUGGAAUGUUUUCAAGAAGAUCGAAUGAGAAAAUUUUAAGAGAGUUGAAUUUUGAAUAAUUUUUUUAUCUUUUAUUUUAUAGAAGCAAAGUGUGCUUAAAGUUAGGUGUCAAACUUUUUCAUUAAAAAUCAUCCAUGAAUUUGACAUAUACAAGAGACAAGUUCCUAUCUAUCAGGAAAGCUUCUAUUUCCUUUUCUUUUUAUUUUUGUAUUUAAAAAUAAUAAUAAAAUAAAAAUAAAAAACAGAGAAACCCUAAAUUAAGAUAAAAAGUAAUCACCUUUAAAACCUUCCUCAGUUUUUGAUGGAUUUUUUUAAUUUAGGAUCAGUGUUCGCGUAAAAAAAAUACAAAGAUGAAAUUCGGGCUUUUAUAGCUGGAUUACAAAACUCCUAAUUUUUAUUUUUAUUUUGUUGUCUUGCUAUUGUCUUUUCUGCUAUUGCUUGUGGUUCUUCAUUUUGCAAGUGUCAGACGCGUGCUGGGGUGGUGGCGUGCGAGGAGGUCCUGCUGGCUUGCGGCGGCUAGGAGCAAGCCUAAGGGCAGACCUAGGUGCAGCGCACCUAGGGUUUCUUUUGGCUGAAAAUUUUUUAAGUUUUGUGGGCUAGAGUUUAGUUUGGGUUUAGGGUUUGUGCUUGAUAUGUAAUAAGUUAAUUUAAUUUGAAUUGCACUUUGAUGGGCUGUAAUUUUUUUAUUUUGGGUUUUAGUUUUGGGCCCGGACAAAAAUGGAUUAUUACACAAACAUUAUCCAAACAUGUCACCCAUUAGUAAUUACAACCAAAUAUAUUCAAAUUCAAUUACUAGUCUUUCCAAACACUACUACUCCCUGAAAACAAUAUCAAUAAUUUUCUUUCAUUGAAAACAAUAAAGAUUAAAAAAAGUUGUACUAAUUAUACACUUUGGAUGAAUGGUAGUGGGUUAAGAUAUUUAAGUUAUAAAUGUGUUUAUGGGCUAGUCAGGUCGAGUUUGGGCGUUUAGUAUUAAUAUACUUUAUGUUUGUCCAAGGUUCUUAGCUCAGCUUAACCCGAAAUAUCAACAAAAAUUUUGUCCAAGUCGAGUUUGGGCGUUUAGUAUUAAUAUACUUACUUGCCUUAUUACCGAAUCACAAGCCAAACAUCACAAGCAUGAAUAUCAUAAAACAUAACCCAUUAUUUUCAUGGCUUUUAUAUAUAUAUAUAUAUCCCAAAAUCAAACCCAUCAAGUAUUUAACCAAGAAUAUAUAAAACCAAGCUUAACCAAAAUGAAUAAGCCAUUUUUCGCAUGGCUCAUAUUUACAUAUCCUAAUAUCAAACAUAUUAACUAGACUAUACAUGCCAUAGGCUCAAGUUCAAAUUCAAAUUUAUAAAAUACCAAAGACGGUCGAUAGUGUGAUAGACUUCUUUGAUGAUCCCCGAGCUCGUAACCAACUUCCAAAAUCUAAAAAAAAAAAAACAAAGAGCAAACAUACACACAGUAAGCUUUCACAGCUUAGUAAAUUAUAAGCAAUGGAAACAUUUAAUCAUAUACAAAAUUAAUCUAGUCAAACCGAAACAAACCAUUAGUAACUCAUAUACCUUUCCAACUUAUAAUUUCAUAAGUCAAACCAUAAAAGUUUUGCAUAAAAUUCUCCUUUGACCGAAUACCCAUUCAAAUAUUAGUAUGCUUAACCAAUAUUACUUUUUAUAAUACAUUUACAUUUACAUCAUUAGGCCUAACAUAUAUUAUCACAAAAUUCACAUUAAAAUAUAACAUUAUACUAUCAAUUCAACAUUCAACUUACCUUAUUUCUUUUUAUAUAACUAAUUAGUAUGAGUACGUAUCUGAGCAUUUCUAGCUUGAUUUUUCACUUGAUCUUAAUUUAUUAUUGCCCGUUGAACCAUUCGGAAUUAAAAAUGAUCUUAACUAUAAAUAUCUGCAUUAGUAAAAUAUUUUCAUUCAAAUAACAUCUAAAGAAUUACUCGAAAAAUCAUAUUUUAGAAUUUUAUUUGCAUCACAAAAAAUGUAUGAUUAUUAUUGUUUUAUAAGAUUAGUUGUUAUUAUUUGAUAUUCGAAAGUUUUACUGUUAUUUGAUUUUAAUAACACUUAUGCUAACGAUGUAUAGAAUAAUUACUUUUUUUUUUUACCAAAGUUAAUUUUUUUUUGAAAUAUCUCAAUAUAGGUUCUGAUUAUAUUUGUUCAUUUUGACACAAGACUUAGAACUACCUAUAACCCAUCCCCAACCCAUAAAUAGGAGGAUAAUGCGUUUCAGCGCACUCGAAUCCACGUUCUCCUAUAUUGACAACAAUAUCUAUAUCAAUCAAAUUAACACUUAAUCAACACCAAAUCACAAAAGAGAUAAGAGUUGAGAAAUGAUUAACAAAUACUGAAGAAGUCUUUAUGACAUUGAUAACAAGCAAGAAAAAGUCAUAAAUCUAAAGUCCAAAUUAACACUUUACAAUUUUGAAUAACUAAAAUAUUUUAAACUAUUAAAUACUAUGAAGAAAACCCCCAAAUAACGCAAGAGGCCCUUGUACCUCUUUUAGUUAUAGAAGAAAAGUGAAAAAAAAAAAGGCAAAAUAAAGUCUAACCUAGAAAAAAAAAACAUAAGAAUGUAAAAUGAUCAAGGGAAUAAAAAGAUGAUUAUAAGAAUAUUGGGUGUCUAGUUUUUCGUGUCAUAAAGAGACAUUAAAUAGCUUGACACUACAACUCUAAUAUUGAUAAAAAUUCCUUCCAAAAUGUGGAUGAUUGGAGCUUGUUUGGACACAAAAUUGCCUCUAUAUAUUUCCAUUCAUUAUUAGGCUUUAAUGUCGUGACAUCUAGACUUUGUUGCCACGACCCCUAUGACAUUCAAGCUUUGGUGUUGCGACCCCCAUGACAAUUGGCUCAAAGGAGUCUUACUCUGGUUGUUUUUCCUUACUUGUAGCUUUUCACCUUGUAGAACUCUUGAAUUGAAUCAGCGAAGGAUCAGACACAAUCUUAAGAUGAUAGUUAUAUGUUCAUUUUGAUUCUAGAUCAUGUGACAUGUGUUUAAAGGCUUCUAGUUUGUAAAUGACUAUAUUUUGAGAAUCGAUAGUUUUGUGUUAAUGGUAGUAAUGAUUGAUUUUGAAUGUAACUUUGGUAUGAAACUUAAUGAUGCAUAUUUUAGUUAAGUUUGAUGCUAUAUGAGUGAUGAUUUUUCUUUUGACUGGUUUGGCACACUUAAAGCUAUCAAUUAGGUGAUUAAUGUUUUGGGAAUGGUAAGGUGAAUUUUAAGCAUGCCUUAUAACUUAGUAUAUGCUUUGGUUAAUUCAUAUUAUUCUCUUGAAUGAUUAGUUUUCAGUUGGGAUUAUGAAUAUGUUUGAGUUGGUGAUCGCAAUUGAUGAAAUCGUAAACCAACUAAAAAAUUGACUAACGCAAGUGCACUUAUCAAUUAAUAGUAUAGUUAUGAUGAAUAAAGAUAUCGUUCUCACGAAAAUUAAAAGUACUAGUAAUUAUCGUCUUUCUAUUAUUUAACAGAUAAAUUCGAGUGAUUGAUUGAAAACUAAAAUUAACUAAAUUAAUUAACUAUGAACACGACAAAGAAUAGUUCAGGAAAAAAAGAUUAACAACCAAGAAGCUAACAAUUCUCAGGAAAGAAUCUACCUAUACUUUAUUUGUCACUAUCAAUCUAAAUCACGUAAUUUAUUUACUUAGUUUCUUGAUUUGUAAAAAUUCCUAAAAUAUGCUAAUAUCUCUUUCGAGAGUAAGAGCAACUAACUUUAGAUUGAUUAAUUGAAAUUUUUUUCUAAUUAAAACUCAUUUUGUUUGGACCCAAAAAAUUGGCAAAAAAAAGAAGAAGAAAGGUGCAUGCUCAUUGAUAUUGACUUAGCUAUAUGCCAAAAUUAUAAUAAUACAUGGAUUGAAGUAGGGUACAAGUAACCCCUUGUUUUGUUGACUUGACUUAAGUGAUAAAAAUUAAUUUUAUUUUUAAUUUGGAAUUCAUUUAAAUUUUUUAUAUUUUUUUUUUGAAAUUAUAAAAAAUAUAUAGAAUUAUUAGAGAAAUAUAUGUCCAAAAUGAAUUUAAAGAUAUAAUUGCUCAGAUUCAUUUGUAUCUAAAUAACUAUUUGUCCAGAUUUAUUGUGCACUUAAAAUAAAAAAUAUCCUAAAAUUCAAGAAAAAAUCUACAAAAUUUACAAAAAAAAAUUAAAAUUUUAGCAAAUACAAGAGUAUAUAUUAAAAAAUUAUAUUUAUAUUUUUUGAAAUUAUAAAAAAAAUAAAAACACAGAAAAAACAUUACGAGUGAAUCUAAAUAUAUGGUUGUCCAAGUUUAAUUGUUCAGAUUCGUUAUGCAUACAAAAUAAAAAAAUAAAUUUCCUAAUUUUUAAUAUUUUUAAAUGUUUAUAAAAAUUAUUUUUGGGAUACGCCUCAACAUUCUACACCAUCAGACCAAAAAUUAAUAAUGUUAGUUAAGUAUGAGCAAAAAAUACCAAUUUACCUUACAAUUUUUAGUCGAUUGAGUUUUAACUCGAUUGACAUGAGCAUUGUUGUCAAUGUAGAAGGACAUGAGUUCGAAUGCGCUGAAAUGCAUUAUACUCCUAUUUAUGUGGUAAGAAAGGAUUAUUAAUAAUUCUAGGCAUUGUGAUUUUUAAACUUAAAUACUUAAUAAAUAUAAAUUACUAUGUUCAAAUACCUCUACAUAUAUUAGCCAUUUUUCUAUAUUUAGUUGCAUAACCAAGUUUCUAUGGCUUCAUGGGUGGCAACAAGUCUAAAUAGAUUAAACAUUUAAUAAUCUUAUUAGAGACCACUAAUGUAAGGUCCCAACUCCCAACCUAAAAGUUAAGGUCUCUUGCUUUUUCCCUAUAUCAAUUUCUCUUCAUUUUAUAUUGUCAUUUGCUCAACCUCUCCAAACCUUCCAUUGCUUUUCAUAGCCAUUCUCUGCAGCCUCUUGUUCUUGGAAAUUCCUGUCCAGUGAGAGAUGUAGAGUGAUGUCUACUAGUAUCGGUAUCACUGCUCAUGUACUAAUGCAUAAUUAGUAGAUAUUACAUGCUUGAUGUUGAUGUUUAAAGUUCAUAAUCGGGUAUUAAAUUAUAAUCAUUCAUAUAAUCAAAAUCGAUAUAAUAAAUCUAAAAAAGUUCUGAUUAUGAAUUAUGAGAUAUUUUUAUAUUUUUUUAGUAUUUUUUAUCUUUAUUUUAUCGUACAUAUUUUAGGUUUAUGAUUUUCCCUCUUAACAAUAUUGUCUCAAAAAUUUAAAUGAUGUGACUUAUCAUUGUAGGCAUUUGAUUGGUCCAAAUCAAAAUCUAACUCUUUCAACUGUAUGAACGAGUCAAGGUCUCAUCAUCUAAUUCAAUUAUCUUAAUUAGAUGAUCAUUUACAAUUCAAUACUAGAUUAUCAUACAAUCAAAAUAUGAAUGAAAAUAAAUUAUAUAAUUAAUAUAUUAAUUAAAAUUUUAUAUAAUGAGUAUUUACGGAUUGACUUAGCUAUAAUAAUAAUCAUAACCACUCGUUAUUGGAUUGAGGUUGAACACAAGUCUUGACUCUAAAACUUUAUUUAAUGUGAUAAAAUAUAAAUAAGUAUUAUUCAUACGAAUUUUUCCGCAAGCUCUUGUUCUUGGAAAUUUCCUAUGUCCAGUGAGAGAUGUACAGUAAUAACCAUAUAUUUAUGAUCAAUUUCGAAGUUUUUGCAAUAAGUUCUUAAUCACAGUCUUUCUGUCUGAAGAAAUUCAUGUCUAUGGCUGUGGACUGUUCCAUAUUCUGUAGGACGAAACUUUGUUUUAUUAAUGCUUUCUUCUUCCUGUUUAUCAUCUCCUCUUUCACAUGUCUUCAUGUAGUCUUCGGCACUGCAAAUGAAUUUGAUUAUGGCCUUCACUGUAACUCAAUUGUUCAUGAAUCCAAACCAGCUGACGAGGAGUUCAAUAUCAUGCCUUUCUCUGGACGUCAAUAUGGUUACUUCAGUGGUGGUGAUAAAGUCCCAAAUAAUCCUCCUUCACGUUCCUACUCUGCACCCAAAUCGAAAAGGCUCCGUUUCAAGACUCACCACGUAUUUACAACCGAAGCUGAUGAUGUCUUUAUGGUGGAAGGAAACCUGAUUUUUCGAACCUCGUCUUACUAUGAACGGAGUAUCUCCUUUGGAAGCUCAGACGUUCGUGGGACACUGGACUUCGAUUUUCGAGGCUUCUGGUCUCGAACAACCGGGAAGCUUUGCAUGGUGGGAUCGAGUCAUGCUUACUCCAAAGAAGGUAAACUGCUUCAUCUUGCUGCUGUUCUUAAGAUUAAUAAUCUUCAGACUUCAAGUAAUAUUAGUACUUUAGUCACCGGUACCAUGGAUAGCUUGAGUUCUGCUAAUGAUCCAACUCACUUUGAGCAAAUAUCACUGCUGAUGUUUCCUGAAGUUAAUUACGCUUACACCAUGAUUUCAAAUCAGUUCAGUGAAGGGUGUCCUCGGGGAACCGAUGUCCAACCGAUGUCGUCCCUCCGCUUAUCGCAAACUCGAACUAUUUGUGAUAUGUUAGGUGGAAGCAAUGCUUUCAAAUUGGAGUAUACUGGCAGUUGUAAUUUUUCAAAGAGUUGCAAUCCAUUUGGUGAUGGUAUUGGAUAUUUACCUUCAGUAGUAUCAUUGCGUAUAUUUCAGUGCUCAAACGAUAGGCAAAGCUUGAGGCUUCUGAUAGAAUUUCGGAACGAUAGCUAUCAGGGAUACUAUAGCUCUCCCAAUCUCAACACUUCAUUAAUUGGAGAAGGAUCUUGGGAUGCAAAGAGUAAUCGGCUUUGUAUCAUUGCUUGCCGAAUCUAUGAUGCAUGGAGCUCCUUGGAGAAGUCUCAUGUUGGAGACUGCACGACACGGUUGAGCUUAAGAUUCCAGGCAAUCUUGUCUAUCAGAAACACAAGCACCAUUGUAGGAGAAAUUUGGAGUGAGAAGCCUAGGAAUGAAGGUGGUUUCUUUGAUAGGGUCGAGUUCCGAAAUACUGGACGUUAUGGAGGACGAAUUCAACUUCAAGGUUUGAAGUAUGUAUACACGGAAAUGGCCGAAGUGAAGAAAUCAUGUCCAAAGAAGAAUCCUAAGACUAAAAGCAGUAGGGGACACUACCCAGAUGGCUAUUCUGGUAAUCUGGGUUUUAGAAUGUCGAUCAUCAAAGGUUCCAAAGGAAGAAUCGGAUGGGGUUCUUCGGUUCCUCUUGCGGUAGGUGAUCAGCAAGAUCAGAGAUUUCCGUCUCUAAUACCAUCCUCAAGCUCAAAGCCUAAAAGUUCUGGCGUUGAAUCCGAUUCCAGCAGUGGCUUGCUUAAUAUCAGCUAUAAAAUGAGUAUCAUGCUGCGUAGUUCGGAAUUGGAUGGUGGCCUUCAUACUGUUAACGAAUCUUCAAAUGAAUAUUUGAAAACCGAAAUCCGAAUUUCUGCUGAAGGGGUUUAUGAUACAGCAACAGGUAGCCUAUGCAUGGUUGGCUGUAGACAUUUAAGGUCAGGUGACAAAACAUUUUCAAGCCAUUCGAUGGAUUGCAAGAUCCUGGUGAAAAUCAAUUUUCCUCCAUUGAACUCGGACAGGAGAAGUAAGAUCAAAGGAAGCAUCGAAAGCACACGUGAAGAAAUCGAUCCUCUAUCCUUCAAGCCCCUGCAGUUUUCGGGAAGAGCUUAUUAUCGCAGUUGGGUUACGGAAUCAAUUUCGAGAAUGGAUUUGGAGAUGGACAUGUUGGUAAUAUCCAAUUCUCUUGCAAUUAUCUUUGUAGCAUUUCAAAUCCUUCAUGUCAGGAAGCACCGUGGCAUUGGUCCUUUGGUUUCACUUCUAAUGCUUGUUAUUCUAGCCCUGGGGCACUUGAUCCCUUUGGUUCUAAACCUCGAAGCAAUGUUCAUUCAAGAUAGCAAGAGAUCAGUCUUGAUUAGAGGUGGAAGGUGGCUCGAAAUGAACGAGGUUAUCAUUAGAGUCGUCACCAUGGUGGCUUUUCUGCUGCAAGUCCGUCUUCUGAUGCUCUCAUGGACUGCUAGAUGCUCCACUGAAAAGAAAAAGACCUUGUGGAUUGCAGAGAAAAGGGGGCUGUAUGUGUGUGUUCCGGUGUACGUAAUUGGAGCUAUUAUCGCCUUUUCGGUUAAGUCAAGGCAGAAUGGACACCGAACAGUAAGGGCAAGGCAUUCUUGGUACUACAUAAAUAAAAUCAUUUUGGGGAAUUCAAGAGCUUAUGCUGGUUUGAUACUGGAUGCCUUUCUUUUCCCUCAAAUCAUCUUCAACAUGUUCCACAACUCGAGAGAACUGGCUCUUUCUCGACUCUUUUACAUCGGAAUCACCCUUGUUCGCCUCAUACCCCAUGGAUAUGAUCUGUACAGAGCAAACAAAUAUGCUGAUAUAGAUGACUCGUACAUGUACGGAGUUCAUGGUGCAGAUUACUACUCAACUGCUUGGGACUUCAUUAUUAUUGUGUUGGGUAUAUUCUUUGCUGUGAUCAUACACUACCAACAGCGCCUCGGUGGUCAAUAUUUCCUUCCGAAGAGAUUCCAAGAAUCUGUGAUAGAUGAGGAAUUUCAGAUAGAUGAGGAAUUUCCGGUAGAUUAGGAAGAACAAUUGCCAUUGUGAUAUAACACCUAGUGCAUGCUUUAAGUACUAACUACUUUUGUUACCAUGGACUUGUUUUUAGUACUGAUUCGAAAUAAUAAAUAGAAAUGUUCUACAAAAUGUUCUAUUGUUGCUUGGGUGAGGGUUAGGUAAGAAUAUAUGUCCAAUAUGAAUAAAUUUGAAGAGUACAUCUCCUUAUCCAUGUUUAAAUAUGUAUCCAACAUGUUUAAAUAUGAAUAAAUUUGAAGAGUACAUCUCCUUAUCCAUGUUUAAACAUGUAUCCAACAUGGAUACAAAGAGAAUAUUUAAACUGAUAAUAAUUCAUUUAUCAUACGAAGUCCAUAGGUAUGACCGUUCCAUCAUAGUGUACAAUGAGACUCAGACAUAAGACAAACAGGCAUGAAAACGCACUCAAUGUCUCAAACUACAACAAAAAAACACCAAUUUAUUCAACUCAAAUUCAUUAUUUUUAGGUCCUAAUAUUGCUAUGGACUAAAACAUCAUGGUUCUAUGUCUGCUUAAUGAGUGCCACAUGUGCAGUUUGUGCAGCUGCAGCUAUCUCCACCCUUGCACUUGCCAUCGUUCCCUGCCACAGCCUCGACCACUACAGUGCUGAUGUAGCUGCAAAGAAAUAUCACAACAGAUUAUAUUUAAGCAUAUGUGUGUUGAGAGCUGGACUGCAAUGCAACAUGAAGCCAGCAGCUAUCGAAUUCAGCUCAUUUUGCUUGGUGCGCAAGAAUGAAACUCAACCGAAUGAAGCAACCGAUUUUAAUCAUUUUGUUGUAAUGAUAUUUAGCUUAGUUCAAUUGUAACCAACUCUUAAAGUUAGUAGGAUUAAGUUUAUGAUUUGAUUUUUGAUGUAAAAGCUGAUAUGUCAGCUUAUCUUUUUAGUUGUUUAAGUUUGUAUUAGUUAAGCAUUAGUGGAGGCAGUUAGAUUAUUAGGUAACUGUCAUUUGAGCCAAAAUUGUAACUCCUUUUUAUUUCAAAUUUGAAUGAAAAAAUGGCAAUGUUCAGUUACAAAAAAAAAUUUGUCUGUGCAUUCAAGUUUCUUGCUGUUCUGCUUGUUUUCCUUUUGCUCGAUCACCUUUGCUUCUGUCUUGUUACUUUGUUUGCUGUAAAUGCUGCCAAUGUUCCAACAAAUGGUAUCAUGAGCCUGAAUCUUUGAGGGGCCUUUGUAUGCAAUCUGUUGUGUUCAAAUUAAAACCAACAGCAAAGUUCAAGAUUUAAAAAGAUCGAAGCUUUUUAAACUCAGUCUAGCAGGAUGAAUUUUACUCCACCACCUCCACCAGUGUUCACUGGAGAAAACUAUCACAUUUGGAUAGUCAAAAUGAAGACUUACCUUCAGGCACACGAUCUUUGGAGUGUGAUCGAGAAUGAUGCUGAACCACCUCCAUUGAGAGCUAAUCCCACUAUAGCACAGAUGAGACAGCAUGCAGAGGAGAGAGCCAAGAAGCACAAGGCUAUGGCUUGCUUGCAAAAUGGAGUCUCUGAUGUGAUAUUCACUCGCAUCAUGGCCUGUGGCUCACCUAAGCAGGCCUGGGAGAAGCUGAAGGAGAAGUUCAUGGGGACUGACAAGACAAGGCAACAGCAAGUGAUUAAUCUCAGGAGAGACUUUGAGAAUUUGAGAAUGAAGGAGUCUGAGACCAUCAAGUAGUACUCAGACAGGAUAAUGGCCAUUGUCAACAGCAUUAGGCUCCUAGGAGUGGACUUCACAGAGAGCAGAAUUGUUGAAAAAGUUAUCACAACUCUCCCUGAGAAAUUCGAGUCAAAAAUCUCUUCACUUGAGGACUCGAGGGACUUAUCAGCCAUUUCAUUAUCUGAGCUGAUAAACUCCUUGUAUGCACUUGAGCAAAGGAGGGCAAAUAGGCAGGAGGAGAAUCCUGAGGCUGCUUUCCAAGCUAAAGCCAAUGAAGGCUCGAGUGUGAGUGCAAAAGGCAAGAAGCCUUGGCACAAUAGAAGGGUCAAGUCAAGAAGAGAUGAAGCAAAAAGAGUGUUCCCACCAUGUGUUCACUGCAAGAAGACAACACAUUCAGAAAAGUAUUGUUGGUUUAGGCCAGAUAUCCAGUGCAGAAAGUACAAGCAGUUUGGCCAUGUUGAGAAGGUGUGCAAGGGCAAACCAAGGGAGGCUGCUCUGCAACAAGCUAGACCUGCUGAGGACAUGCAAGCUCAGGAGGAGCAUGUAUUCACAGCAACCUGUUUUGUUGGCACAACCAGGGCAUGCAAUGAUUGGCUACUAGACAGUGGCUGCUCACAUCAUAUGGCAGUAGAUGAGAAGCUGUUUAAGGGCCUAGACAGAAGCUUUCACUCGAGGAUCAGAAUUGGAGAUGGCAAGCUGAUUGAGGCUAAGGGCAAGGGCAAUGUGUUGGUUAGCACUGGUUCAGGUAACAAGCUAAUCUUAUAUGUACUUUUUGUACCUGACUUAGACCAGAAUCUGCUUAGUGUAGGCCAAUUGGUUGAAAAAGGGUAUACCUUGGUCUUUAAAAAUGGUUGCUGCAUUGUUCAAGACAUGAAUGGUCUAGAGUUAGUCACAGUCUCUAUGACUGAUAGGUGCUUCAUGCUGGAUGUUAGCCAAGUAGAAAGGAAGGCAUACACCAGCCUUGCUGACAACACUGACUUAUGGCAUAGGAGACUUGGCCAUACCAACUUCAGAUCUAUUGAUCUGCUACAUAGGCUAAAUUUGGUUGAUGACAUUUUAAAGAUUGAGGUUAGUGGGAAUGUUUGUGAGGUUUGUCAGCUUGGUAAGCAUGCUAGACUGCCUUUUCCUGCUGACAGUGCUUGGAGAGCUCAGAAUAAGCUCGAAUUGGUGUACUCUGAUGUUUGUGGUCCCAUAAGAAUACCUUCAAUCAAUGAGAACAUGUACUUUGUCCUGUUUAUAGAUGAUUUAACAAGGUUGUGCUGGGUCUACUUCUUGAAGCAGAAGUCAGAAAUGUUUGAAGCCUUCUGCAAAUUUAAGGCAUAUGCUGAAAAUCAGUCAGGCUGCAAAAUUAGAGCCUUAAUGACUGAUAAUGGCUCUGAAUAUGUGUCUGAGAGAUUUCAGAAGCUUUGUGACAAUGCUGGGAUUCAUCAUCAACUUACAACAGUCUAUACUUUUCAACAGAAUGGAGUCUGUGAGAGGAAGAAUAGGACUGUGCUGAACAUGGCCAGGUGUCUCUUGUUUCAAGGCAAGCUUCCAAGCCAGUUUUAGGCUGAGGCAGUUAACACCUCAGUGUACUUGCUCAACAGGCUGCCAACUCGAGCAGUCAAGGAUAAGACUCUUUUUGAGGCCUGACAUGGAGUCAAACCAGUUGUAACACACCUAAAAGUGUUUGGCUGUGUGUGUUAUGCUCUUAUUCUAGUAGAGAAGAGGACUAAGCUCGAGAGCAGGGUUGCACCAGGAAUCUUUGUUGGCUAUAGCAGCAACAAGAAGGGUUAUAAAGUGUAUGAUCCUACAGCAAAGAAGGUCUUAGUUAGCAGGGAUGUGAAAUUUGAUGAGGAUAAGGUGUGGAAUUGGAAUGGUGUUGAAGCUGAUAUGUCUGAAAUGGACCAGUUAGACUUGGUUGCUGAACCUGCAGAAGAAGGACCAAGUGAUGAUGUUGUUGAUGAUACACCAGUAAGGGGCACCAAAACUUUGGCUGAUGUUUAUUAGAGGUGCAAUGUUGCUAUGAUUGAGCCCUCAGACUUUGAAGAGGCUGUUAAGGACAAAAGCUGGAUGAAGGCUAUGGAAGCUGAGUUGGAAAUGAUCAAUAAAAAUCAGACAUGGGAAUUGGUGAGUAGACCAGAACACAAGAAGGUCAUAGGAGUCAAAUGGGUGUAUAGGGCCAAGUACAAUGCUGAUGGCUCACUGAACAAGUACAAGGCCAGGCUUGUAGUGAAGGGCUACAAUCAGCAAUAUGGAGUGGAUUUUUUGGAGACAUUUACACCAGUAGCAAGACUGGAUACAAUCAAGCUGCUAUUUGCUUUAGCAGCUCAAAAGAAGUGGAGGGUUCAUCAAUUUGAUGUAAAGUCAGCAUUCUUGAAUGGUUUUCUCAAGGAAGAGAUCUUCAUCGAGCAACCAGAAGGUUUUGAAGUUGCUGGACAUGAAGACAAAGUAUACAAGCUGAGAAAGGCUCUUUAUGGCCUGAAAUAGGCACCAAGGGCCUGGUAUGACAGAGUUGAUGCUUACCUGACCAAGCUUGGAUUUAUGAAGAGUCUUAGUGAGCCUACUCUGUAUGUUAAAAGGUCAGAAUUUGAAACCUUGCUGAUUGUCUCCUUGUAUGUGGAUGAUUUGUUAGUGACAGGGAGCAAAGUUGAGCUCAUUGAUGAGUUCAAGGUUCAAAUGCAGCAAGUGUUUGAGAUGACUGAUUUGGGGGUCAUGACAUACUUCCUUGGUAUGGAAGUUCACCAGUCUGAUCGAGGCAUCUUCAUCAGCCAACACACAUUUGAUUUGAAGAUUCUUGGCAAAUUUUGCAUGCAAAACUGUAAAGCGGCAAGUACACCUGUGGCUCAUAGAGAAAACUUGACUAGCAGUGGUGAUCAGCAAAGGGUGGAUGAGAGGCACUAUCGAAGCCUAGUAGGCUGCUUGUUGUAUCCAACAGCAACCAGGCCAGACAUCAUGUUUGGUGUUAGUCUGCUAUCGAGGUUCAUGCACUACUGUAAUGAGACACAUUUGAAGGCUGCAAAAAGGGUUCUUAGAUACAUCAAAGGCUCAGCUAACCUUGGGGUGAUGUUUGAAAGUGGAAGGAAUUAAAAUUGGAAUGUUACUCUGACAGUGACUGGGCAGGAUUCCUCGAUGACAUGAAGAGUACCUCUGGAUACUUCUUCACACUUGGAUCGGGCAUGUUUUGCUGGAGUUCAAAGAAGCAACAAACUGUUGCUCAGUCCACAGCUGAAGCAGAGUACAUUGCUGCAACAGCAGCAGUCAAUCAGGCCAUUUGGCUUAGGAAGUUGCUUCAGGAUCUUAAUGAAACACAAGCUGAUGCAACUGAAAUUUGGGUGGACAACCAGUCAGCAGUUGCCAUAGCCAAGAAUCCUGUGUUCCAUGGUAAAACUAAAUAUUUUAAAAUUAAACUGCAUUUUGUUCGAGAAGCUAAACAAGUAAAGGAAGUCAACAUUGUGCAUUGCAGCUCAGGGGCACAAUUGGCUGAUAUAUUGACCAAGCCCUUAGGGGCUGCUCGAUUUGAAUUAUUGAGAAGUGCAAUUGGAAUGUGUUGCAUACAGUCCAAUGAGGAGUGUUGAGAGCUGGACUGCAAUGGAACAUGAAGCCAGCAGCUAUCAAGCUCAGCUCAUUUUGCUUGGUGCGCAAGAAUGAAACUCGACCGAAUGAAGCAACCGAUUUUAAUCAUUUUGUUGUAAUGAUAUUUAGCUUAGUUCAAUUGUAACCAACUCUUAAAGUUAGUAGGAUUAAGUUUAUGAUUUGAUUUUUGAUGUAAAAGCUGAUAUGUCAGCUUAUCUUUUUAGUUGUUUAAGUUUGUAUUAGUUAAGCAUUAGUGGAGGCAGUUAGAUUAUUAGGUAACUGUCAUUUGAGCCAAAAUUGUAACUCCUUUUUAUUUCAAAUUUGAAUGAAAAAAUGGAAAUGUUCAGUUGCAAAAAAAAAAAAUUGUCUAUGCAUUCAAGUUUCAUGCUGUUCUGCUUGUUUUCCUUUUGCUCGAUCACCUUUGCUUCUGUCUUGUUACAUUGUUUGCUGUAAAUGCUGCCAAUGUUCCAACAAUGUGUUCGACUGUGCAAGACAUAGCUCCUUUUUUUUCUUCUCUAGGUAAGAAUAUGAUUACUUAUCCAAAUGGGUUCAAUUUUGGUUAAAUUAUUCAAUAUUGGUCCUAAUAUACCUCUUUUCAGUCUCAAUGACCAAGCUAUUUCCUUUCUUCCUAUAAGCAUAACAAAAAAAGCCUUCAGUUUCAAUGAUAAUUGAUUGCAAACUCAUGCAUUUAGUCACAUCAACCUUAAUAAAUUUAUAUCUUAUCUAUGAAAAAAUUUAUAAUUAAAUUUCGACCGCUAUUAAAUAUUUUUUUUGAAUUUUCCCCUAGUAGUAUGCAGCUAAAAAACAUGCAGAACUAACUUAGGAACAAUAACAAAAUCAAAGAACCACACACAACAGUAGAAACUGGUCGAAAGCUGAUGAUGGAAGGAUGAUUUCUUGCACGCACUGGCUCUUGUCAGAGUAGUCGCAGUUGCCACACUUGUCAGACAUGGUGAAUUUGAAAGAGUUGAGAGGUAAAAGGUUUGUUUGAGUUUCUAAAGUAGUUAAGCUAACUUGCGAUGUAUAUCUAAAGCUAUGCACUUGAUGUAUUUAUAGAAGAGGAAGUACAUUGAAAUGGUGCAAAGGGAAGGCAUCUGUAGGGGCCCAAGUAGGCAUAAGAGAAGCACACGCCUCUGCUACAAGAGUUCAAAGGAAAGGAAUCUUUGUUGGAACAAUGGCAGCAUGUAUCAACCCAAUUAGCAAGCAGAACCAAAUGGGAUCGAAUCAGAAAUGAAAACAAAGCAAAAUCAAUAAACAAGACUUGAAUAUUCAGCAAAAUGUAACUGAACAACUUAACUUUUUCAUUCAAAUUUGAAAAACAUAUACUGGAGUUACAAUUUGACUUAGUUGAUAGUUACCUAAUGAUAUAAUUGCUCCCACUUAAACUAAACUAAUACAAGUUUAAGUCAAAUACAAAGAUAAGCUGACAUACCAGCUUUUACAUAAAAAAUCCAAUCACAAACUUAAUCCUACUAACUUUGGAAGCUAGUUAAAACUGAACUAAGUAAAAUUACAUAGCAACAAAAUGACCAAAUUAGAUUACUUCAUUCGGUCUAGUUUUAUCCUUGCGCACCAAGCAAUGCUGCUGAGCUCGAUGGCCAACCAUGUUGCUGGUUUCAUGUUGUAAUACAGUCCAGCUUUUAACACUCCUCCUUGGACUGUAUGCAACACAUACCAAUUGUACUUCUCAAUGCCUCAAAGCAAGCAGCUCCUAAGGGCUUAGUUAGCAUAUUAGCCAAUUGUGCCCUUGAGCUACAACGAACAAGGCUGACUUCCCUUGUUUGCUCAGCCUCUCGAACAAAAUGCAACUUAAUCUUAAAGUGCUUAGUUUUACCAUGGAACACAGGGUUCUUAGCUAUGACAACUGCUGAUUAAUUGUCCACCCAAAUCUCAGUUGCUUCAGCUUGAGUUUCAUUAAGGUCUUGAAGCAGUUUCCUAAGCCAAAUGGCCUGAUUAGCAGCUGUUGCAGCUACAAUGUACUCUGCUUCAGCUGUAGAUUGAGCAACAGUCUAUUUCUUCUUUGAACUCCAGCAAAACAUACUCGAUCCAAGUGUGAAUAAGUAUCCAGAGGUACUCUUCAUGUCAUAAAGGGAUCCUGCCCAGUCACUGUCUGAAUAACCUUCAAGUUUCAACUCCUUUCCACUUUUAAACUUUACACCAAAGUUUGCUGUCCCUUUGAUGUAUCUAAGGAGCCUCUUUGCAGCCUUCAAAUGAACCUCAUUACAGCAGUGCAUGAACCUUGAUAGCAAACUGACACCAAACACAAUGUUUGGCCUAGUUGUUGUUAAAUACAACAGGCAACCUACUAGGCUUCGAUACUACCUUUCAUCAACCCUUUCUUGAUCGCCAUUGCUAGUCAGUUUUUCUCCUUGAGCCACAGGUAUGCUUACUGUUUUACAGUUCUGCAUGCAAAAUUUAACAAGGAUCUUCAAAGUAAAUGUGUGUUGGCUGAUGAAGAUGCCUCGAUCAGACUGGUGCACUUCCAUUCCAAGGAAGUAUGUCAUGGUCCCUAAGUCAGUCAUCUCAAACACUUGCUGCAUUUGAACCUUGAACUCAUCAAUGAGCUCAGUUUUGCUCCCUGUCACUAAUAAAUCAUCCACAUACAAGGAAACAAUCAACAAGGUCUCUUGUUCUAACUUCUUAACAUAAAGGGUAGGUUCAUUAGGACUUUUCACAAAUCCAAGUUUGGACAGAUAGGUGUCAACUCUGUCAUACCAGGCUCUUGGCCUGCUUCAGGCCAUAAAAAGCCUUUCUCAGCCUGUACACCUUGUCUUUAUGUCCAGCAAUCUUAAAUCCAUCUGGUUGCUCAAUAAAGAUCUCCUCCUUGAGAAAACCAUUCAGAAAUGCUGAUUUCACAUCCAAUUGGUGAACCCUCCAAUGCUUCUGAGCUGCUAAAGCAAAUAGGAGCUUGAUUGUGUCCAGUCUUGCUACUGGUGCAAAUGUCUCCAAGAAUUCAACACCAUAUUGUUGAUUGUAGCCCUUCACCACAAGCCUAGCCUUAACACCUAUGACUUUCUUGUGGUGUUAAGCCUAGUCUUAACACCAUAUUGCUAUUGAUUGUGCUUGUUCAAUGAGCCAUCACCAUUAUAUUUGGCUCUGUACACCCACUUAACACCUAUGACCUUCUUGUGGUCUGGUCUGUCACUAAUUCCCAUGUUUGAUUCUUGUUUAUCAUCUCCAACUUAAUUUCCAUAGCUUUCAUCCAGUUCCUAUCUUUGGCAGCCUCUUCAAAAUCUGUAGGCUCGAUCACAGCAAUACUACACCUCUAAUAAACAUCAGUCAAGGUUCUGGUGCCCCUCACUGGUGUAUCAUCAAUAGCAUCAUCAAUUGGUCCCUUUUCUGUAUGCUCAAUAACCAAGUCCAUCUGAUCCAUUUCAAACAUGACUGCCUCAGUACCAUUCCACUUCCACACCUUUUCUUCAUCAAAUUUCACAUCUCUGCUGACUAAGACCUUCUUUGUUGAAGGAUCAUACACUCUAUAACCCUUCUUGUUACUGCUGCAGCCAAAAAAGACUCAUGAAAUAGCUCUGCUCUCGAGCUUGGUUCUCUUUUCCACUAGAACAUGUGCAUAGCACACACAGCCAAAAACUUUCAGGUGAGUUACCACUGGUUUGACUCCAUGCCAAGCCUCAAAAGGUGUUUUACCCUUGACUGCUUGAGUUGGCAGCCUAUUGAGCAGGUAUAUUGAGGUGUUGACUGCCUCAGCCUAAAACUGACUUGGAAGCUUGCUUUGAAACAACAGGCAUCUGGUCAUGUUUAGCACUGUUCUAUUUUUCCUUUCACAAACUCCAUUCUGUUAAGGAGUAUAGACUGUUGUAAGCUGAUGGUGAAUCCCAGCAUUUUCACAAAGCUUCUGAAAUCUAUCAGACACAUAUUCAGAGCCAUUAUCAGUCCUCAAGGCUCUAAUUUUACAACCUGACUGAUUUUCAGCAUAUGCCUUAAAUUUGCAGAAGACCUCAAAUACCUCUGACUUUUGCUUCAAGAAGUAGACCCAACACAACCUUGUUAGAUCAUCUAUAAACAGGUAAAAUACCCAUUGUCACUGAUUGAAGGUGUUCUCAUAGGACCACAAACAUCAGAAUGCACUAAUUCGAGCUUAUCUUGAGCUCUCCAAGCACUGUCAGCAGGAAAAUGCAGUCUAGCCUGCUUACCAAGCUGACAAACCUCACAAACAGUCCCACUAGCUUCAAUUUUAGACAUGUCUUCAACCAAAUUGAGUCUAUGCAACAUAUCAAUGAAUAUGAAAUUAGCAUGGCCUAAUCUCUUAUGCCACAAGUCAGUGCUAUCAGCAAGGCUGGUGUAUGCCUUUCUUUCCACUUGGCUAACAUCCAGAAUGAAGCAUUUAUCAGCCAUAGAGACUGUAACUAGCUCCUGACCAUGCAUGUCUUGAACAAUACAAUAGCCAUCCUUAAAGACCAAUGUAUAGCCCUUUUCAACUAAUUGGCCUACACUAAGCAAGUUCUGGUCUAAGUCAGGUACAAAGAGCACAUCAGUGAUUAGCUUGUUACCUGAGCCAGUGUUGACCAACACAUUGCCUUUGCCUUUAACCUCAAUUAGCUUCCCAUCUCCAAUUCUGAUCUUCGAGUAGAAGCUUCUGUCUAGCCCCUUAAACAGCUUCUCAUUAGCUGCCAUAUGGUGUGAGCAGCCACUGUCUAGUAGUCAAUCAUUGCUGGCCUUUGUUGUGCCAACAAAACAGGUUGCUAUAAACACAUACUCCUCUUGAGUUUGCAAAUCCUCAGCAGGUCGAGCCUGUUGCUGAGUGACCUCCUUUGGCCUGCCCUUGCACACCUUCUCCACAUGACCAAACUGCUUGCACUUCCUGCAUUGGAUGUCUGGCCUAAACCAACAGUAUUUUUCUGAAUGAGUUGUCUUUUUGCAGUGAACACAUGGUGGAAACACCUUUUUUGCUUCAUCUCUUCCUGGUUUGACCCUCCUAUUGUGCCAAGGCUUUUUGCCUUUUGCACUUGAACUCGAGCCUUCACUGGCUUUUACCUGGAAAGUAGCUUCAGGAUUUUCCUCCUGCCUAUUUGCCCUCCUUUACUCAAGUGCAUACAGGGAGUUUAUCAGCUCAGAAAAUAAAAUGGCUGAUAAGUCCCUCGAGUCCUCAAUUGAAGAGAUCUUUGACUCAAAUUUCUCAAGGAGAGUUGUGAUGACCUUUUCAACAACUCUGCUCUCUAUGAAGUCCACUCCAAGGAGCCUUAUGCUGUUGUCAAUGGCCAUUAUUCUGUCUGAGUACUGCUUGAUGGUCUCAGACUCCUUCAUCCUCAAAUUCUCAAAGUCUCUUUUGAGAUUGAUCACCUGUUGCUGCUUUAUCUUGUCAGUCCCCAUGAACUCCUCCUUUAGCUUCUUCCAUGCCUGCUUUGGUGAGUCACAGGCCAUGAUGUGAGUGAAUAUCACAUUAGACACUCCAUUUUAUAGACAGGCCAUAACCUUGUGCUUCUUGGCUCGCUCCUCAGCAUGCUGCCUCAUUUGAGCAAUAGUGAGAUUGGCUCUCAAUGGAGGUGGUUCAGCUUCAUUCUCGAUUACACUCCAAAGAUCGUGUGCCUAGAGGUAUGUCUUUAUUUUAACUAUCUAGAUGUGAUAGUUUUCUCCAGUGAACACUGGUGGUGGUGGUGGAGUGAAACUCAUUCUUCUUGUUUGAGUUUAACUGCUUUAAUCUUCUCUAAUUUUAAGCUUUGCUUUUGGUUUUGGUUUGAACACAACAAAAUGCAAAGCCCCCUCAAAGACUCGGGCUCAUGAUACUAUUUGUUGGAACAAUAGCAGCAUGUAUCAACCCAAUUAGCAAUCAAAACCAAAUGAGAUCGAAGCAGAAAAGAAAACAAAGCAAAAGCAAUAAACAAGACUUGAAUAUUCAGCAAAAUGUAACUGAACAACUUAACUUUUUCAUUCAAAUUUGAAAAACAUAUACUGGAGUUACAAUUUGACAUAGUUGACAGUUACCUAAUGAUAUAACUGCUCCCAAUUAAACUAAACUAAUACAAGCUUAAGUCAAAUACAAAGAUAAGCUGACAUACCAGCUUUUACAUAAAAAAAUCCAAUCACAAACUUAAUCCUACUAACUUUAGAAGCUAGUUAAAACUGAACUAAGUAAAAUUACAUAGCAACAAAAUGGCCAAAUCAGAUUACUUCAUUCGGUCCAGUUUCAUCCUUGCGCACCAAGCAAUGCUGCUGAGCUCGAUGGCCAACCAUACUGCUGGUUUCAUGUUGCAAUGCAGUCCAGCUUUCAACAAUCUUGACAAUGGAGGCAAAGGAAUGGUUGGCUUACUGUCCUCCUUUUAUGUCUAUAUCAUUUGGAAUUUUCUUUUAGGUUGUCUUUUAGAAUGUAAUCCCAAAAUCUAUGCAAUACAGACUCUACCCAAAAAGAAAAAUCAAAUUCAACUUUGAAUUGGUACUGCCUUAUCAGGAUCAUAGUUUUCAAAGACAUUAGGAUUUUGAUCUAAAUAUAAAUCUUACAAAUAAAUAAGUGAUGUGUAUUUGAGAGCACCAAAAAUAUCCUAUUCCUAUAAAAUAACAAAAAGAAUAAUAUAAGGUAAGUAGGGUCAAAUCCUUAGGGACUGGACUUGCACAAGUUCCUUUUUCUCGAGAAACUAAGUAGUGUCGUGCCCAUGAAAAACGACAUACCUGAAAAAAAAUAGAAUUAAAAGUUUGGUUGAAUUGACAUUACGUAAAUUGAAAUUAAAAUUGUAAAGGUAAAUAGAGUUGAGAAAAGAGAGUUUUUGAUGGAGAGAUUUCAACCUUCGAUUAUCUCGAUCCUCCUUCGGUUCAAUCCUAGGCUUUUAGGUGAUCCUUCUCGAACAGAAUAAGCCAGUUAUAAUGGAAGAGGAUGCCCACGACCACCAGCUCCACUUAAGUUUUAGACUUACGAUUUAGAGGAACCUGACCCUACCCAACCAUUGCUUCUGUGGACUGUCUUACACUAGAUCAUCACUUCUCAAUGGCGAAUGCCACACCAUCUUGUCUCUUGGGCUCGACAACCACUGACACAGUAGGCUAACGAACUGACUAUGCAACCUUAUCAACACAUACAAAGCGGCCGCCUUUGCACAAGAUUAAAAAAUAACUUUUGAAGGGACAUGGACGAAGUGUCAGUCCUGUAGUACGGAGAAACGAUGAAUACUCGUUGAGAAGACUAAGUUCAGAUUCUAAGCCUCAUGAAUCCUUUUGGGGAAUCUCAACAACCUUUGGCUAGAUUAAUUUAGUGGCUCAUGCUUUUUGGGAAAAAAAGAAAUAAAAUUAAUAAAAAUGAAAUUUUAUUGAAUAAAUGAAAGGAACAAAGCUAGAGCUUUUUGGGAGAGGGAGCUUUUACAGAAAAGAUAGUGAAAUUGGUGUCAAUCCAUCCCCUAUUUAUAGUACUCAGAAGACCUAGUUUAUUCCUAUCUAAAUUUUAAAAGAUAAAUAAAGAUAAAAGCUAAAAUUAAAUCUUAACAAUAAUCCUAAUAUAAUUAAAAUUUAAAUAGAGUAGUGUGUUUAUAAAAUCUCUUUUUUAAACUGUUGCCCCCAAGUCUUCCACACUUUGCAUUUUCGGCACCACUUCUUUCCUAGUUCGCAUGUUGGCCCAUUUUAUCUUCAAAUUCAUGCUUUUGGCCCCUAAAUUUUCUUUUUCCUUCAAUUUAGUCCCUACAAAAUAAAACACCAUAAAUAGCUCAAAAUAGUAGGAUCAUACUCAAAAUAAAUAUGUAAUUAAUACAUAAAAAUAUGUCAUUCCAGAGUAUUACCAAUAAGAAUUAAUUGCACUAAAAAUUUUAAAACGUUCUAAUUAUGUCUCCACACUAUCACACUAUCGUACUGUAACAGAGUCAGUUGACAUAGGAGUCCAUGCGUUAUAAAACAGAUUUAUCAAAACUUAACAAAUAAUAUCAGAUUUUCCAUGAAGUCACAUGCACGGUUAUAAGUCAGAGUCAAUACCAAUCAAUUCAACAUAUUCGUAUAUCACAUGUUCUUAAGCAACAAAGCAACGUAAAGGAACACCAACAAACUUAACUGAAUACAAAUUGUACCUAGAUAAUUCCCAUGCAUUAGGCAAGGGCACAUUAUGUUCUGACAGACCCUACUUACUUAGGUUCAACAUAGCAGACAUAUGUAUAGAUCACAAGUUAUUCAUCAUUAGAUUAUCAGAUAUCAAAUUAUAUAGCUUAAUUAUGAUCGUACGGACCCUACAGUAGGCCUGUGUUCGUUUCGAAUGAUGCUUGUGGCCUGAGGGAAAAAUUUCAAAUAUUGGUCCACACGUUUGUGUGGUUUCACAUGGCUUGGAAAGCUAGCUCGCGUGCCUCCAUAUGGUUUGGCACACGCCCGUGUGCUUGCCCGUGUGGUCCUAAUUCGCAAAUAGUGGGUUACACGGCCUAGACACAUGUUAGUGUCAUUGGCCUAUGUGAAUCCUACUCAAGACAUAAACACACAUGGUCUGGACACACGCCCUGACACAAACUUUAAAUCAAACUUAUAGGUAACGAAUUGAACCAGAAAGUAGAAGUCUAAUCUCGUACGUGAUCAAUUUGGCGUAACAUAACAAAAAAGAAAGGUAGUUUGAAGAGAAUAAUCAAAACGAAAAAAAUAAAGAAAGAACAGAGGAAUGGUAACAAUAGAAACGAAAAGUAAAAAGAAAAGCUAAACAUAGGUCAUUAAACCAGCAAGCUCAUUCUUGUCAUCAAUUGACUAAAUUUAACUUUUAACCUACAUGUCCAAAGAUAGUGGUUUAAUCAAAGUAGCAAAAUUUCAAGAGAUAAGAUUCGAACUUAGAACCUCACAUACAUAACUAGAACACUUAACCACUAAACCAAACCAAUUUACUUACCAAAAAUUUCCAAAGUCUAAACUCAAACCGAGGGAUGACCACUCUUGGUUUCAAAACUCAAUUUCUUCUAACCCGAUUUUUGGGAUGUUACAUAUAUCACAUAUGUUGACACCACUUACUGGGGGUGCUAAGGCUUCUUUUGCCUGCCCCAACUAUACCCCUGAUUUUGUUUUCUCAAAUUUCACUUUCUCAAGAAAUGUUCCAUUUGACAACCAAAAUGGUAGCAUCUAGGUUGGGAAGAUUGAUGGAGAAUUUCACCUUUGCCUCAUUUAAAAAGUAUAAAUUCCUUCUCUUCAUGCAAGUCAUGAAUUCAAAAAAAGUGAAAAGAACAAAUUAAGAAAAAUAAAAAAAAACUAUAUUCUUUUAAGAUUGCUAUCCUAUAGAAAGGUCAUUGUAAAAAGUUGAAUAUAUAUGUAUGUAUAUAGCUAGUAGCAUCAAAUUUUCCCAACCACUCUUAACAAUUAAAUAUAAUUAUUUGGUAUAUUGAAAGUGAAAUUUAAAUUUCCAUGUGAUAUUUAAAAACCGUAACUAAUAUUUAUUUAUGAUAUAUAUAAAAACAUGAAUUUGAAGGAGGGGUGAAUAAAACUCGAUUCGAUUCGAAAAAAUUAAAAAAAUUUAAAUUUUGAAUUAAUCGAUCAAGUUAUUCAAAUUUCGAGUUUGAGUCAAAUUAAAUUUUACAAUUUGAAUAACAGAUUUGUAUAAAUACCCUUUUGGUCCUUAUCAAUUUUGAAAAUGAGUAAAUUGGUCCCUCUCAACAACACUUACAAAAAAAUUAAAAUAAUUUUCAAAAAUUCAAAAAUUUAUAUUUUUUAAAAAAUUAUAAAUUUUAAAAAAAUUCUAAAGAAUAUAUAAAGAAAGUUAAAAUUUUAAAUUUUCUAAAAUAAUAAAUUUGAGAUCUAAAUAAGUUAAUUAAUAGGUUGAGUUUAUCAUAUUAAAAUACCUUUUUUUUUCUUUGCUUUGAAAAAGUUUUCAUAUAUAUAUUGUUUCAAAUUUAUGUGCUCUAACAUGAAAUUAGUUAUAUUGAAACAAUAUUUUAAUUUGACAUGUUUAAUUUUUUUAAUUUAACUUGAACAAUUUCACUCGACUUGAUUCGACUUGACUCGAAUUUCAUUUCACUCAACUUGAUUCAAAAAAAAUUUUCAAAUCAAGUUAGGAUGAUAAAAUAAGACUUUUCAGUUCGAUUAACUCGAAAUUUUUUCACUCGUUUCCAUCAAAUGCUCACUCCUAAUGUGAAGAAACUUUUGAACAGACGAUGAUACUUUUUAUUAUUAAUUAUACUACUAAAUUGACAUUAAAAAUAAUUUAUUAGUAUCUUUUUCUGGUAGAUAAUAAUGAAUAUUAAUGUGAUAAUAAUGAAAGUAAUAUUAAUUAAUAGAAGAGUAUAUUAAUGUGAAAUUAAAUAAUUUCAGUAUAUCUUUUAAAAGUUCAUAAAAAAAAUAUAUUAUUAAUAAUUAAAAUUUUAAAAUUUAUAAAAUAAAUGAAUGUAAUUAGAUAAAUUAAAAAAAUAAACAAAAGUUUUUAAUUAAAUAGAUAUAAUUUUUAUAUAUAAUUAUGAUUUUAUUUUAAAUAUGAAAAUAAUUAAUCAUGUUAAAAUUAAUUUUUUUAUAAUUAAUAAAAAUUAAAUCUAUAAAUAUGAUUUUAUUUUCAAUAUGGUAAUAAUUAUUUUACUAAUAAUGCUUUCAUUAUUAGUGUAAUAGUGAUUAUCACUUAAUUAUACUUUGAAUCCAUAUUAAAUUACGCUUAUUAUUUUAGAUUAUCACUUUACUAGUGUUACAAUUAUAUGCCAAUUAAAAUUAAUAUUUAACACUAUAAAUAUAUGCAUUAGUAAAAUAUUUUCAUUCAAAUAACAUCUAAAGAAUUACUCGAAAAACCAUAUUUUAGGAUUUUAUUUGCAUCACAAAAAAAUGUAUGAUUAUUAUUAUUUUAUAAGAUUAGUUGUUAUUAUUUGAUAUUCGAAAGUUUUACUGUUAUUUGAUUUUAAUAACACUUAUGCUAACGAUGUAUAGAAUAAUUACUUUUUUUCUUACGAAACUUAAUUUUUUUUUUGAAAUAUCUCAAUAUAGGUUCUAAUUAUAUUUGUUCAUCUUGACACAAUACUUAGAACUACUUACAACCCAUCCCCAACCCAUGAAUAGGAGGAUAAUGCGUUUCAGCGCACUCGAAUCCACGUUCUUCUAUAUUGACAACAAUACCCAUAUUAAUCAAAUUAACACUCAAUCGACACCAAAUUUUAAUUUUUUAAUUUAUUAUUAAUUUAAAAUUUCGUAUCACCUAAACAAAAAGGAGUGGGUUUGGAAAGAGUUACAAAAUAAAGCAAAUGGAAAUAAAAUCAAAGUUUGAAAAAAAUGGCUUGGAAGGUACAACUUGUGCUCUAUCUAUUUCCCUUUUUGUGUGGAAUUCCACUUAUUUAAUCAAUUAUCUCAAAAAGGUAGAAUUACAAAAUUCACCUCUAAUGUUCGUGAGUUUUUCACUUUGGCUCUUAACUUUUUUUUUUCUUCACUUUCCCACCCAUAGUGUUGCAAACAAUUUCAAGUAAGGCCAAACUUAAUGAAAAUCGUCAAGAAAUAUCAACAAAUAUUUUUGUCCAACGUGGCAACACCUUAGUUGAUGACAUCAUUGAUGACACAAAAUUUUUAGUUUAAAAUUAUAAAAAUUUAAAAAGAAGAGAAAAUUUUUAAAAUGUAGGAAAUAACAAAAUGUAAAAGCAUUUUUCUUCUACCCUCUCCCAAAUGUAACACGCCUAACCCGUAUUCGUCGCUGGAUUAGGGUUACAAGGUAUUACCGAUCAAGACAUAACUUUCAAACAAUUAUAUAUGCACACCUGUUAUAUUCAAAUUAAUAAAACAAAUGACUGAUUACAUAUUAAAUAUACAUUAUUAAUCGCAAAACAAAUAUAAUAUCUUAUGCAUAUAAUCAUAUUUACAACUUAAUAAUCAUGUACUUCAAAAUAAAUGCACGAAUCGUGUGCUUAUCAUUAAAAUGGUAUUUAAAUACAUAAUAAAUUUUAAACAUUUUAUUUCUUAAUAAUAACCAUGCACUUAAUAGACCAAACAAAUCAUAUCACAAAGCUUAUGCCCGGCAUUAACAAAUGUACCAAUUGAUUUAAUAUACUUCAUUGAGUAAUCAAUUAUAUGCACACGAUGUCAAUCAUACAAUCCUCAAUUCGGCUAGCCAAUUAACCUAUAAAAGCUGAACUCAAAUCAUGCAAUACUAACAUUAGCCGAAUCUGCAUGUGCAUAAAUACUAAUUUUAAACUUAUUUUCAAUUCAACUAUACAUCAAUAUAUAAUACUAAAACAUGCUUAUCUUCUUAUUACAAGAUUAUACGCAUAUGCAUACACCAACUGAGCCAUUUCCGAACAUCCAUUAUCCGAACCUAUUGACUAAAUAUUUUAGUCUUUGUACUCCUAUAAUAAACAUCAAUCAUAUUUCAUUUUCAUAUGCAUAACCAAAUUGAAUAACUCUAUACAUGAAACAUCAACUUAAUACUCCAAUAUUUCAUACUAUUUCUAACAAAAACGCUAUAUAUAUAUUUAAUGUCCAAAAUUUAACAAAACAUAUUUUUCCUUAGUAAAAUUACCCAAAUCCUAAAACUAAUAUACCCACUCGUCGAACAACUUCAACUUAGCACACACAUCUAAAAUAAACAUUUAUCCAAAUACCAAAAAUGAUAUCUAACUAUCCAUUAAUUCACAUCUAAUUUAGUUAUAUAACCCUACAAUUAUUAAACUUCUGGAACACCUAUUUCAUUAUCAUCAUUUUAAUCAUAAGUUUCUUUUACUAAAUAAACCAAAUCAAACUUUCAAAACCUCCAUGUACCAUUUAAGCAUCAUCUCAAACAAAUUCAUCACGAAUAUAAGUAUUAAGUGCUGAAUCAUGAAUAGCUCAAAUAUCAUAGUCCAUACCUAUAUCAUCAUUUGACCGAUUGUCAUUACUACAAAACAUAGUUAUUUAUCACAUAUAUCACAUUCAUAUACCACUCAACUAACAUAUGAAAUAAUCUAACUCUACUGACAUACUUACUUGCCAUAUUACCCAGUCACAAGCCAAACAUCACAAGCAUGAAUAUCAUAAAACAUAACCCAUUAUUUUCAUGCCUUAUAUAUAUCCCAAAAUCAAACCCAUCAAGUAUUUAACCAAGAACAUAUAAAACUAAGCUUAACCAAAAUGAAUAAGCCAUUUUUCGCAUGGCUUAUAUUUACAUAUCCUAAUAUCAAACAUAUUAACUAGACUAUACAUGCCAUAGGUUCAAAUUUAAAUUUAUAAAAUACCAAAGAUGGUCGAUAGUGUGAUAGAAUUUUUUGACGAUCCCCGAGCUCGUAACCAACUUUCAAAAUCUAAAAAAAAACAGCAAACAUACACAUAGUAAGCUUUCACAGCUUAAUAAGUCAUAAGCAAUGGAAACAUUUAAUCAUAUACAAAAUUAAUCUAGACAAACCGAAAUAAACCAUUAGUAACUCAUAUACCUUUCCAACUUAUAAUUUCAUAAGUCAAAACAUAUAAGUUUUGCAUAAAAUUCUCCUUUGACCGAAUACCCAUUCAAAUAUUAGUACACUUAACCAUUACUUUUUAUAAUACAUUUACAUUUACAUCAUUAGGCCUAACAUAUAUUAUCACAAAAUUCACAUUAAAAUAUAACAUUAUACUAUCAAUUCAACAUUCAACUUACCUUAUUUCUUUUUAUAUAACUAAUUAGUAUGAGUACGUAUCUGAGCAUUUCUAGCUUGAUUUUUCACUCGAUCUUAAUUUAUUAUUGUCCGUUGAACCAUUCGGAAUUAAAAAGGAUCUUAACUAUAAAUAUCUGCAUUAGUAAAAUAUUUUCAUUCAAAUAACAUCUAAAGAAUUACUCGAAAAAUCAUAUUUUAGAAUUUUAUUUGCAUCACAAAAAAUGUAUGAUUAUUAUUGUUUUAUAAGAUUAGUUGUUAUUAUUUGAUAUUCGAAAGUUUUACUAUUAUUUGAUUUUAAUAACACUUAUUCUAACGAUGUAUAGAAUAAUUACUUUUUUUUACCAAACUUAAAUUUUUUUUGAAAUAUCUCAAUAUAGGUUCUGAUUAUAUUUAUUUAUUUUGACACAAUACUUAGAACUACCUAUAACCCAUCCCAACCCAUGAAUAGGAGGAUAAUGCGUUUCAGCGCACUCGAAUCUACGUUCUCCUAUGUUGACAACAAUAUCUAUAUCAAUCAAAUUAACACUUAAUCAACACCAAAUCACAAAAGAGAUAAGAGUUGAGAAAUGUUUAACAAAUACUGAAGAAGUCUUUGAUGACGACAUUGAUAACAAGCAAGAAAAAGUCAUAAAUCUAAAGUUCAAAUUAACACUUUACAAUUUUGAAUAACUAAAAUAUUUUAAACUAUUAAAUACUAUAAAAUAUUUUAUAUUUUUUUAGUAUUUUUUAUCUUUAUUUUAUUGUACAUAUUUGAGGUUUAUAAUUUUCUCUCUCAACAAUAUUGUCUCAAAAAUUUAAAUGAUGUGACUUAUCACUGUAGGCAUUUAAUUGGUCCAAAUCAAAAUAUAACUCUUUCAACUGUGUGAACGAGUCAAGGUCUCAUCACCUAAUUCAAUUAUCUUAAUUAGAUGAUCAUUUACAAUUCAAUACUAGAUUAUCAUACAAUCAAAAUAUGAAUGAAAAUAAAUUAUAUAAUUAAUAUAUUAAUUAAAAUUUUAUAUAAUGAGUAUUUACGGAUUGACUUAGCUAUAAUAAUAAUCAUAACCACUCGUUAUUGGAUUGAGGUUGAACACAAGUCUUGACUCUAAAACUUUAUUUAAUGUGAUAAAAUAUAAAUAAGUAUUAUUCAUACGAAUUUUUCCGCAAGCUCUUGUUCUUGGAAAUUUCCUAUGUCCAGUGAGAGAUGUACAGUAAUAACUAUAUAUUUAUGAUCAAUUUCGAAGUUUUUGCAAUAAGUUCUUAAUCACAGUCUUUCUGUCUGAAGAAAUUCAUGUCUAUGGCUGUGGACUGUUCCAUAUUCUGUAGGACGAAACUUUGUUUUAUUAAUGCUUUCUUCUUCCUGUUUAUCAUCUCCUCUUUCACAUGUCUUCAUGUAGUCUUCGGCACUGCAAAUGAAUUUGAUUAUGGCCUUCACUGUAACUCAAUUGUUCAUGAAUCCAAACCAGCUGAUGAGGAGUUCAAUAUCAUGCCUUUCUCUCGACGUCAAUAUGGUUACUUCAGUGGUGGUGAUAAAGACCCAAACAAUCCUCCUUCACGUUCGUACUCUGCACCCAAAUCUAAAAGGCUCCUUUUUGAGACUCACCACGUAUUUACAGCCGAAGCUGAUGAUGUCUUUAUGGUGGAAGGAAACCUGAUUUUUCAAACCUCGUUUUACUAUGAACGGAGUAUCUCCUCUGGAAGCUCAUACGUUAUAAGUUCAAGCGACCGUGGGACACUGGACUUCGAUUUUCGAGGCUUCUGGUCUCGAACAACUGGGAAGCUUUGCAUGGUGGGAUCGAGUCAUGCUUACUCCAAAGAAGGUAAACUGCUUCACCUUGCUGCUGUUCUUAAGAUUAAUAAUCUUCAGACUUCAAGUAAUAUUAGUACUUUAGUCACCGGUACCAUGGAUAGCUUGAGUUCUGCUAAUGAUCCAAAUCACUUUGAGGAAAUAUCACUGCUGAUGUUUCCUCGAGUAAAUUACGCUUACACCAUGAUUUCAAAUCAGUUCAGUGAAGGGUGUCCUGGGGGAAUCGAUGUCCAACCGAUGUCGUCCCUCCGCUUAUCGCAAACUCGAACUAUUUGUGAUAUGUUAGGUGGAAGCAAUGCUUUCAAAUUGGAGUAUACUGGCAGUUGUAAUUUUUCAAAGAGUUGCAAUCCAUUUGGUGAUGGUAUUGGAUCAGUAGUAUCAUUGCGUAUGAUUCAGUGCUCAAACGAUAGGCAAAGCUUGAGGCUUCUGAUAGAAUUUCGGAACGAUAGCUAUCAGGGAUACUAUAGCUCUCCCAAUCUCAACACUUCAUUAAUUGGAGAAGGAUCUUGGGAUGCAAAGAGUAAUCGGCUUUGUAUCAUUGCUUGCCGAAUUUAUGAUGCAUGGAGCUCCUUGGAGAAGUCUCAUGUUGGAGACUGCACGACACGGUUGAGCUUAAGAUUCCCGGCAAUCUUGUCUAUCAGAAACACAAGCACUAUUGUAGGAGAAAUUUGGAGUGAGAAGCCUAGGUAUGAAGGUGGUUUCUUUGAUAGGGUCGAGUUCCGAAAUACUGGACGUUAUGGAGGACGAAUUCAACUUCAAGGUUUGAAGUAUGUAUACACGGAAAUGGCCGAAGUGAAGAAAUCAUGUCCAAAGAAGAAUCCUAAGACUAAAAGCAGUAGGGAACACUAUCCAGAUGGCUAUUCUGGUAAUCUGGGUUUUAGAAUGUCGAUCAUCAAAGGUUCCAAAGGAAGAAUCGGAUGGGGUUCUUCGGAUCCUCUUGCGGUAGGUGAUCAGCAAGAUCAGAGAUUUCCGUCUCUAAUACCAUCCUCAAGCUCAAAGCCUAAAAGUUCUGGCGUUGAAUCCAAUUCCAGCAGUGGCUUGCUUAAUAUCAGCUAUAAAAUGAGUAUCAUGCUGCGUAGUUCGGAAUUGGAUGGUGGCCUUAAUACGGUUAACGAAUCUUCAAAUGAAUAUUUGAAAACCGAAAUCCGAAUUUCUGCUGAAGGGGUUUAUGAUAUAGCAACAGGUAGCCUAUGCAUGGUUGGCUGCAGACAUUUAAGGUCAGGUGACAAAACAUUUUCAAGCCAUUCGAUGGAUUGCAAGAUCCUGGUGAAAAUCAAUUUUCCUCCAUUGAACUCGGACAGGAGAAGUACGAUCAAAGGAAGCAUCGAAAGCACACGUGAAGAAAUCGAUCCUCUGUCCUUCAAGCCCCUGCAGUUUUCGGGAAGAGCUUAUUAUCGCAGUUGGGUUACGGAAUCAAUUUGGAGAAUGGAUUUCGAGAUGGACAUGUUGGUAAUAUCCAAUUCUCUUGCAAUUAUCUUUGUAGCAUUUCAAAUCCUUCAUGUCAGGAAGCACCGUGGCAUUGGUCCUUUCGUUUCACUUCUAAUGCUUGUUAUUCUAGCCCUGGGACACUUCAUCCCUUUGGUUCUAAACCUCGAAGCAAUGUUCAUUCAAGAUAGCAAGAGAUCGGUCUUGAUUAGAGGUGGAAGGCGGCUCGAAAUGAACAAGGUUAUCAUUAGAGUCGUCACAAUGGUGGCUUUUCUGCUGCAAGUCCGUCUUCUGAUGCUCUCAUGGACUGCUAGAUGCUCCACUGAAAAGAAAAAGACCUUGUGGAUUGCAGAGAAAAGGGGGCUGUAUGUGUGUGUUCCGGUGUAUGUAAUCGGAGCUAUUAUCGCUUUUUCAGUUAAGUCAAGGCAGAAUGUACAUCUAACUUGGUACUACAUAGAUGAAAUCAUUUUGGGGAGUUCAAGAGCUUAUGCUGGUUUGGUACUGGAUGCCUUUCUUUUUCCUCAAAUAAUCUUCAAUAUGUUCCAGAACUUGAGAGAACCAGCACUUUCUCAUUUCUUUUACAUCGGAAUCACCCUUGUUCGCCUCGUACCCCAUGGAUAUGAUCUGUACAGAGCAAACAACUAUGCUGAUAUAGAUGACUCAUACAUCUACGGAGAUCAUGGUGCAGAUUACUACUCAACGGCUUGGGACUUCAUUAUUAUUGUGUUGGGUAUAUUCUUUGCUGUGAUCAUACACUACCAACAGCGCCUCGGUGGUCGAUAUUUCCUUCCGAAGAGAUUCCAAGAAUCUGUGAUAGAUGAGGAAUUUCCGGUAGAUUCGGAAGAACAAUUGCCAUUGAGAUAUAACACCUAGUGCAUGCUUUAAGUGUUAACUACUUUUGUUACCGUGGACUUGUUUUUAGUACUGAUUCGAAAUAAUAAAUAGAACUGUUCUAAAAAAUGUUUUAUUGUAGCUUGGGUAAGUGUUGGGUAAGAAUAUACCUCCAAUAUGAAUAAGUUUGAAGAGUACAUCUCCUUAUCCAUGUUUAAAUAUGUAUCCAACAUGGAUACAAAGAGAAGAUUUAAACUGAUAAUAAUUCAUUAAUCAUACGAAGUCCAUAGAUAUGACCAUUCCAUCAUAGUGUACAAUGAGAUUCAGACAUAAGACAAACAGGCAUGAAAACGCACUCAAUGUCUCAAACUCAACAACAAAACACCAAUUUAUUCAACUCAAAUUUAUUAUUUUUAGGUCCUAAUAUUGCUAUGGACUAAAACAUCAUGGUUCUAUGUCUGCUUAAUGAGUGCCACAUGUGUAGUUUGUGCAGCUGCAGCUAUCUCCACACUUGCACUUGCCAUCGUUCUCUGCCACAGCCUCGACCACUACAGUGCUGAUGUAGCUGCAAAGAAAUAUCACAACAGAUUAUAUUUAAGCAUAUGUGUUCCACUGUGCAAGACAUAGCUUUUUUUUUGCUUCUCUAGGUAAUAAUAUGAUUACUUAUCCAAAUGGGUUCAAUUUUGGUUAAAUUAUUCAAUAUUGGUCCUAAUAUACCUCUUUUCAGUCUCAAUGACCAAGCUAUUUCCUUUCUUCCUGCAAGCAUAACAAAAAAAGCCUUCAGUUUCAAUGAUAAUUGAUUGCAAACUCAUGCAUUUAGUCACAGCAACCUUAGUAAAUUUAUAUUUUAUCUAUGAAAAAAAUUAUAAUUAAAUUCCGGCAGCUAAUAAAUAUUUUUUUUGAAUUUGCCCCUAGUAGUGCAUACUACAGCUAAAAAACAUGCAGAACUAACUUAGGAACAAUAACAAAAUCAAAGAACCACACACAACAGUAGAAACUGGUCGAAAGCUGAUGAUAAAAGGAUGAUUUCUUACACGCACUGACUCUUGUCAGAGCAGUCGCAGUUGCCGCACUUGUCAGACAUGGUGAAUUUGAAAAAGUUGAGAAGUAAAAGGUUUGUUUGAGUUUCUAAAGUAGUUAAGCUAGCUUGCUAUGUAUAUCCAAAGCUAUGCACUUGAUGUAUUUAUAGAAGAGGAAGUACAUUGAAAUGGUGCAAAGGGAAGGCAUCUGUAGGGGCCCAAGCAGGCAUGAGAGAAGCACACGCCUCUGCUACAAAGGAAACGAAUCUUGAUAAUGGAGGCAAAGAAAUGGUUGGCUUACGGUCCUCCUCUCAUGUCUAUAUCAUUUGGAAUUUUCUUUUAGGUUGUCUUUUAGAAUGUAAUCCCAAAAUCUAUGCAAUAUGGACUCUACCCAAAAUGAAAAAUCAAAUUCAACUUUGAAUUGGUACUGCCUUUUAAGUUGAUAUUUAUAUAUCCAACCGAACUUUCAUAGAUCCUCUUUGUUAAUUCUAACACUUACAUAUUCCCCCAUAAGGUCGAGGCGUUCACCAAUUGUGGUUUGCAUUUACAUGUUCUAUUGGAGGUAAAUCUCAUUUCAAAUCAUAAUCUCCAUACAUUUUGCCAUCAUAUCUCAACAGUUUCCACCCUUUCCCCCUUCCACCAUCCAAGAUACGGAGCUUGUGCACCAAGGAUAAGUAUCCAUUCACAAUCUUUCUUACGCAUAUCGUUAUUAUCAUUUUAGUUUGUUAUCACUGACAUGCACAAUUGAUUUUAAAUAAACUUGCUUACUUGGAGAAGAAUAUUAUCAUGAAAUUAGAUGGAAUUUAACUGGAGCACAAGUGAAAGGAACUCACCAGAUUUUACCAGGAAAAGCUUUGCUUAUUCUAUGGGUUCUUUCCCUUUUGCACUAGGGCCUUCUCCCAUUUCUUUAGUUAAAUAAGAUUAAACAUUUUAUUAAGUACAAAAUCAAUCUAAACUUAAAGGUAAAAACAAGAAUCGAAAACAUGCAAACAUUAAUCAGAAGGAAGUUUCUUUCCUAUCUACCUCUAGUAGAAACCUAUAGUAAUGGUUCCUACUACCCUAUCAUUCUUCAUAUAAAACUAAAGGACCUAAGAAUUUACCAGUUGUUAGCUCAAAAACUGGUACCUUCUUCACGCAGCGAAGAACACACUAAGUUUCUUCUGGGGGAACAGGAAUGAACAGUGAAAAAUGGUGAAUAAAGUCAUCCUCUGUUAAGCUCUUAUCUUAUUUAUAUAGGAAUUAGCCCGUAAUUCCACUAUAACAAGUUACCUAAUCAUUUUACAUACACACUCUAUUCCACUAAUCAAACGAGGUUCUACAGAUGUCUUGCAAAAAUGACAGUUCCUAACUUAAAAUUUUGACACAUAAUUGAUGCAUGUCCCACCUACCCAGGCUAUCAACAGAAAUAUCGAAUGACUUACCUUGCUAUAAAAGAACUUGCCACUAGUGUGUCCACACAUGGAAGAACUUGCCAAGCAAAGGAGUUCGCCAAACGCAAGAAAGUGAAAAUCCAUCAGACUGCGGAACACAACGAAAUAAUCCGCUAGGCGAGUCUGCCCAAAAAUUUGGCUAAUCUUGCUGAUUAGAAGGACUAAAUUGCAAGAUCACAUCCAUCGUGUUAGCCGGCCAAAAUACGGAUUCUAAGGUUUGGGGUGUUAUAACUAGGGUUGCCCCAUUCUACAUCUUGAUUGAACUAGGAUUUCACUUUUCUAAUAAAAAAAACUUCUACAACUUAAUAAUUUUACCUUAUCUUAUUAUAAAUAAAUGGCACCGAUAUGGCAUAAAUAACGAACUUUGAAAGAUUAUUAUGCUACCGAAAAAUAGAGAGUUUUAUUGGCAACUAUUAAAUAUAUUUUUCCGGAAUAAUAAUUUUACUAGUUUCUUUUUGAGAAGAGAGAAUUUUUGUUUUCACCCCAUAAUUAAAGAAAAAUUUUCUAGUUUUGUGUUUUGAUUCAAUUAGUUUGUGCUCACACUCGAAACAUUUCAUGGUUUAAGAAUAGUAGAGAAGAUUGUUUGGUUGAAUCCAGAAAAUGUUAAAGAUCCGCAUAUCCAAAAACAUAUAUACGAUUUUGGUCUAAAAUUUAUUACUAUAAAUAUCAUAAACCGGGUUAUUUUCAAAAUAUUAAUUUUUCGUUAUGCAAAAAAACCAUUUUCAAACUAAAUUUUUUUCAACACCAAGCACAUACUAAAUGUGAGGUUGAAACAACCACACAUUAAGAGUCAGAGCAAUGAUGAGCAACAAUUUUUAGCAAACACGUGUUCGAGUGUCACUGGCUAUGAAGUGUUGAGGCAUACGAAUGAUGGAACACACCAUUUUGAAACAAUUCUACAUAUUCUUGUUUCCUUCAACCUUGAAGCAUUUUUGUUGUUGCUGGGUAUUGAAAUUUGCUCUGGUGCUCUUGUUUACCUGCUACGGACACGUGGUACCACGAGAGGAAACCUAAGAGACGCUCACGAAUGAUCCUUCUCUUUGCAACACUUGUCUUAUUCUCUACUUGAAGGUCACUCAAAUGACCAUUUAUCUGGACACUUCAUCCUCUUGGCCACUUCCUUUUAGUGGGAACACACUAACUCACAAGGGGAAACCAUGCCGCUAAGGUGUAACAACCUCAUUCCAAGAAAUGUUAGAGCAUCAUCAAAACUAACCUACCACCUGGCCAACCAUAUGAUCAAACCACCGCUCGUACUAUCGGUGACAUGGCACCAACAACCACGAGACCUCCUAUAAAUACCUUCCAUAAUGCUGAAGGAAGGAUCUUUCUGCCUUCAACAGCCCUAAGCACUCUUUAGAACCCUGUCUCCUUUGCUACCUUACCUCCCUCGCUGCCUUCCUCUUUUUUCCGACUCUUCACUUAUUUAAGUGAAUUGAUCUUCCUUAUACCACCACCUCUCCUCAUCUCAUCAAUUACUAAUACCCAAUAUCAACAAAAUAUAAAUACGAUAUCUGUUAAAGAGAUACAUAAUAUAUGAAAUCUAUUAAUAACAAUUUCAUUGCUCCAAUCAAUUGUGGUGAACUUUUGUUUAGAUUUAUUUCCCUGAAUAAAUUUAAUAGUAAAUUGUAGUUUGUAGACACCGAAAGCACGUUUCAGGCCAGAAAAAAAAGACAGCGAAAGCUGGUGGAAGGUUUCAAGUUUCUGAUUUUAAGUCAAGUCAGCUGUUGUAGUUUCUGAUUUUAAGUCAUGUCAGCUGUUGUAGGACCUGCCAAUAAAAGCCUUUUGUCUGGACCCAAAAAAUUGGCAAAAAGAAGAAGAAAGGUGCAUGCUGAUUGACAUUGACUUAGCUAUAUGCCAAAAUUAUAAUAAUACAUGGAUUGAAGUAGGGCACAAGUACUAUUCAUACUAGUGCGAAACCCCUUGCUUUGUUGACUUGCUUAAGUGAUAAAAAUUAAUUUUAAUUCGUAAUUCAUUUAAAUUUUUUAUAUUAUUAUUUGUUUUUAAAUUAUAAAAAAAUAUAUAGAAUUAUUAGAUAAAUAUAUGUCCGGAAUGAACUUGAAGAUAUAAUUGUUCAGAUUCACUUGUAUCUAAAUAACUAUUUGUCCAGAUUUAUUGUGCACUUAAAAUAAAAAAUCCUAAAAUUCAAGAAAAAAUCUACAAAAUUUAUAAAAAAAAAACGUAAAAUUUUAGUAAAUACAAGAGUAUAUAUUAAAAAAUUCUAUUUCUAUUUUUUGAAAUUAUAAAAAAAUAAAAACACAAAAAAAGACAUUACGAGCGAAUCUAGUUAUAUGGUUGUCCAAAAAUUUAAUUGUUCAGAUUCAUUAUGCAUGCAAAAUAAAAAAUAAAAUUCCUAAUUUUUAAUAUUUUUAAAUUUUUAUAAAAAUUAUUUUUGGGAUACGUCUCAACAUUCUAUACCAUCAGACCAAAAAUUAAUAAUGUUAGUUAAGUAUGAGCAAAAAAUACCAAUUUGCCUUAUAAUUUUUAGUCGAUUGAGUUUUAACUCGAUUGACAUAAAUACUAUAGUCAAUAUAGAAGGCCAUGGGUUCGACUAUGCUAAAAUACAUUAUACUCCUAUUUAUGAGGUGAGAAGGUAUUAUAAAUAAUUCUAGGCAUUGUAUUUAAAAAAAAAAAUUAAAACCUAAAAUAACUUGUGAUUUUUAAAUUUAAAUACUCAAUAAAUAUAAAUUACUAUGUUGAAAUACCUCUAUAUAUAUUAGCCAGUUUUCUAUAGUUUAGCUACAUAACCAUGUUUCUAUGCUUUCAUUGGUAAGUCUAAAUAGAUUAAACAAUUAAUAAUCUUAUUAGAGACCGCUAAUGUAAGGUCCCAACUCCCAACCUAAAAGUUACUACAUUUGUAAUCACUGAAUUUUCUCUAAAUUAAUUUCGUGUUAAAAGAAGAAGGAUUUUUUUUUAAUUUUUAAUUUUUUUUUUUGCAUUUUGACCCCUAAACCUUCCAUAAUUAGUAUUUUCCAUAAUGUCAUUUUCUCUUCAUUUUCCAUAAUGUCAUUUCCAGUGAGAGAUGUAGAGUGAUGUCUACAAGUACCAGUAGAUAUUACAUGCUUGAAGUUGAUGUUUAAAGUUCAUAAUCGGAUAUUAAAUUAUAAUCAUUCGUAUAAUCAAAAUCGAUAUAAUAAAUCUAAAAAAAAUUAUGAUUACGAAUUAUGAGAUAUUUUUAUAUUUUUUUGGUAUUUUUAUCAUUUUUUAUGUACAUAUUUAAGGUUUAUGAUUUUUUCUCUCAACAAUAUUGUCUCAAAAAUUUAAAUAAUGUGACUUAUCAUUGUAGGCAUUUGAUUGGUCCAAAUCAAAAUCUAACUCUUUCAACCGUGUAAAGAGAGUCAAGGUCUCAUCAUCUAAUUCAAUUAUCUUAAUUAGACGAUCAUUUACAAUUCAAUUCUAAACUAUCAUACAAUCAAAAUAUGAAUGAAAAGAAAUUUUAUAAUUAAUAUAUUAAUUAAAAUUUUAUAUAAUGAGUAUUUAAUUGAAAUCAUAAAAAUUUUAAAAUUUUUUAUGUUAAGAGUUCAUAUCUCAUCAUAAUUUACUAACGUGACACACAUAAGCAGUCACGUGCAUGACACGUCAAUAUUUAAUUAAAUACAUAGUUAAUUUCAAGUCUCUAAAAAUAAAUGAUUGACAAAUAGCAGGAAUUUUCAUUCAUCUCUAUGCUCUAGUUGCUUAAAUCAAGUCAGCUGCUGGACCUGCCAGGAAAAGUCUUUUGUUUGGACCCAAAAUCUGGAAAAAUAUGUGUACCUGCCAGGAAAAGUCUUUGGUUUGGACCCAAAAACUGGAAAAAUAUGUGUAUCUCCAAUGAGAUUGACUUGGCUAUAAUAAUAAUCAUAACCACUCGUUGUUGGAUUGAGGAUGAGCACGAGUCUUGACUCUAAAACUUUAUUUAAUGUGAUAAAAUAUAAAUAAGUAUUAUUCAUACGAAUUUUUCUGCAAGCUCUUGUUCUUGGAAAUUUCCCAUGUCCAGUGAGAGAUGUAGAGUAAUAUCUAUAUAUUUAUGAUCAUUUUCAAAGCUUUUGCAAUAAGUUCUUUACCGCAAUCUUGCUGUCUGAAGAAAAUCAUGUCUAUAGAUAUGGACUGUUCCAUAUUCUGUAGGACGAAACUUUGUUUUAUUAAUGCUUUCUUCUUCUUGUUUAUCAUCUCCUCUUUCACAUGUCCUCAUGUAGUCUUCGGCACAGCAAGUGAAGUUGAUUAUGGUGUUCACUGUAACUCAGUUGUUCAUGAAUCCAAACCAGUUGAUGAGGAGUUCAAUAUCAUGCCUUUCCCUGGACGUCAAAAUGGUUACUUCAGUGGUGGUGAUAAAGUCCUAAACAAUCCUCCUUCACGUUCCUACUCUCCACCGGAAUCGAAAACUUUCCUUUUCGAGACUCACCACGUAUAUACAACCGAUGCCGAUGAUGUCUUUAUGGUGGAAGGAAACCUGAUUUUUCAAACCUCGUUUUACUAUGAACAAAGUAUCUCCUAUGGAAGCUCAUACGUUAUAAGGUCAAGCGACUCAAGCGACCGUGGGACACUGGACUUCGAUUUUCAAGGCUUCUGGUCUCGAACAACCGGGAAGCUUUGCAUGGUGGGAUCGAGUUAUGCUUACUCGAAAGAAGGUAAACUGCUUCAUCUUGCUGCUGUUCUUGAGAUUAAUAAUCUUCAGAGUUCAAGUAAUAUUAGGACUUUAGUCACUGGUACCAUGGAUAGCUUGAGUUCUGCUAAUGAUCCAAAUCACUUUGAGCAAAUAUCACUGCUGAUGUUUCCUCAAGUAAAUUACGCUUACACCAUGAUUUCAAAUCAGUUCAGUGAAGGGUGUCCUCGGGGAACCGAUGUCCAACCGAUGUCGUCCCUCCGCUUAUCGCGCACUCGAACUAUUUGUGAUAUGUUAGGUGGAAGCAAUGCUUUCGAAUUGGAGUAUUCUGGCAGUUGUAAUUUUUCAAAGAGUUGCAAUCCAUUUGGUGAUGGUAUUAGAUAUUUCCCUUCAGUAGUAUCAUUGCGUAUGAUUCAGUGCUCAAACGAUGGGCUAAGCUUGAGGCUUCUGAUAGAAUUUCGGAACGAUAGAUAUCAGGGAUACUAUAGCUCUCCCAAUCUCAACACUUCAUUAAUUGGAGAAGGAUCUUGGGAUGCAAAGAGUAAUCGGCUUUGUAUCAUAGCUUGCCGAAUCUAUGAUGCAUCGAGCUCCUUGGAGAAGUCUCAUGUCGGAGACUGCACGACACGGUUGAGCUUAAGAUUCCCUGCAAUCUUGUCUAUCAGAAACACAAGCACCAUCGUAGGAGAAAUUUGGAGUGUGAAGCUUAGGAAUGAAGGUGGUUUCUUUGAUAGGAUCGAGUUCCGAAAUACUGCACCUUAUGGAGGAAUUCAACUUCAAGGUUUGAAGUAUGUGUACACGGAAAUGGACGAAGUGAAGAAAUCAUGUCCAAAGAAGAAUUCUAGGACUAAAAGCAGUAGGGAACACUAUCCAGAUGGCUAUUCUGGAGACAUGAGUUUUAGUAUGUCGAUCAUCAACGGUUCCAAAGGAAGCAUCGGAUGGGGUUCUUCGAAUAUUCUUGCGGUAGAUGAUCAGCAGUAUCAGAGAUUUCCAUCUCUAUUACCAUCCUCCAGCUCAAAGCCUAAAAUUCCUGGUGUUGAAUCCGAUUCCAGCAGUGGCUUGCUUAAUGUCAGCUAUAAAAUGAGUAUCAUGCUGCGUAGUUCGGAAUUGGAUGGUGGCCUUAAUCCGGUUAACGAAUCUUCAAAUGAAUAUUUGAAAACCGAAAUCCAAAUUUCUGCUGAAGGGGUUUAUGAUACAGCAACAGGUAGCCUAUGCAUGGUUGGCUGCAGACAUUUAAGGUCAGGUGACAAAACAUUUUCAAGCCAUUCGAUGGAUUGCGAGAUCCUGGUGAAAAUCAAUUUUCCUCCAUUGAACUCGGACAGGAGAAGUAAGAUCAGAGGAAGCAUCGAAAGCACACGUGAAGAAAUCGAUCCUCUGUCCUUCAAGCCCCUGCAGUUUUCGGGAAGAGCUUAUUAUCGCAGUUGGGUUACGGAAUCAAUUUGGAGAAUGGAUUUCGAGAUGAUCGUGUCGGUCAUAUCCAACACUCUUACAAUUAUCUUUGUUGCAUUUCAAAUCUUUCAUGUGAGGAAGCACCGUGGCAUUGGUCCUGUGGUUUCACUUCUCAUGCUAGUUAUUCUAGCCCUGGGACACUUCAUCCCUUUGGUUCUAAACCUCGAAGCAAUGUUCAUUCAAAAUAGCGAGAGAUCGGUCUUGAUUAGAGGUGAAACGUGGCUCGAAAUGAACGAGGUGAUCGUUAGAGUCGUCACAAUGGUGGCUUUUCUGCUGCAAGUCCGUCUUCUGAUGCUCUCGUGGACUGCUAGAUGCUCCACUGAAAAGAAAAAGACCUUGUGGAUUGCAGAGAAAAGGGGGCUGUAUGUGUGUGUUCCGGUGUACGGAAUCGGAGCUAUUAUUGCCUUUUCGGUUAAGUCAAGGCAGAAUGUACACCGAACAGUAAGGGCCAGGCAUUCUUGGUACUACAUAGAUGAAAUCAUUUUGGGGAAUUCAAGAGCUUAUGCUGGUUUGAUACUGGAUGCCUUUCUUUUCCCUCAAAUUAUCUUCAACGUGUUCCACAACUCGAGAGAACUGGCUCUUUCUCGACUCUUUUACAUCGGAAUCACCCUUGUUCGCCUCGUACCCCAUGGAUAUGAUCUGUACAGGGCAAACAACUAUGUUGAUAUAGAUGACACAUACAUUUACGCAGAUCAUGGUGCAGAUUACUACUCAACUGCUUGGGACUUCAUUAUUAUUGUGUUGGGUAUAUUCUUUGCUGUGAUCAUACACUACCAACAGCGCCUCGGCGGUCGAUAUUUCCUUUCGAAGAGAUUCCUAGAAUCUGGGACAGAUAAGGAACCUCCAGUGGAUUCAGAAGAACAAUUGCCAUUGAAAUAUAGCACCUAGUCCAUGCCUUGUGUUACUUUUAAGUGUUCACAACUUUUACUGUUUCCAAAUAAUUAUGUAAAUUCAUCCUUUUUCUUUUAUAGCUUAAUAAGCCUAAUGUAAUAUAAAGUUAUAAAUAAAAUUGUUUUAAAAAAUAUUUUAUUUUAAAUUUUUAUUUUAGAUUAAAGUUUGGGUGAGCCUUAAAUGUGAAUAUGUACCCAAAAUGAAUAAAUUUAAAAAGUACACAGUACAAAGAAAAAAAAAAAUUUUGUGUCAGAAUCAAAUAAAAAAAUCCGAAAAAAAGAAAAAAAAAUUGGGUGUUGGCCUGUCAAUGGCCGGCACCCAGUACGCAGUACAAAGAAAAAAAUUUAUUUAUUUUUAUUUUUUUCGUAUUUUUUUAUCUGAUUCUGACACGAAAAAAAAAUAAUUUUUUUUCUUUCUACUGUGUACUGGGUGCCGGCCAUUGACAGGCCAGCACCCAAAAUUUUUUUUUAUUUUUUUUCUUAUUUUUUAUCUGAUUCUGACACAAAAAAAUAAAAUUUUUUUUCUUUGUACUGUGUACUGGGUGCCGGCUAUUGACAGGCCAGCACCCAAAAAUUUUUUUUUAAUUUUUUUCGUAUUUUUUAUCUUAUUCUGACACGAAAAAAAAUAAAAAAAAAUUUUGUACUGUGUACUGGGUGCCGGCCAUUGACAGGCCAGCACCAAAUUUUUUUUUUUGUUUUUUUUCUUUUUUGUAUAUCCGUAUUUCAGUAUUACACAAUUUUUUUAAAAAAAUACCUGGGUUCUGGCCAUUGACAAGCCAGAACCCAAAAAAAUAAUUUUUUUAAGUCUAACAUAAUGAUUAGCCAAUCAUUGGUGCAAAAAAAGAGUGGGUACUGUUCAUUUUAGGUUAUUUUGGUGAUUGUUUUUAAACUUGGGUUAUUUUUGUAAAUAUAAUAUUUUUUGGGUUAUUUGGGUAAAACAGCCUAGUUCUGUCCUGGACGGGUCAUUGGAUCUAAUUCGAAGUCUUAUCCGAAAAUUGAAAGGGUUUGAAUGAAAAUAUAAGCUCAAAAAAUAGACUUGGACAAAAUAAAAAGACUCGUUUAAAAAACGGAUCAGACCUUGGGUAAGCCUUUUUGGCCCAAUCUCGGCCCUAAUUAGCAAAAAGACAAAAAAAAAAGCCUACUAUUUUCUUACUGUUUUGAUACUAUUUUUUUUAUUAUUUUCUUACUUUUUUACUAUCAUUUCAUUAUUAUGUUACUAUUAUUUUGUUAUUAUUAUUUAGAUAUUGUAUAACUCUUAUUUUAAUAUUAAUUUUGUUACUAUUUUAGAGACAUUUGUUUGUUAAGUUACACUUAUCUUAGUAUUAUUUAAGUAUAAAUUUAUUUUUUAAAUUUAUUUUCAAUUUUUUAAGAAUCAUUUAUUUUAAUGUUUUUUAUAUUUUAGAUGUAUUAUAUUUUUAAUUUUUUAUAUAUAAAAAAUAAUAUAAAGAAAUUAAUUUGGGCGGAUCGAACUAGACUCGAGUUUUAGUAUUUUUAUCCAAGUUGGGCUUGAAAAAAAUUUAAGCCCAUUUUUCGGGUCAAAUCGAGCCCAAACAUAGCAAACGGGCCUAAAAUAAUAAUAAUUCAUUAUUGGAUUGAGGUAGAACAUGAGGCUUGACUCUCGGCUUGUUAAAAUAUAUUAUUUGGUACCCAUAUUUGAUUUCAAUGUUUGAUUUGGUAUCUGAGUUUGACUUCAAUGCUUAGUUUGAUACUUGAGUUUUUUCAUAUUAAUGCUUGAGUUUUUCUUUGUCACAUAUAAGUACCUAAAUUUUACUUCAAUGUUUAAUUUGGCACUUGAGUUUUUUCUUUUGUCCCAAUUAAGUACCUAUGAUUAUUUUACUAAGGCACACAUGUAAAAUAUUUUUUGAAGUACACGAUGUUUAGUUUGGGUACCAAAUUAAAUAUUGAAACCAAAUAUAAGCACUAAAUGGUAUAUUAACCCUUAACUUUAUCAUAUAGGGACCUAAAUUUAACAAAAAUAAAAUUAACAGUGUUAACAAUUAGACCUAAAUUCUAAAAUUUUAAAAGUAGAAAGAGUAAGGUCCUGAAAAUAAAAAUAUAGGGACUAAAUUUUAAAUUUAUGAAUCGUACAGGAUCUACAACAUAUUUUAACCCUUUGAAAAAUCAACGAUUAGACCACUUUUAGCAAAUAGCAGGAAAUUGCAUCCAUGUGCUCUAGUUUUUAAGUCAAGUCAGCUGUUGUAGGACCUGCCGACAAUAAUAAUAAUAACCACUCGUUAUUGAUUGAGGUAGAAGACGAGGCAUGACUCUAAACUUCCUUUAAUUUUAAAGUUAAUAUAUUAUUUAGUACCUAUAUUUAAUUUUAAUGUUCAAUUCGAUACCUAAAUUUUUUUCCCAAAUUGGUACCUGAUUUUUUGGGUAUUGAUACUUGAGUUUUCUUUUUCCCAUACCAGUACUCAGGUUUGACUUUAAUGUUUAAUUUAACACCUGAGUUUUUUUUGUCCCAAUUAAGUAUCUAUGUUUUUUUACUAGGCGGACAUGUCAAAUAUUUAUUGAACCACACGAUGUCGUUUAGUUUGAGUAUCGAAUUGAACAUUGAAGCCAAACUUAGGUUUCAAAUUGAAACAAAAAAAAGAUUAGGUACAAAAUUGAAAAUUCAAGCCAAAUGUAAGUACCAAAUGAUAUAUUAACCCUUAAUUUUAUCAUAUAUAUAUAUAUAUGUAAAUAUUAAUCAAAAAAAUUAAACAUUUUGGUGUUGAUUAUAUAAAUAUUCAUAUAAGACAUUCACACCAAAUGGCAUGAUUUCACCCAUAUUUCUGGUAUUGUUUAUACGUUUGAGGGUCAGUCUACAAAAAAAUACAUCAGUUUUCAAAAAUUAUUUAGUUGUUAAAUAUAAGGUUGUCUUUUGCUGUGUUCAUUUUAUAAUGUGAUUUGAUCAAAAACUUCCUUCGGAUUAAAUAUAAAAUAUUGUCAUAAUCCUCUCUUACUUUUCAAAGUCUUGCAAGGUCUUGUUCUUGGAAAUUUCCCAUGUCCAGUGAGAGAUGUAGAGUAUAAUAUCUAUAUAUUUAUGAUCAUUUUCAAAGCUUUUGCAAUAAGUUCUUUAUCACAAUCUUGCUGUCUGAAGAAAUUCAUGUCUAUAGAUAUGGACUGUUCCAUAUUCUGUACGACGAAACUCUGUUUUAUUAAUGCUUUCUUCAUGUUGUUUAUCAUCUCCUCUUUCACAUGUCCUCAUGUAGUCUUCGGCACAGCAAGUGAAGUUGAUUAUGGUGUUCACUGUAACUCAGUUGUUCAUGAAUCCAAACCAGUUGAUGAGGAGUUCAAUAUCAUGCCUUUCCCUGGACGUCAAAAUGGUUACUUCAGUGGUGGUGAUAAAGUCCUAAACAAUCCUCCUUCACGUUCCUACUCUGCACCCAAAUCGAAAACGCUCCUUUUCGAGACUCACCACGUAUUUACAACCGAAGCUGAUGAUGUCUUUAUGGUGGAAGGAAACCUGAUUUUUCAAACCUCGUUUUACUAUGAACGGAGUAUCUCCUCUGGAAGCUCACACUUUAUUAUAAGGUCAAGCGAUUCAAGCGACCGUGGGACACUGGACUUCGAUUUUCGAGGCUUCUGGUCUCGAACAACCGGGAAGCUUUGCAUGGUGGGAUCGAGUUAUGCUUACUCCAAAGAAGGUAAACUGCUUCAUCUUGCUGCUGUUCUUAAGAUUAAUAAUCUUAGGAAGUCAAGUACUAUCAGAACUUUAGUGACUGGUACCCUGGAUAGCUUGAAUUCAAUUGGUGAUCCAAAUCACUUUGAGCAAAUUUCACUGCUGAUGUUUCCCCAACUAAAUUACGCUUACACCAUGGUUUCAAAACAAUUUAGUGAAGGGUGUCCUCGGGGAACCGAUGUCCAACCGAUGUCGUCCCUCCGCUUAUCGCAAACUCGAACUAUUUGUGAUAUGUUAGGUGGAAGCAAUGCUUUCGAAUUGGAGUAUACUGGCAGUUGUAAUUCUUCAAAGAGUUGCAAUCCAUUUGGUGAUGGUAUUGGAUAUUUACCUUCAGUAAUAUCGUUGAGUAUGAUUCAGUGCUCAAACGAUAGGCAAAGCUUGAGGUUUCUGAUAGAAUUCCGGAACGACAGCUAUCAGGGAUACUAUAGCUCUCCCAAUCUCAACACUUCAUUAAUUGGAGAAGGAUCUUGGGAUGCAAAGAGUAAUCGGCUUUGUAUCAUUGCUUGCCGAAUCUAUGAUGCAUCGAGCUCCUUGGAGAAGUCUCAUGUCGGAGACUGCACGACACGGUUGAGCUUAAGAUUCCCUGCAAUCUUGUCUAUCAGAAACCCAAGCACCAUUGUAGGAGAAAUUUGGAGUGAGAAGCCUAGGAAUGAAGGUGGUUUCUUUGACAGGGUCGAGUUCCGAAAUACUGGACGUUAUGGAGGAGGAAUUCAACUUCAAGGUUUGAAGUAUGUGUACACGGAAAUGGACGAAGUGAAGAAAUCAUGUCCAAAGAAGAAUUCUAGGACUAAUAGCAGUAUGGAACACUAUCCAGAUGGCUAUUCUGGAGACAUGAGUUUUAGUAUGUCCAUCAUCAACGGUUCCAAAGGAAGCAUCGGAUGGGGUUCUUCGGAUAUUCUUGCGGUAGAUGAUCAGCAGUAUCAGAGAUUUCCAUCUCUAUUACCAUCCUCAAGCUCAAAGCCUAAAAGUUCUGGCGUUGAAUCCGAUUCCAGCAGUGGCUUGCUUAAUGUCAGCUAUAAAAUUAGCAUCCCGCCACUUAGUUUGGAAUUGGAUGGUGGCCUCAAACCGGUUAACCAAUCUUCAUAUGAAUAUCUGCAAACCAAAAUCCAAAUUUCUGCUGAAGGGGUUUAUGAUACAACAACAGGUAGCCUAUGCAUGGUUGGCUGCAGGCGUUCAAGGUUAGACGGCAAAUCAUUUUCAAGCCAUUCGAUAGAUUGCGAUAUCCUUGUGCAAGUCAACUUUCUUCCAUUGAACUCGCGCAAGAUAAAUAACAUCAAGGGAAGCAUCGAGAGCACGCGUGAAAAUACCGAUAGUCUGUACUUCAAGCCUCUGCAGAUUUUGGGAACAACUAAUUCUCGCAGUUGGGGAGCGGAAUCGAUUUGGAGAAUGGAUUUCGAGAUGAUCGUGUCGGUCGUAUCCAACACUCUUGCAAUUAUCUUUGUUGCAUUUCAAAUCUUUCAUGUGAGGAAGCACCGUGGCAUUGGUCCUAUGGUUUCACUUCUCAUGCUUGUUAUUCUAGCCCUGGGACACUUGAUCCCUUUGGUUCUAAACCUCGAAGCAACGUUCAUUCAGGAUAGCGAGCGAUCGAUCUUGAUUAGAGGUGGAAGGUGGCUCGAAAUGAAUGAGGUGAUCAUUAGAGUCGUCACAAUGGUGGCUUUUCUGCUGCAAGUCCGUCUUCUGAUGCUCUCAUGGACUGCUAGAUGCUCCACUGAAAAGAAAAAGACCUUGUGGAUUGCAGAAAAAAGGGGGCUGUAUGUGUGUGUUCCGGUGUACGUAAUCGGAGCUAUUAUCGCCUUUUCGGUUAAGUCAAGGCAGAAUGUACACGGAACAGUAAUGGCCAGGCAUUCUUGGUACGACAUAGAUGAAAUCAUUUUGGGGAAUUCAAGAGCUUAUGCUGGUUUGAUACUGGAUGCCUUUCUUUUCCCUCAAAUCAUCUUCAACAUGUUCCACAGCUCGAGAGAACUGGCUCUUUCUCGACUCUUUUACAUCGGAAUCACCCUUGUUCGCCUCGUACCCCAUGGAUAUGAUCUGUACAGGGCAAACAGCUAUGUUGAUAUAGAUGACACAUACAUUUAUGCAGAUCAUGGUGCAGAUUACUACUCAACUGCUUGGGACUUCAUUAUUAUUGUGUUGGGUAUAUUCUUUGCUGUGAUCAUACACUACCAACAGCGCCUCGGCGGUCGAUAUUUCCUUUCGAAGAGAUUCCUAGAAUCUGUGAUAGAUGAGGAACCUCCAGUGGAUUCAGAAGAACAAUUGCCAUUGAAAUAUAGCACCUAGUCCAUGCCUUGUGUUACUUCUAAGUGUUCACAACUUUUACUGUUUCCAAAUAAUUCUGUAAAUUGAUCCUUUUUCUUUUAUAGCUUAAUAAGCCUAAUGUAAUAUAAAGUUAUAAAUAAAAUUGUUUUAAAAAAUAUUUUAUUUUAGAUUAAAGUUUGGGUGAGCCUUAAAUGUGAAUAUGUACCCAAAACGAAUAAAUUUAAAAAUUAUACUUUUUUUUAUAUUUAAAUAUAAAUCCAACAUAAAUUCUUACAAAAAUUAAAAGUAAAUUUAUUGGCAUGUAGCAUAACAUUUCCUUGUAAUUUUGGUGUUUUCAGCUUUCCAUUUACCAACUUUUGACUUAGUUUACUCCUCUCUAGUGUUUGAUAAAAGCUAUUAAAAAACCUAUAAUUUAUAACCAUAGUUAAAUAUCCAAUGUAUUAAUGAUAUGUUUGGUAGGAAUAUGAAUUAGUAAUAAAUUAAUUUCAGUCGAUAAUUUAAAUAUUUAUAUGAUCGACUUGUUUGAUAUGUUUAAUAUAAACGAGGACUGUUAUGUUAAAUACUAGAUAUGAACUUUGGGGGUUAGCUGCCCCUAAAAUUUAUAAAAUUUCUUUUAAGGUCCUUUGAAUUUUCAAUUUUUUUAAUUGGAUAUUAUAAUGUAGUGUCUAAAAAGGAGGACAAAUUUGUGUUUGACUUCUUAAACUUUUUUCAAUUUUUUUAUUUGAUUUCUUUUAUAGAAUUUAUAAAUUUUUUAAUUAUAAAUUUAAUAAAUUAAUGCAAAGUAAUAUAUAAAUAUUAAUUUGUUAAUAAAGUAAUAAUUGCAACAUCUAAGUAUAAUUAUUAUCUAAAAUUAAUUAGAUGAAAAAUAAACUUAAAUAAUUAUAAUAUUUAAUAAAAAUUGAGCAUUUAGCUCUUUUUUUCUUCUAAAUUUUGGUGACUAAGAUUAUCCCGAAUGUAAAAAUCUGUUGUUGAAAGCAGGUCUUUUCCACUUUGAUCAUGUAUAUUAUAUAUAAAUAUCUCGCCCCCUUAUCAACAAUUUUAGCUUCGACCUUGUAAAUAACACUCAAAUUUCAAAAAGGCAAUGAAAGAUAGAUAUUACGAUAUCAAAGUGUUUGGUUGUUGAGAAUUGUGAUAUUUGUUACUAUUGUUAUAAUUUAUUUCGUAUGAAGUUUACAUCAGUGUUAAUUAUGAUUAUCAUCCGAAUCUGUAUCAUUAAGAUCAUCAAGAUUUUUUUUUUGGUGUACUUUUCAAAGUAUGAAUCAUUCCAAAUUCAUCUAUGAAUGAAGCUGCGAAUUAUGCAACAUGUUUGUACAAUCCAAUGAAAUAUGAAUCAUCACUUUUAUAAUAUACAAAUUAUUUUUAUGAUAAUUUUUUAUCAUAACUUAAAAAAAAUAAGUUUAAAUAAUAUAAAUUUUUAUUAUAAUUUUAUAAAAUAAAUAUAAAUUAUUUUCAGAACAUAAUUUAUUAUAAUGAUUAUGAUUUUAACCAUUACUUUUCACAACACAUUAUUCUAAACAUUAAAGGUAUGAUUUUAACCAUUACUUUCUACUACUUUCAAUUAUACAAAAAGAUUUAAGUUUAGAUCCCACACUUGACUCGAAGAUAUAAAAACCUUAAUUGGAUGAAGAGAUUGACGAUCUAGUUCGGAGGAGAGGGAUGAUUUUUAAAACUUUUUGAAUUCCUUUGCUUGAAGAUUAAUUUGGUAAUGGUGGAGGAAUAAUUUGCUUGAUGAAAAUUAUAGGGUUUGAAAAUAUUUUCUAUUUCAAAAUUUUAAAAUCUAAAAGGUAAAGGUUAAAUUAUUAGAAAUAAAAGUAUAAAAAUUAAAUUUAAAAUUUUUCAAUAGUUCAGGGACCGAUGACAUAACUUAACCCUUCUAUGAUUGGACCUUUUUAGCAAACAGCACGAAUUUUCAUCCAUCUCUUUGGUCUAGCUUUUAAGUCAAGUCAACUGUUGUAGGACCUGCCAAUAAAAUCCUUUUGUUUCGACCCAAAACCUACAAAAAAAUGACUAAACUGAGUCACAUUGACUUUGCUAUUUUUCAUAAUAAUAAUAGUAAUAACAAUAAUUCAUUAACCUAAAAAUAAUAAUAACUCAAUGGUAGUUUUGUCUUCGACGGGUCAUUGGAUCUGAUUCUAAGUCCUAUCCGAAAAUUAAAAAGGGUUUGGAUAAAAAUAUAGGCUCAAAAAAUAGACUUGGACAAAAAAAAACUCGUUUAAAAAACGGGUCAGACCUUGGGUAAGGCUUUUUGGCCCAAUCUCGGCCCUAAUUAGCAAAAAGACAAAAAAAAACUACUAUUUUCUUGUUGUUUUGAUACUAUUUUCUUAUUAUUUUCUUACUUUUUUACUAUCAUUUCACUCUUAUGUUACUACUAUUUUGUUGUUAUUAUUCGGAUAUUGUAUAACUCUUAUUUUAUUAUUAAUUUUGUUACUAUUUUAGAGACAUUUGUUUGUUAAGUUACACCUAUCUUAGUAUUAUUUAAGUAUAAAUUUAUUUUUUAAAUUUAUUUUCAAUUUUUUGAGAAUCAUUUAUUUUAAUGUUUUUUUAUAUUUUAGAUGUAUUAUAUUUUUAAUUUUUUAUAUAUAAAAAAUAAUAUAAAGAAAUUAAUUUGGGCGGAUCGAACUAGACUCGAGUUUUAGCAUUUUUAUCCAAGUUGGGCUUGAAAAAAAUUUAGGCCCAUUUUUCGGGUCAAAUCGAGCCCAAACAUAGCAAACGGGCCUAAAAUAAUAAUAAUUCAUUAUUGGAUUGAGGUAGAACAUGAGGCUUGACUCUCGGCUUGUUAAUAUAUUAUUUGGUACCCAUAUUUGAUUUCAAUGUUUGAUUUGGUAUCUGAGUUUGACUUCAAUGCUUAGUUUGAUACUUGAGUUUUUUCAUAUUAAUGCUUGAGUUUUUCUUUGUCACAUAUAAGUACCUAAAUUUUACUUCAAUGUUUAAUUUGGCACUUGAGUUUUUUCUUUUGUCCCAAUUAAGUACCUAUGAUUCUUUUACUAAGGCACACAUGUAAAAUAUUUUUUGAAGUACACGAUGUUUAGUUUGGGUGCCAAAUUAAAUAUUGAAACCAAAUAUAAGCACUAAAUGGUAUAUUAACCCUUAACUUUAUCAUAUAGGGACCUAAAUUUAACAAAAAGAAAAUUAACAGUGUUAACAAUUAGACCUAAAUUCCAAAAUUUAAAAAGUAGAAAGAGUAAGUUCCUGAAAAUAAAAAUAUAGGGACUAAAUUUUAAAUUUAUGAAUCGUACAGGAUCUACAACAUAUUUUAACCCUUUGAAAAAUCAACGAUUAGACCACUUUUAGCAAAUAGCAGGAAAUUGCAUCCAUGUGCUCUAGUUUUUAAGUCAAGUCAGCUGUUGUAGGACCUGCCGACAAUAAUAAUAAUAACCACUCGUUAUUGAUUGAGGUAGAAGACGAGGCAUGACUCUAAACUUCCUUUAAUUUUAAAGUUAAUAUAUUAUUUAGUACCUAUAUUAAAAUCCUAUAUUUAAUUUUAAUAUUCAAUUCGAUACUUAAAUUUUUUUCCUAAAUUGGUACCUGAUUUUUUGGUAUUGAUACUUGAGUUUUCUUUUUCCCAUACCAGUACUCAGGUUUGACUUUAAUGUUUAAUUUAACACCUGAAUUUUUUUUGUCCCAAUUAAGUAUCUAUGUUUUUUUACUAGGCGGACAUGUCAAAUAUUUAUUGAACCACACGAUGUCGUUUAGUUUGGGUAUCGAAUUGAACAUUGAAGCCAAACUUAGGUUUCAAAUUGAAACAAAAAAAGAUUAGGUACAAAAUUGAAAAUUCAAGCCAAAUGUAAGUACCAAAUGAUAUAUUAACCCUUAAUUUUAUCAUAUAUAUAUAUAUAUGUAAAUAUUAAUCAAAAAAAUUAAACAUUUUGGUGUUGAUUAUAUAAAUAUUCAUAUAAGACAUUCACACCAAAUGGCAUGAUUUCACCCAUAUUUCUGGUAUUGUUUAUACGUUUGAGGGUCAGUCUACAAAAAAAUACAUCAGUUUUCAAAAAUUAUUUAGUUGUUAAAUAUAAGGUUGUCUUUUGCUGUGUUCAUUUUAUAAUGUGAUUUGAUCAAAAACUUCCUUCGGAUUAAAUAUAAAAUAUUGUCAUAAUCCUCUCUUACUUUUCAAAGUCUUGCGAGGUCUUGUUCUUGGAAAUUUCCCAUGUCCAGUGAGAGAUGUAGAGUGAUAUCUAUAUAUUUACGAUCAUUUUCAAAGCUUUUGCAAUAAGUUCUUUAUCACAAUCUUGCUGUCCGAAGAAAUUCAUGUCUAUAGAUAUGGACUGUUCCAUAUUCUGUAGGACGAAACUUUGUUUUAAUGCUUUCUUCUUCUUGUUUAUCAUCUCCUCUUUCACAUGUCUUCAUGUAGUCUUCGGCACAGCAAGUGAAUUUGAUUAUGGCGUUCACUGUAACUCAGUUGUUCAUGAAUCCAAACCAGUUGAUGAGGAGUUCAAUAUCAUGCCUUUCCCUGGACGUCAAUAUGGUUACUUCAGUGGUGGUGAUAAAGUCCUAAACAAUCCUCCUUCACGUUCCUACUAUGCACCCAAAUCGAAAACUCUCCUUUUCGAGACUCACCACGUAUUUACAACCGAUGCUGAUGAUGUCUUUAUGGUGGAAGGAAACCUGAUUUUUCAAACCUCGUUUUACUAUGAACAGAGUAUCUCCUCUGGAAGCUCAUAUUUUCGUGGGACACUGGACUUCGAUUUUCGAGGCUUCUGGUCUCGAACAACCGGGAAGCUUUGCAUGGUGGGAUCGAGUUAUGCUUACUCCAAAGAAGGUAAACUGCUUCAUCUUGCUGCUGUUCUUAAGAUUAAUAAUCUUCAGAGUUCAAGUAAUAUUAGUACUUUAGUCACCGGUACCAUGGAUAGCUUGAGUUCUGCUAAUGAUCCAAAUCACUUUGAGCAAAUAUCACUGCUGAUGUUUCCUCAAGUAAAUUACGCUUACACCAUGAUUUCAAAUCAGUUUAGUAAAGGGUGUCCUCGGGGAACCGAUGUCCAACCGAUGUCAUCCCUCCGCUUAUCGCAAACUCGAACUAUUUGUGAUAUGUUAGGUGGAAGCAAUGCUUUCGAAUUGGAGUAUACUGGCAGUUGUAAUUCUUCAAAGAGUUGCAAUCCAUUUGGUGAUGGUAUUGGAUAUUUACCUUCAGUAAUAUCGUUGAGUAUGAUUCAGUGCUCAAACGAUAGGCAAAGCUUGAGGUUUCUGAUAGAAUUCCGGAACGACAGCUAUCAGGGAUACUAUAGCUCUCCCAAUCUCAACACUUCAUUAAUUGGAGAAGGAUCUUGGGAUGCAAAGAGUAAUCGGCUUUGUAUCAUUGCUUGCCGAAUCUAUGAUGCAUCGAGCUCCUUGGAGAAGUCUCAUGUCGGAGACUGCACGACACGGUUGAGCUUAAGAUUCCCUGCAAUCUUGUCUAUCAGAAACCCAAGCACCAUUGUAGGAGAAAUUUGGAGUGAGAAGCCUAGGAAUGAAGGUGGUUUCUUUGACAGGGUCGAGUUCCGAAAUACUGGACGUUAUGGAGGAGGAAUUCAACUUCAAGGUUUGAAGUAUGUGUACACGGAAAUGGACGAAGUGAAGAAAUCAUGUCCAAAGAAGAAUUCUAGGACUAAUAGCAGUAUGGAACACUAUCCAGAUGGCUAUUCUGGAGACAUGAGUUUUAGUAUGUCCAUCAUUAACGGUUCCAAAGGAAGCAUCGGAUGGGGUUCUUCGGAUAUUCUUGCGGUAGAUGAUCAGCAGUAUCAGAGAUUUCCAUCUCUAUUACCAUCCUCAAGCUCAAAGCCUAAAAGUUCUGGCGUUGAAUCCGAUUCCAGCAGUGGCUUGCUUAAUGUCAGCUAUAAAAUUAGCAUCCCGCCACUUAGUUUGGAAUUGGAUGGUGGCCUCAAACCGGUUAACCAAUCUUCAUAUGAAUAUCUGCAAACCAAAAUCCAAAUUUCUGCUGAAGGGGUUUAUGAUACAACAACAGGUAGCCUAUGCAUGGUUGGCUGCAGGCGUUCAAGGUUAGACGGCAAAUCAUUUUCAAGCCAUUCGAUAGAUUGCGAUAUCCUUGUGCAAGUCAACUUUCUUCCAUUGAACUCGCGCAAGACAAAUAACAUUAAGGGAAGCAUCGAGAGCACGCGUGAAAAAACCGAUAGUCUGUAUUUCAAGCCUCUGCAGAUUUUGGGAACAACUUAUUCUCGCAGUUGGGGAGCGGAAUCGGUUUGGAGAAUGGAUUUCGAGAUGAUCGGGUCGGUCGUAUCCAACACUCUUGCAAUUAUCUUUGUUGCAUUUCAAAUCUUUCAUGUGAGGAAGCACCGUGGCAUUGGUCCUAUGGUUUCACUUCUCAUGCUUGUUAUUCUAGCCCUGGGACACUUGAUCCCUUUGGUUCUAAACCUCGAAGCAAUGUUCAUUCAAGAUAGCGAGAGAUCGGUCUUGAUUAGAGGUGGAAAGUGGCUCGAAAUGAACGAGGUGAUAAUUAGAGUCGUCACAAUGGUGGCUUUUCUGCUGCAAGUCCGUCUUCUGAUGCUCUCAUGGACUGCUAGAUGCUCCACUGAGAAGAAAAAGACCUUGUGGAUUGCAGAGAAAAGGGGGCUGUAUGUGUGUGCUCCGGUGUACGUAAUCGGAGCUAUUAUCGCCUUUUCGGUUAAGUCAAGGCAGAAUGUACACAGAACAGUAAUGGCCAGGCAUUCUUGGUACGACAUAGAUGAAAUCAUUUUGGGGAAUUCAAGAGCUUAUGCUGGUUUGAUACUGGAUGCCUUUCUUUUCCCUCAAAUCAUCUUCAACAUGUUCCACAACUCGAGAGAACUGGCUCUUUCUCGACUCUUUUACAUCGGAAUCACCCUUGUUCGCCUCGUACCCCAUGGAUAUGAUCUUUACAGGGCAAACAGCUAUGUUGAUAUAGAUGACACAUACAUUUAUGCAGAUCAUGGUGCAGAUUACUACUCAACUGCUUGGGACUUCAUUAUUAUUGUGUUGGGUAUAUUCUUUGCUGUGAUCAUACACUACCAACAGCGCCUCGGCGGUCGAUAUUUCCUUUCGAAGAGAUUCCUAGAAUCUGUGAUAGAUGAGGAACCUCCAGUGGAUUCAGAAGAACAAUUGCCAUUGAAAUAUAGCACCUAGUCCAUGCCUUGUGUUACUUCUAAGUGUUCACAACUUUUACUGUUUCCAAAUAAUUCUGUAAAUUGAUCCUUUUUCUUUUAUAGCUUAAUAAGCCUAAUGUAAUAUAAAGUUAUAAAUAAAAUUGUUUUAAAAAAUAUUUUAUUUUAAAUUUUUAUUUUAGAUUAAAGUUUGGGUGAGCCUUAAAUGCGAAUAUGUACCCAAAAUGAAUAAAUUUAAAAAUUAUACUCUUUUUUUUAUAUUUAAAUAUAAAUCCAACAUAAAUUCUUACAAAAUUAAAAGUAAAUGUUUAUAUAAAUCUUUAUACAAAUUUAUUGGCAUGUAGCAUAACAUUUCCUUGUAAUUUUGGUGUUUUCAGCUUUCCAUUUACCAACUUUUGACUUAGUUUACUCCUCUCUGGUGUUUGAUAAAAGCUAUUAAAACCUAUAAUUUAUAACCAUACUUAAAUAUCCAAUGCAUUAAUGAUAUGUUUGGUAUGAAUAUGAAUUAGUGAUAAAUUAAUUUCAAUCGAUAAUUUAAAUAUUUAUAUGAUCGACUUGUUUGAUAUGUUUAAUAUAAACGAGUACUGUUAUGUUAAAUACUAGAUAUGAACUUUGGGGGUUAGCUGCCCCUAAAAUUUAUAAAAUUUCUUUUAAGGUCCUUUGAAUUUUCAAUUUUUUUUAAUUUGAUAUUAUAAUGUAGUGUCUAAAAUAAGGACAAAUUUGUGUUUGACUUCUUAAACUUUUUUCAAAAUUUUUUUAUUUGAUUUCUUUUAUAGAAUUUAUAAAUUUUUAAUUAUAAAUUUAAUAAAUUAAUACAAAAUAAUAUAUAAAUAUUAAUUUGGUAAUAAAGUAAUAAUUGCAACAUCUAAGUAUAAAUAUUAUCUAAAAUUAAUUAGAUGAAAAAUAAACUUAAAUAAUUAUAAUAUUUAAUAAAAAUUGAGCAUUUAACUCUUUUUUUUCUUCUAAAUUUUGGUGACUAAGAUUAUCCCGAAUGUAAAAAUCCGUUGUUGAAAGUAGGUCUUUUCCACUUUGAUCAUGUAUAUUAUAUAUAAAUAUCUUGCCCCCUUAUCAACAAUUUUAGCUUCGACCUUGUAAAUAACACUCAAAUUUCAAAAAGGCAAUGAAAGAUAAAUAUUGCUAUAUCAAAGUGUUUGAGAGUUGUGAUAUUUGUUGCUAUUGUUAUAAUGUAUUUCGUAUGAAGUUUACAUCAGUGUUAAUUAUGAUCAUCAUCCGAAUCUAUAUCAUUAAGAUCAUCGAGAUUUUUUUUUGUGUACUUUUCAAAGUAUGAAUCAUUUCAAAUUCAUCUAUGAAUGAAGUUACGAAUUAUGCAACAUAUUUGUACAAUCCAAUGAAAUAUGAAUCAUCACUUUUACGACAUACAAAUUAUUUUUAUAAUAAUUUUUUUAUCAUAACUUAAAAAAAAUAAGAUUUAAAUAAUAUAAAUUUUUUAUUAUAACUUUAUAAAAUAAAUAUAAAUUAUUUUUAUAACAUAAUUUAUUAUAAUGAUUAUGAUUUUAACCAUUGCUUUCUACUACUUUCAAUUAUAAAAAAAUAUUUAAGUUUAGAUCCCACACCUGAUUCGAAGACAUAAAAACCUUAAUUGGAUGAAGAGAUUGACGAUCUACUCGGGAGGAGAGGAAUGAUUUUUAUAACUUUUUGAAUUCCUUUGCUUGAAGAUUGAUUUGGUAAUGGUGGAGGAAAUACUUUGCAUGGUUUGAAAAUAUUUCCUAUUUCAAAAUUUUGAAAUCUAAAAGGUAAAGGUUAAAUUAUUGGAAAUAAAAGUAUAAGAACUAAAUUUAAAAUUUUUCAAUAGUGCAGGGACCGAUGACAUAACUUAACCCUUCAAUGAUUGGACCAUUUUAGCAAAUAGCACGAAUUUUCAUCCAUCUAGUCUAGCUUUUAAGUCAAGUCAACAGUUGUAGGACCUGCCAAUAAAAUCCCUUUGUUUCGACCCAAAACCUACAAAAAAAUGACUAAACUGAUUCACAUCGACUUUGCUAUUUUUCGUAAUAAUAAUAAUAAUAAUAAUAAUAAUAAUAACAAUAAUAGUUCGUUAACCCAAAAAUAAUAAUAAAUCUGUCAUGGCCGGGUCAUUCAACCAGAUCUGAAAUUCCGUCCGAAAAUUGAGAGAGUUUAGAUAAAAAUAUAAGUUUCAAAAACUAGACUUGGGUAAAAAAAAAAGAAUCGUUUAAAAAUCGGGUCAGACCUUGGGUAAGCCUUUUAGGCCCAAUCUCGACCCUAAUUAGCAAAAAGACAAAAAAAGAAGAAGCUAUUUUCUUGCUGUUUUGCUACUAUUUUCUUAUUAUUUUCUUACUUUUUUACUAUCAUUUCACUAUUAUGUUACUACUAUUUUGUUGUUAUUAUUUGGAUAUUAUAUAACUCUUAUUUUAUUAUUAAUUUUGUUACUAUUUUAGAGGCAUUUGCUUAUUAAGUUACACCUAUUUUAAUAUUAUUUAAGUAUAAAUAUAAUAAUAAUUCAUUAUUAGUAUUAUUUAAGUAUAAAUCGAGCCCAAACAUAGCAAACGGGUCUAAAAUAAUUAUAAUUCAUUAUUGGAUUGAGGUAGAACACGAGGCUUGACUCUCAACUUGUUAAAAUAUAUUUUUUGGUACCCAUAUUUGAUUUCAAUUUUAAAUUUAGUAUCUAAGUUUGACUUCAAUGUUUAGUUUGAAACUUGAGUUUUUUCAUAUUAAUGCUUGAGUUUUUUUUUGUCACAUAUAAGUACCUAAGUUUUACUUUAAUGUUUAAUUUGGCACUUGAGUUUUUUUCUUUUGUCCCAAUUAAGUACCGAUGAUUCUUUUACUAAGGCACUCAUGUAAAAUAUUUAUUGAAGUACAUGAUGUUGUUUAGUUUAGGUACCAAAUUAAACAUUGAAACCAAAUAUAAGCACUAAAUGAUAUAUUAACCCUUAACUUUAUCAUAUAGGGACCUAAAUUUAACAAAAAAAAUUAACUGUGUUAGCAAUUAGACCUCAAUUCUAAAAUUUGAAAAGUGGAAAAAGUAAGUUCCUGAAAAUAAAAAUAUAGGACUAAAUUUUAAAUUUAUGAAUAGUACAGGACCUACAACAUAUUUUAACCCUUUGAAAAAUCAACGAUUGGACCACUUUUAGCAAAUAGCAGGAAAUUGCAUCCAUGUGGUCUAGUUUUUAAGUCAAGUCAGCUGUUGUAGGACCUGCCGACAAUAAUAAUAAUAACCACUCGUUAUUGGAUUGAGGUAGAAGACGAGGCAUGACUCUAAACUUCCUUUAAUUUUAAAGUUAAUAUAUUAUUUAGUACCUAUAUUUAAUUUUAACGUUCAAUUCGAUAUUUAAAUUUUUUUUCUUAAAUUGGUACCUGAUUUUUUUUUUGUAUUGAUACUUGAGUUUUCUUUGCCCCAUACUAGUAUUUAGGUUUGACUUCAAUAUUCAAUUUAACACGUAAGUUUUUCUUUUGUCCCAACUAAAUACCUAUGUUUUUUUUACUAGGGCGAACAUGUCAAAUAUUUAUUGAACCAUAUGAUGUCGUUUAGUUUGGGUACCGAAUUGAACAUUAAAGCCAAACUUAGGUUCCAAAUUAAAAAAAAAGAUUAGGUACCAAAUUGAAAAUUCAAGCCAAAUGUAAGUACCAAAUGAUAUAUUAACCCUUAAUUUUGUCAUAUAUAUAUAUAUAUAUAUUAUGGAGUCUACAAAAAAAUACAUCAGUUUUCAAAAAUUAUUUAGUGGUUAAAUAUAAGGUUGUCUUUUGUUGUGUUCAUUUUAUAAUGUUAUUUGAUCAAAAACUUCCUUCGGAUUAAAUGUAAAAUAUUGGCAUAAUCCUCUCUUACUUUUCAAAGUCUUGCAAGGCCUUGUUCUUGGAAAUUUCCCAUGUCCAGUGAGAGAUGUAGAGUGAUAUCUAUAUAUUUACGAUCAUUUUCAAAGCUUUUGCAAUAAGUUCUUUAUCACAAUCUUGCUGUCCGAAGAAAUUCCUGUCUAUAGAUAUGGACUGUUCCAUAUUCUGUAGGACGAAACUUUGUUUUAAUGCUUUCUUCUUCUUGUUUAUCAUCUCCUCUUUCACAUGUCUUCAUGUAGUCUUCGGCACAGCAAGUGAAUUUGAUUAUGGCGUUCACUGUAACUCAGUUGUUCAUGAAUCCAAACCAGUUGAUGAGGAGUUCAAUAUCAUGCCUUUCCCUGGACGUCAAAAUGGUUACUUCAGUGGUGGUGAUAAAGUCCUAAACAAUCCUCCUUCACGUUCCUACUCUCCACCGGAAUCUAAAACGUUCCUUUUCGAAACUCACCACGUAUAUACAACCGAUGCUGAUGAUGUCUUUAUGGUGGAAGGAAACCUGAUUUUUCAAACCUCGUUUUACUAUGAACAGAGUAUCUCCUCUGGAAGCUCAUACGUUAUAAGUUCAAGCGAUUCAAGCGACCGUGGGACACUGGACUUUGAUUUUCGAGGCUUCUGGUCUCGAACAACCGGGAAGCUUUGCAUGGUGGGAUCGAGUUAUGCUUACUCCAAAGAAGGUAAACUGCUUCAUCUUGCUGCUGUUCUUAAGAUUAAUAAUCUUAGGAAGUCAAGUACAAUCAGAACUUUAGUGACUGGUACCCUGGAUAGCUUGAAUUCAAUUGGUGAUCCAAAUCACUUUGAGCAAAUUUCACUGCUGAUGUUUCCUCAAGCAAAUUACGCUUACACCAUGGUUUCAAAACAGUUUAGUGAAGGGUGUCCUCGGGGAGCCGAUGUCCAACCGAUGUCGUCCCUCCGCUUAUCGCAAACUCGAACUAUUUGUGAUAUGUUAGGUGGAAGCAAUGCUUUCGAAUUGGAGUAUACUGGCAGUUGUAAUUCUUCAAAGAGUUGCAAUCCAUUUGGUGAUGGUAUUGGAUAUUUACCUUCAGUAAUAUCGUUGAGUAUGAUUCAGUGCUCAAACGAUAGGCUAAGCUUGAGGUUUCUGAUAGAAUUUCGGAACGAUAGCUAUCAGGGAUACUAUAGCUCUCCCAAUCUCAACACUUCAUUAAUUGGAGAAGGAUCUUGGGAUGCAAAGAGUAAUCGGCUUUGUAUCAUUGCUUGCCGAAUCUAUGAUGCAUCGAGCUCCUUGGAGAAGUCUCAUGUUGGAGACUGCACGACACGGUUGAGCUUAAGAUUCCCAGCAAUCUUGUCUAUCAGAAACACAAGCACCAUUGUAGGAGAAAUUUGGAGUGAGAAGCCUAGGAAUGAAGGUGGUUUCUUUGACAGGGUCGAGUUCCGAAAUACUGGACGUUAUGGAGGAGGAAUUCAACUUCAAGGUUUGAAGUAUGUAUACACGGAAAUGGACGAAGUGGAGAAAUCAUGUCCAAAGAAGAAUCCUAAGACUAAAAGCAUUAAGGGACACUAUCCAGAUGGCUAUUCUGGUAAUCUGGGUUUUAGUAUGUCGAUCAUCAAAGGUUCCAAAGGAAGAAUCGGAUGGGGUUCUUCGGAUCCUCUUGCGGUAGGUGAUCAGCAAGAUCAGAGAUUUCCGUCUCUAAUACCAUCCUCAAGCUCAAAGCCUAAAAGUUCUGGCGUUGAAUCCAAUUCCAGCAGUGGCUUGCUUAAUAUCAGCUAUAAAAUGAGUAUCAUGUUGCGUAGUUCGGAAUUGGAUGGUGGCCUUAAUCUGGUUAACGAAUCUUCAAAUGAAUAUUUGGAAACCGAAAUCCAAAUUUCUGCUGAAGGGGUUUAUGAUACAGCAACAGGUAGCCUAUGCAUGGUUGGCUGCAAACAUUUAAGGUCAGGUGACAAAACAUUUUCAAGCCAUUCGAUGGAUUGCGAGAUCCUGGUGAAAAUCAAUUUUCCUCCAUUGAACUCGGACAGGAGAAGUAAGAUCAAAGGAAGCAUUGAAAGCACACGUGAAGAAAUUGAUCCUCUGUCCUUCAAGCCCCUGCAGUUUUCGGGAAGAGCUUAUUAUCGCAGUUGGGUUGCGGAAUCAAUUUGGAGAAUGGAUUUCGAGAUGAUCAUGUUGGUAAUAUCCAAUACUCUUGCAAUUAUCUUUGUUGCAUUUCAAAUCUUUCAUGUCAGGAAGCACCGUGGCAUUGGUCCUCUGGUUUCACUUCUAAUGCUUGUUAUUCUAGCCCUGGGACACUUGAUCCCUUUGGUUCUAAACUUCGAAGCAAUGUUCAUUCAAGAUAGCGAGAGAUCGGUCUUGAUUAGAGGUGGAACGUGGCUCGAAAUGAACGAGGUUAUCAUUAGAGUCGUCACAAUGGUGGCUUUUCUGCUGCAAGUCCGUCUUCUGAUGCUCUCAUGGACUGCUAGAUGCUCCACUGAAAAGAAAAAGACCUUUUGGAUUGCAGAAAAAAGGGGGAUCUAUGUGUGUGUUCCAGUGUACGUAAUCGGAGCUAUUAUCGCCUUUUUGGUUAAGUCAAGGCAGAAUGUACAUCUAACUUGGUACUACAUAGAUGAAAUCAUUUUGGGGAGUUCAAGAGCUUAUGCUGGUUUGGUACUGGAUGCCUUUCUUUUUCCACAAAUAAUCUUCAAUAUGUUCCAGAACUUGAGAGAACCAGCACUUUCUCAUUUCUUUUACAUCGGAAUCACCCUUGUUCGCCUCGUACCCCAUGGAUAUGAUCUGUACAGAGCAAACAGCUAUGCUGAUAUAGAUGACUCGUACAUCUACGGAGAUCAUGGUGCAGAUUACUACUCAACUGCUUGGGACUUCAUUAUUAUUGUGUUGGGUAUAUUCUUUGCUGUGAUCAUACACUACCAACAGCGCCUCGGUGGUCGAUAUUUCCUUCCGAAGAGGUUCCAAGAAUCUGUGAUAGAUGAGGAAUUUCCGGUAGAUUCAGAAGAACAAUUGCCAUUGAGAUAUAGCACCUAGUGCAUGCUUUAAGUGUUGUUAACUACUUUUGCUUACCAUGGACUUGUUUUUAGUACUGAUUCGAAAUAAUAAAAAGAACUGUUCUAAAAAAUGUUCUAUUGUAGCUUAGGUGAGUGUUGGGUAAGAAUAUAUGUCCAAUAUGAAUAAAUUUGAAGAGUACAUCUCCUUAUCCAUGUUUAAAUAUGUACCCAACAUGGAUACAAAGAGAAGAUUUAAACUGAUAAUAAUUCAUUAAUCAUACGAAGUCCAUAGAUAUGACCAUUCCAUCAUAGUGUACAAUGAGACUCAGACAUAAGACAGACAGGCAUGAAAACGCAUUCAAUGUCUCAAACUACAACAACAAAACACCAAUUUAUUCAACUCAAUUUCAUUAUUUUUAGGUCCUAAUAUUGCUAUGGACUAAAACAUCAUGGUUCUAUGUCUGCUUAAUGAGUGCCACAUGUGCAGUCUGUGCAGCUGCAGCUAUCUCCACACUUGCACUUGCCAUCGUUCUCUGCCACAGCCUCGACCACUACAGUGCUGAUGUAGCUGCAAAGAAAUAUCACAACAGAUUAUAUUUAAGCAUAUGUGUUGGACUGUGCAAAGCAUAGCUCCUUUUUUUGCUUCUCUAGGUAAGAAUAUGAUUACUUAUCCAAAUGGGUUCAAUUUUGGUUAAAUUAUUCAAUAUUGGUCCUAAUAUACCUCUUUUCAGUCUCAAUGACCAAGCUAUUUCCUUUCUUCCUGUAAGCAUAACAAAAAAAAGCCUUCAGUUUCAAUGAUAAUUGAUUGCAAACUCAUGCAUUUAGUCACAACAACCUUAAUAAAUUUAUAUUUUAUCUAUGAAAAAAAUUAUAAUUAAAUUCCGACCGCUAAAAAAUAUUUUUUAUGAAUUUGCCCCUAGUAGUAUGCAGCUAAAAAACAUGCAGAACUAACUUAGGAACAAUAACAAAAUCAAAGAACCACACACAACAGUAGAAACUGGUCGAAAGCUGAUGAUGGAAGGAUGAUUUCUUACACGCACUGGCUCUUGUCAGAGCAGUCGCAGUUGCCGCACUUGUCAGACAUGAUGAAUUUGAAAGAGUUGAGAAGUAAAAGGUUUGUUUGAGUUUCUAAAGUAGUUAAGCUAACUUGCGAUGUAUAUCCAAAGCUAUGCACUUGAUGUAUUUAUAGAAGAGGAAGUACAUGGAAAUGGUGCAAAGGGAAGGCAUCUGUAGGGGCCCAAGCAGGCAUGACCGCAUGAGAGAAGCACACGCCUCUGCUACAAGAGUUCAAAGGAAAGGAAUCUUGAUAAUGGAGGCAAAGGAAAGGUUGGCUUACUGUCCUCCUCUCAUGUCUAUAUCAUUUGGAAUUUUCUUUUAGGUUGUCUUUUAGAAUGUAAUCCCAAAAUCUAUGCAAUAUGGACUCUACCCAAAAAGAAAAAUCAAAUUCAACUUUGAAUUGGUGCUGACUUAUCAUGAUCAUAGUUUUCAAAUUAGAAUUUUGAUCUAAAUAUAAAUUGAGAGUACGAAAAAUAUCCUAUUCCUGUAAAAUAACAAAAAGAAUGGUAUAAGGUAAGUAGGGUUUAGAUAAGUAUUCUUGAACAAAAUAAACCAGUUAUAAUGGAAGAGGACGACUACGACCACCAAUUUCACUUAAAUUUUAGACUUAUGAUUUAGAGAAACUUGAAAGAAAUAAACUUAAUAAAAAUGAAAUUUUAUUGAAUAAAUGAAAGGAACAAAAGUAGAGCUUUUUGGGAGAGGGAGCUUUUACAGAAAAGAUGAGUGAAAUUUGUGUCACUCCAUCCCCUAUUUAUAGUACGCAGAAGACCUAAUUUAUUCCUAUCUAAAUUUUAAAAGAUAAAUAAAGAUAAAAGCUAAAAUUAAAUCUAAAUAAUAAUCUUAACAGUAAUCCUAAUAUAAUUAAAAUUUAAAUAGAGUAGUGUGUUUAUAAAAUCUCUUCUUUGAACUGUUGCCCCCAAGUCUUCCACACUUCGCAUUUUCGGCACCACUUCUUUCCUAUUUUGCAUACUAUCCCAUUUUAUCUUUAAAUUUACGCUUUUUGCCACUAAAUUUUCUUUUGCCUUCAAUUUAGUCCCUACAAGAUAAAAAACCAUAAAUAACUCAAAUUAGUAAGAUCAUACUCAAAAUAAAUAUGUAAUUAAUACAUAAAAAUAUGUCAUUCCAGAGUAUUAUCAAUAAGAGUUAAUUGCACCAAAAAUUUUAAACGUUCUAAUUAUGUCUCCACACUAUCAAUGUUAUACUAAUGAGGUGCUUUCGUCACUAAAAUCAUUAAUUUAAUUGUCAAAUGAGACGUCAGAUCUUCUGUGAUAUAAUCUAAAAUGAAAAAUUUAAAGAAAAAUGAAUAUUGUAAAAAUGGAUGUGGUAAAAAGCUUUUACAGAAACUAUUGUUCACUCUAUCUUUUUUUGGUUUUACUUUAUUUUUAGUUUUUAAUUUUAAAAAUUAUGCGGCAACGUUUUAUUUUUCUUUUAAAUUUUUAUCUUAAAUUAUGUCAUAUAAAAUUUUACGUGUCAUUUAAUUGUUAAAUUAACAGUUUCAAAAUAAGAAGAAUCUGAUUGAUAUAAUAUCAAUAAUUUAAGAAUAUAAUUAAAAUAUUUUAAAGUUAAAAGACUAAUCUAAAAUAAGAAUUAUAGUUUGGGUAUGUAUCAAGCAAUUAACUCAAUAAAUAAAUGUGAGUGGCAGUCAUUUACAUCAAUAUGUUAUAUAAGUGGGUUUGGCAUCAUAUCUUAUAUGUUAUUUUCACAUUUAUUUAUUUAUCUUAUUUAUUUUAUUUUUAAAAUAUGAGAUUCUAGUAGGGUUUGUGAAAAAUUGUCCUUUAGGUAAUUUUUUUUUUAAAUGUUAACUCUCCCUUGAAAAAUAAGAAAAUUUAUUUUUUGGCUCAUUUAAAAGGAAUAUAAAAAUUAGGAGCAUGUGUGAUCAAAUAUGUUUGAUUACAUUUUUAUAUAAUAUUAAGAGUAAGGGAUGAUAAAAGUUAUACAAUAUCUUAAUAAUAACAACAAAAUUGUAACAACAUAAUAAUAAAAUAGUAACAAAGUAGUGAAAAAUAACAAGAAAAUAGUAUAAAAGAAAAAAGAAAACAAUAAAGUUUUGCAUAUUCAGGCUAGGCUAGACAAAAAAGGCUUAUCUAAGACUUGACCCGUUUUCUAAAUGGAUCUUAUUUUUUUAUCUUAAAAUUUAUUAUUCAGAAAAUAAAAUGAAAUUUUCAUCUCUUUUCUUCCUUUGUUGUCCAACUAAAUUGCUAGGUGGGGAUAUUUAAUUUUUGAGGUUUUUGACAUAUUUUGGUGAGGAUUUAGAUGUUUUUAGGUAAGGUUUGGGUUGAAACUUGCUAGGAUUUAUUGAGUUUUAGAGAAGCAAAGAGAGUCUCAUUGUAUUGAAUGCGUCUACAUUAAUUGAUUUAAGAGUUUUGAUGUUUAAUUAUUGUUGUUAAAAGUGGUAGAAGAGUAAUCGAAUUUGUAGUGAAUGUUGGAUACGAAUAUACGUAGAACAUGAAUAAAUUUGAAGAUUAUACCUCUUUGUUCAUGGAACAGAUUUGUGCUAAUAAUCAUUCAUUAAUCAGACAAAGUCCAUAGACAUGGCCAUUCUAUCAUGGUAUACAAUGAGGCGGAGACAAACAUGCAACACGCCACCAAUUAUUCAACUUAAUUUAAUUAUGGACUAAAACAUCGUGCAGUUCUAUAUAUGUCUGCUUAAUGAUUGCCACAUGUGCAGUUUGUGCAGCUGCAGCUAGUUCCACACUUGCACUUGCCAUCGUUCUCUGCCACAGCCUCGACCACUACAGUGCUGAUGUAGCUGCACAAGAAUAACACAACAGAUUAUGUUUAGCAUAUGUAAAAGC